This 99293-nucleotide long non-coding RNA is filed under the name Solanum tuberosum (potato). RNAcentral's name for it is "long non-coding RNA (STUB_LNC001942)". The record is from RNAcentral. Lineage: Eukaryota; Viridiplantae; Streptophyta; Magnoliopsida; Solanales; Solanaceae.
GUUUUCAAGGAAACAAGAAAAAACACAUAAAAGGGAAAAUAGUGAUUCACAUCUCACCGAGUAUUCUUCUUCUCAUCAAUGGUUCCCAGCUCCGUCUUGUGCCCUCAUCGGGUCUAGAUUCUCGAUCACCAUUUCGGAUAUUCCCUCGCUCUCCGGUGACAUCAUAGGUACGUUUUCCGGUUAAAUUAUGAGCUCCGAUUCGAUGUAUACAGUUCACACGUAUACCUAUGAUGCAUAGUUGAUGUGGUGGUUUUGGUCUAAUUGCUUCUUCGUUUGCUUCGGAUUGAUCCUGUUGUUGAUUUUGUUUCCAGUGGUUAUAGAAAUUGUGCUGUUUUAUUGUGGUUGAUUUUGCGAUCUUCAGAGCUGUGAUUGAUGGACUAGUUUUAUGUUGUUUUUUAUUUCUCUGUAGUUGAUUCUGAGCAUGAGUGUUUUGUCCUUUUGAAGUUAGGUGUAGUGGAGGUUUAGUGUUCAUUACUGCGGUUUGAGUUUAAUUUUUGGUUCAUUCUUUGUUGUACAACUGACGGCAUUCAUGUAAACUAGAAAUUCAAUUCGAACAACUGAUUCCAGAACUUUGUUUUAUUUCGUUAACUGCCUGAAAAUUUAGACUUUUCAGCUAUGUUGCUCGGACUCUUCAAAAAUAUCGACAAAAAUGUACGGGUGCGUGUCUGAUCCUCCAAAAAUUGUGUAUUUUUGAAGGAUCCGAGCAACUUAGCUUUUCAGUGUCUUCGAUGUGUACUUUCUUUUGGUAUUCUCAGUUUAAUUUACUUAUUAAUUUAUUGAUAGAACCCUGAAAAGAUUUUAAGCUCAUGUCUUUUAGGGCCAAGUGUGCAAAUUUGGUAACUCUAGUUUAUCUAAAUAGAACUUAGAGUAUUCUCCUUAUCACCGAGCAAUAAGCAUGAAUAAAAAGUAAGCUCACAUGAAUAUUGCGUUAUACCUGUGAGUUGUUUUGUUAUGAAUCAUGAGCUUGGAUGAUUUGUUGGCAAGUAAAUAUCAAUAGCGGAUGAGGUAAUUACUCGGGGUUUUUAUUUUGGCUCAAUGUAGGUAGUCUCUACUGCACAUUAUUGUACUCUUGUGCAGUGUUAUCAAAGGCGCGCUUAAGCCCUGAAGCGAGGCUCAAAACGUGUUGAGCGCUUCGCCUCGCUUUAUGUGCGCUUCAGUGUCGUCAUCAAGGUUCUAAGGCAAACGUUUCCUUGCCAAUGAGCCUCGUAUGAAGAAGUGACUCUAAAUAAUUGAUAUUUCACUUUAUCAUAAAAAGAAAUUCAAUUUCUUUGGUCAUAUUUUUGUCAUUCAUGUUUAUACUUAUUAGUCUUGGGCUAAGCAUAUAUAUUUGUAUUCUUUUCUCCCUUUGCGCCUUUUUUCAUUAAAGCCCACACUUUAUUUGCGCUUAAAGCCCUCACGGACCUUAGAGCUUUUUUGUGCAUUUCGCCUUUGAUAACACUGCUCUUGUGGAGCUCUCUCGAAGGCUUAUUUUUUUGUGACAUUUACUUUUACUUUACGCUUAUCUUAGCACUUCUAAAAUUUUGGAGUUUGGACUUGUUUAGUUACAUAAAUGGUUCAUUUGUUCUUGAUAAUUCAUUAUACUGAAAGUCUAUACACCCAACUAAAUAUCUAAUUCAGAGUGGUAAAGAAUCUUUAGAAGACCAAGAUCACACUGAACCAAUAAAAAAACCCACUAACUUUUCCAAUUGGGCACCUAUAACUGUGGUAAUUUGGAAUAUUUCCAGUUAGUGAACUUUGAUUCGUUCCUUUAUUAUCGGAUUUUAUUCUUGUGCUCCUUUAUCUUCUCUCCUCUUUGUAUUACUUGAAUUUAAGCCUCCAAUAUGUAAUCCUGUUUCCUAUUCUUGAUUUUUAGUCAUAUUCUACUACCCUUUCUAUAGUGAGACCCAGAAAUGGCUCAAGGUACUUGUGCGAUUCUUAGUAUGCAUCGCUCCUUAACAGCCCCUAACUUUGAAGCCUUGAAACCCAAGUAUUCUGGUCCAUAUUUCAAGGAUAAACCCAAGUUUGUAGCCUGUCCAACAUCAGAUUUUGGUAUUUAAUAAGAGCAUUCUUUUUGUCAUUUGUUUGUUUAUUCUUAACAGUAAAGUCAAGCAUUAAUGUGAUUUGAUUUUCUGGCUGGCUUAAAAAUUGCUUAAUUUUCUUACUAGCUUUUGUUGAGUUUAGUUGGUGAUGUUAUUUAGUUUGGGAACAGGACCACAGGUGUUUGGAAUUUGUGUAGGGUUGCAUUCUGUUAAAUUGUGAAGAUAUUGAAAUCACAAUGAACCAACGAAGCACAAUCGAUCUGGAACAUGGAUGGGACUUCAUGCAAAGGGGCAUUACAAAGCUGAAGAACAUUCUAGAAGGGCUGCCUGAGCCUCAGUUCAGCUCAGAGGACUAUAUGAUGCUGUAUACGUAUCCUUUUAGACUCCCUCACUGUUAGGCAUGUAGAUAACUUGGAUUUGAUUCACCUUUCGUUUCCUUAAGUCUACUAACAGGACAAUUUACAACAUGUGUACUCAAAAGCCCCCACAUGAUUAUUCUCAACAGCUGUAUGACAAAUAUCGUGAAGCUUUUGAAGAAUAUAUCACAACAACGGUAAGGGUAACUGCAGUUUACAUUCACAUUUCACUUUAGUUGAAAUUAAACAAGGUACUACAAUAAAACAAGAAAAUAAGAAUUGAAGAAGUAUUAUUCUUAAUUUUUCUUUGAUGUUUGUUAUAUCCAUGUACCAUUCUUGAUUGUCUGCUCCCUUUGUAUCAUUCUGGAAUGUUUGGAACUUAGAAAAAUGAUUUCUUUAAUAAAGAAAAGGGAAAUCAUUAGUCUGGUAAGCCCUUUGUUGCUCUUUUAUUUUUCAAUUUUAGCCAUGUAACAAAGAGGUCUUAGUAUGGGUAGUUUCCUUGGUGCGCUCUGUGAUUCUAUUUUGUGCCCUCAAUGAUUUUAUUUAAUAAGGAUCCAUGUGCAAGUAUCAACAUUUUUUGGGGAUCUGAAUGUAAUUCAGGCAUUGCUUUCCCAAGAGACUAUAUCUUUUAGUUUUAUUCCCACUAUUAUAAGAUUCAAAUUUAGAAAGGCUGCUCUUGCUGCUUCUUCAUCCCAUAGAAUAUUAAGAGAAGGAUACGGGGAAAGUGGAUAGAAGUUUCAAAACACAGCUAAAUUACAUGGAUUUUUUGUAUGUUAUUUUAGGCAUGCAAUUUUUCUUAGGAGUUUAAAAUGAUGAGAACUCAAAUUUAGCUUAAAGUUUGUUUACCCAAUUUUUGUUUCUCCAAAUAAUUCUACCUUCUCUAAAUUUGACACUGCAAUUCAAUUUCAAAAUAGGUAUUGCCUUCUUUGAGAGAAAAACAUGACGAGUUCAUGUUGCGAGAGCUGGUAAAAAGGUGGUCAAAUCAUAAGGUCAUGGUCAGAUGGUUGUCGAGAUUCUUCCAUUAUCUUGACCGCUAUUUCAUUGCCCGGAGAUCUCUGCCGGGGCUUAAUGAAGUUGGAUUAACUUGCUUCCGUGAUCAGGUAAUUAUGGUUCUCCUUCUCUUUUCAUCAAAACUUUGUUUCUAUGGUCAUCUAUUAAAACAUCUCCACCUGAUCCCUUGGUUAAAGCACUGAGUUCAGCUCAUUGCUUCUAUAUUGAUUUUUUUAAUUUUAUUUUCUGGGUUUUGCUCUUCUAGAAUUUGGUUUUCAGUUUGACAGUAUACUAGUCAACUGCUGCCACAUCCUUUUACGAAAAGAUGUUAUCAUUUGGUCCCUCCAUCCCAAUUAUGUGAAGGUGAUUGACCGGAGUUUAAGAGAAAAAGAAAGAAUUUUGAAACUUGUGGUAUAAAGUAAGCUAUAGAAACUUAAGUAAAACAAGAAGUUCGAAGUUAAAUUGUUACUAAUAUGGAAAGAUGUCCCUUUUUUGGGGACCGACUAAAAAAGAAAGAGUAUCACAUAAAUUGGGACAAAGGUAAUAUCUUACGGGCAACUGUUUUCUCUUUCAGGUCUACCAAGAGUUGAAUGGAAAAGUCAGGGAUGCUGUUAUAUCUCUGGUAUCCCUUUUGUCUUGCUUUGAGUUCUCACUACCAUUUCUUUUUUCCUUUUAAUUGAGCAACGACAUUCCUCUAACCAGAUUGAUCAAGAGCGUGAGGGAGAGCAAAUUGACAGAGCCCUACUAAAGAAUGUGCUAGAUAUAUUUGUUGAAAUUGGAAUGGGGUCAAUGGAUUAUUAUGAGAACGAUUUUGAAGCUGCAAUGCUCAAGGAUACAGCGGCUUAUUAUUCUCGCAAAGCUUCUAACUGGAUCCUCGAAGAUUCAUGUCCAGAUUAUAUGCUGAAAGUUAGUAUACUGCUUAUGCAACCCCUUAAUUCUGCCAUUCUUACCCUGUUGCUUCUUCUGUCUGUCCUUUUUCUGGUUAAAGUCCAUAUGUUAACCUACAUAAUCAUGUCAAUGUUCCUUUAGGCUGAGGAGUGCUUGAAACGGGAGAAGGAUAGGGUUUCUCAUUAUCUCCAUUCAAGCAGCGAGACAAAGUUGCUUGAGGUUCAUUCCAGCUCUUAAUCUUUAUUCUUUACUGGAACUUUAGCCUUCAAAAUGGAGGAUGUUGCUAUCAAUUUUUAUUGUUCACAUCUUCUUUUUUCUGGAUCUAGCCUAUCAACUUUAAAUUAGCUGCAACUUUACUACUCUCACCUUUCUGCAGAAAGUGCAACAUGAGUUGUUGUCUGUGUAUGCCACUCAACUUCUUGAGAAGGACUACUCUGGAUGCCAUGCGUUACUAAGAGAUGAUAAGGUAGUUAGCAGCAUCUUAAUGACCAUGUUUCUGAAUUUUUUUUGUGGUAAUUGACACAAUCAUGAUUAUUUUAUUAGGUUGAAGAUUUAUCAAGGAUGUAUAGGCUCUUUUCUAAGAUCCCUCGAGGCUUAGACCCUGUGGCCAAUAUUUUUAAGCAGGUUUGUGAUCUCAUGACCUCAUAUUCUCAAUUGUAUGCCUAUAAGUUACUUCAUGUAUCCUUCUUUUUAAUCUGAAUGCAGCAUGUUACUGCUGAAGGUACAGCUUUGGUAAAACAGGCUGAAGAUGCUGCUAGCAACAAAAAGGUUUGUAUAAUCUAUCCCUUUCUCAAAUUCUUUGGUUUUGAGAAAUUUGGUUCUUCCUUAUUUGGCGCUUAUACACUUUGAGUUGACUUGGAACCAGUCAAACUAGAAGUUUUUGCUAUUUUAAUAUGCAAAGUUACUUGUGCUCAAGUGUCUGAUCAACUUAAUUUCAUAUAUUAACACACCAUUUUGUCAUCAAUUGUUAUGAAUCUUUAGAGAAGGAUCGAUUCAUAGGGCGAUCUGUCAUUGUCGUGGGUCCUUCACUUUCAUUACAUCGAUGUGGAUUGCCUCGUGAAAUAGCAAUAGAACUUUUCCAGACAUUUGUAAUUCGUGGUCUAAUUAGACAACAUCUUGCUUCGAACAUAGGAGUUGCUAAGAGUAAAAUUCGAGAAAAAGAGUCGAUUGUAUAAAUUCAGCUCGUUAAAGGGAGGCUGAACCUUAGAGUUCAUUAAAAAGAGAGAACCCGGAUCUCUUCAGCUCUUCAAAGGGAGACUGAAACCUUAGAGUUCAAUGGAAGAGAGAACUCUGAUCUCUUGCUCUUUGCAGAUGUAUGACUUACUGUUUUAUUCAUCAAAAGCCCCUUUAAAUAGGAGUCUUAUUACAUCAAUAGGAAGUUUAAUUCUUAUGUAAGUAGGAGACCUAAAUCCUGUACCAAACUAAUAACUAUAGGUUAACCUAAUCCUUAUGAAACCAUGAAACAUAAACCCCAUUCUAGAAUAAUAAAGUUACUAAAUUAUAAAUAAAUAGUAAAUUGAUCUACUUAAAAAUAUAAUUAAAUACUUAAAAUUAAUUGACUUCCUCACAUCCACAACAUCAAUACUUUAAGUUUAAAAGCUAUCUACUCUAGCACCCAAGUCUUAAAAACUACAAAAUAGUCCCUACCACCAAAAUUUUAGAAAAGACAAACUAACCACUUUCUAUAAAUAUUUUAUAUCCCUAUUUAGAAAUUAAAAAAAAUAAUCACAAAAUCCAUUUCUUUCCCUCCAAAACCUCUCUGAGUAAAUGAUCAAAAUGGUCCUUGAUGUAUAAGGGUUGUUUUAAGUUGAUCCUUAAUAUAUUCCACAUGAUCCAUAUGGUCCUUAAUAUAUUAUAAAAGAGGAUCAAUUUGAUCCUUUGACCUAAAAGUAACAGAUACAUAAAAAAAAAUCUGUUAACUUUAACACUGACCCCACGUGCAACUCAUGUGCAAAAAUUAAAACACUCAAAAGUUUUCCCUUUCCCCUUCUUUCUCUACAUUUUUCCAAUCUGUUUCAGAAGAGCUUGUGGAUUUUAUUUUUUUUUGCUCCUCAGCCAUUAAAGGGAACUUCCCUCUUCUCAUCUAACACAGAGCUACUAUUUUUUACUGCAAAAUGUCAAGAAAGAUGAAGUUUUCUCUUUUUAGUUCAUCUCUGAAUCCCUAAUUGCUACUCCAAUUCAAAGAUGAUAAGUGAUUUCUAAUAGAAAGCAAUUUUGGAAGUCUUUCAUUGUUGUUGUGUAAAAAAUUGAUUGUAUUUGAAGAUACAUACAGAAGAUCUAAUCAAAGCCCUAUUUGAAGGUGACAAAAUUGAUUCACGAUCAAUGCUUUUGAUUUCGAAAUUAGUAAAGAAACUAAGUGAAGCUGAAAGUAUAUUGAAAGUAUUUGAAAAUGGACAGUAGCAUUAUGCGAUAGCAUUAGUUGAAAAGGAAGAUUGAGACAGAGGCGAUAUCUCUAGAUUAGAAAUGAGCUUGAAAAAGAAAACAAAAAGGUGAAAAAAAUGAAGAGCAAAUUGGUUAAUGCCAAAAGUAGAGAGAAUGUGUGUUGGUAUAUUAUCUUGUAUGACUCUACUCUAGAUUUGAUAUCUAAAUGCGAUUUGAUCUUUUGAAUCAUGGUGCAAGUCAGUUGCCAUAGGUUGAUCUGUAAUCUUUAGUGUAUGUAAUUGUAUAGACAACUUCUUUUUUCAAAAAUAUGGUGCUUUAGCUCUAAUAAUUGAAGUGCAGAUUUUAUAAUAAAAAUUUGGUCCCUUGUAAUAGUAGAAUCUGGUGCAUAUUUUAUUGAGAAUACCUGGUGCAUCAAUUUUGAGAAUUCUAAUGUAAAUUGAGCAUAUGCGCUUAUAAUCAAUGCAAAAAUUUGGUGCCUUGAAACAUUUUAUUAGCACAUCUGGUGCACUUCUAAUGAGCACACUCAUGUCUAGUGAAGUUUGGAAUGGAUACGAUGUACGUAGAUCUUAUCCUUACCUUGUAAAGAUAGAGAGAUAGUUUCUGAUAGACUCUAGGCUUAAACAAAAAUUACUUCAAAGCAGAUACAUCCAAGGUGAAAUAACUAUGAUACUUGAUGUUGUUGUAAGGGCAACAAACAAUGAUAACUAACAAGGAAGUGAUGCAAUUUUUGAAGAUUUGUUUGCUUGCAAAACAGUUUACGUAGCUCUGGUGCUUAUCUAGGGUUGGGACCAUUUGUCUAACUCCAAGAUUCUUAUUUCAAUUUUUAUACGAGAACAUCUUUCUCAUAUCGAUCAAGGCUUUCUUUGAGUUUGAAAUAAGGGGACAAGAAGUAAGAACAUAAACCCUUUAGAUUCAACGUCAACCAUGCUUCAACCUUAGUAGCUGUGUGAAAGCCGCUUAACUUCUCACUUGGUAACAGUUCUUUAAUUACCAAAAAUAAAGAAUGCAAAACAUGUAGAUUGUUAUCCUUCACUAGCUUAAAAGUAAAAACAUUAAUUCUCCCUCUUCCCCUGUAAUCCUAUCAUCUGGCCAUAUCAAUAUUAGAGCUGGAGUAUACCUCUUUUUUUCUUGUGUAGAAAACAUAAUUAAGAACCUCUGUCAACUGUAAUGAGGUUUUCAAUAACUGUAUGCCAAGCUACAAUAUUAAGAAUGAAUAGAGAACAAAAGUUGCACAUGAUUUUAAUUUCAAAGAAACAAAAAGAUAAUAUGGAAGACACAUAGCCACUCAGACAUGAAGUACACAACAAGACUUAAAGUUCAAUCAAAUUUGCAGAUAGAAGUUAAAAAUCGAAGCAUAAAUUGAACUUAGAUCGAUGGAACAAUAGCUGGUGCAUAUUGAAGUUUCUAAUCACAAGUCGCAACUUAUCAAAAUCACAUUACAUGAGUUGAUUCAAAAAUAUGAAUAAUGAGUGCUUACCACUCUAUCACAACCCUUGUUUGUAGCAUAUUGCUAUUCUGCUUAUUUUGAUUUCCAGUUUGUGCUUUUAAUGAGUUUUGUUCAGAGAUUUCUUGUUAUCGUAUCUUCUUUUUUGUAUCAAAAGCAUGAAGUCACAAAGUUUGACUUCAUCUCAGUGAUUGUUUUGUUUCAUUUACUUAAUUUGUUCUUCAGUACAUGGUCAUUGAUAAUUUGGUGGUUGGGAAUAUUACUUCAAAGAGAUGGUAAAAGUUUCUUUAAAGCAGAACCCCUCACCGAAUUCUGUACUUAUCUUAAAGAAAGAGCAUGAGCAGUUGCUUAGGGAACCAAGAAGUGCUUUUUGUCGCAUUUCCUUCUUUUAUGCAUCUUAAAUUCUCCACUUCUGCUGGUUAGAACAAUAUCAAAAUUAAUUCAUCUCAUCUUUUUAGGGAUGAUUCUCUAAAAGAUGAGACUCGUAUUUCUCUGUGAAUGCAUUUAAUAUAAUUGCUCAAUGUCUUGCAUUCUUUCUGAUCAACUAGUGUUCUUCAACAGGCAGAGAAGAGAGAUGUGGUUGGUUUGCAGGAACAGGUAAUCCCUUAGUAAAUCUGUUAUCUGACCCUUGAAUAUGUUUUCGGCGAUGAACUUACUUCUGAAUUUUCAGGUUUUUGUUCGGAAAGUGAUUGAGCUUCACGAUAAAUAUUUGGCGUAUGUGAAUAACUGUUUCCAAAACCACACACUUUUUCACAAGGUAUGUGUUGGAGCGAAGGAUAGUUGUCUAAUUUAAUUGUUCUACUCUGUGCAUCAGGGUAGAAGUAAAUUGCUAAUAUUUAUCCCCUUUGUCAUUUUCUAGGCACUUAAAGAGGCUUUCGAACUUUUCUGCAACAAGGGUGUUGCUGGUAGCUCAAGCGCUGAACUUCUUGCCACCUUCUGUGACAACAUUCUCAAAAAAGGCGGGAGUGAGAAAUUGAGUGAUGAAGCCAUUGAAGAGACGUUGGAAAAGGUGAGCUCUUGCUCUAUAGAUCCCCUUCCCUUCUUUUCCUCUAGAGCAUUUACUUUUUCUUCGUACUACUGGAGCAGGAGAAAGCUGAUAAUAGAUCUCACUUGCAGGUGGUAAAGCUGCUAGCUUAUAUUAGUGAUAAGGACUUGUUUGCAGAAUUCUAUAGGUAGAGUUACCUCUACCGUGUAUCUCAACCACUACUUGAAUAGUAUCUUCUUCUCCGUUACAAGUUUACGACUUCCUUCUUUUUUUUUCAGGAAAAAGCUAGCCCGGCGGUUGUUAUUUGAUAAGAGUGCCAAUGAUGAACAUGAGAGAAGUAUCCUAACAAAGUUGAAGCAGCAGUGCGGGGGGCAGUUCACAUCAAAGAUGGAGGGAAUGGUAAGCUAUCCAGAUCAAUUAUGCUGAAUUUGAGGCUAUGUUCUCUGGUGACAUUCUUCUUCUCUUUCUAUAGGUCACAGAUUUGACAUUGGCAAGGGAAAAUCAAGCCAGCUUUGAGGAGUAUUUGAGCAAUAAUCCAAUAGCAAAUCCAGGAAUUGACUUGACAGUGACUGUCUUGACUACUGGCUUCUGGCCUAGCUACAAGUCUUUUGAUCUCAACCUCCCAGCUGAAAUGGUAUAUCAUAUCAAUAUGUUAAUUGGCAUUAUGCAGUUGAUUUUAUCUUUGUUUGACCCUUAUUCCUCUAGCUGAAGUUCUUCUCUUUAGGCAAAGAAUGAUGCAUGUUGAAUCAUUUUUCUUCUCAAACGUCCUGUCAUUGAUUCAUUUUAUGCCGUGCAUUGUCAGGUUAGGUGCGUUGAAGUAUUCAAGGAGUUCUAUCAAACAAAAACAAAGCACAGGAAACUUACGUGGAUAUACUCUUUGGGAACUUGCAACAUAAAUGGAAAAUUUGAGCCAAAAACUAUUGAGCUAGUUGUCACUACUUAUCAGGUUGAUUGCUGUUGGCUUACUUUUUGAAAUCGGAUAGGCUUAGUUAAUUUGAAAUAUUUCUAUUACGUUAUUAAUGAGAAAACGAGAUUGAGACUUCUUCCUUUUCGUAGGCUUCUGCUCUGCUGCUCUUUAAUGCAUCAGAUAGAUUGAGUUAUCAGGAAAUCAUGACGCAAUUAAACCUAUCAGAUGAUGAUGUUGUUCGGCUUCUUCAUUCCCUUUCAUGUGCGAAGUACAAGAUUCUCAACAAGGAGCCAAGCACCAAAACAGUUUCUCCGACUGAUGUCUUUGAGUUCAACUCAAAGUUCACUGACAAAAUGAGGAGGAUCAAGGUACAAUUAAUGAUGAGUACGGUUAGCCUUUGUACUAUGAAUUGUUGCACUACAUUACUGACCCCUUGAGGAUAUUGCUGUAAUGGGUAUGCAGAUACCUCUCCCUCCUGUUGAUGAGAAGAAAAAGGUAAUUGAAGACGUUGAACAAGGAUAGACGGUAUGCUAUAGAUGCUUCAAUUGUGCGUAUUAUGAAGAGCCGUAAAGUAUUGGGCUACCAGCAACUAGUCAUGGAGUGCGUUGAGCAGUUGGGACGCAUGUUUAAGGUGGUAUCCUUUGUGAUGAACUUCUACUUCUCAAUUUUAAUGUUAUUUAUUCAAGCUCAACUCAGCUAAUUACUUUGUUUUGAAUACUCCAUAGCCUGAUGUCAAAGCUAUCAAGAAGAGAAUAGAAGAUUUGAUAACUAGAGAUUACCUAGAGAGGGACAAAGAUAAUCCAAACCUGUUCAAGUACUUGGCAUGAUUUGUGCAGAUCAUAGUGAAUGAGUGAUGUUUAUAUGAACUUUUGCAAUCGACAUAGGAGGAGAAACAUGCCCCACAAGAUGAGGACAGAUUUCUUUAACUCCUACCUCCCUGGACCUUUGAUUGCCUUGCACCAGGAGCUUGAAACAUUUUGUACAAAUGGUUAAGAUCUCAGGAAAAAGUAGAAUUGCCUCUCAGAUACUUGAGAUGAGAUUGCCUUAACUUCUUCCAAUCCUAUAUGGCCCUUUAGCUUGCUCUAUUAUGUGUUUUGUCGGCUACCUGUUCGAGUUUGAGUAAAUGUAAUAUUCUAAUCAACAGCAACUUAUAGUACAUUCUCUGCAACACUACUUUCUUGGUUCUUUAUAGAUUGUGAUUUGGACCUUGGUGGUCCUUAUGUGGCGCUUUCUUUCAAUCUUGUGCAAGUUUAUUGGAUUCGGACCUUCAUGGCUGGUCCUUAUGCUUUCUUUCAAACUUUGUGGACGUGGAAAACUGGUAGCUUGGGGAUGGCAUUCAGGCCAGAAUCUAGAUUAUAUAGCUUUGUAGAUUCGAAAAUACCAGCUCGAUAUAGUAACACUCUUAAAGUUACUAAAAUAUGCUAUUUAAAAUUGCAAAACUAGCUAGUAUUAGAAAUUAUGAGAAAUAUCAUUGGUUACAUAACCUGGAUAAGUUUGUUAUGGUCUCUUGACACCAAUCAUCCUUGAGCCUAGAGCCAAAUUUCAUGCUUGUGAAAGUUGAUGAUAUUGGUGAUAGAGGCCUUUUAGGUGGCAUAAUAGCCUUUAUGCCCUAGUAUCCGUAACUUAUUUACCCUUUAAGUAAGCAUUUACAUGAGAGAAGAAGACAUCUCAUCUUCACUAAUAAAAUACAAUUUCAUUUCUUAGUUUUGAGAAUAUGGAAAAGAUCCUUAAUCUUGUUAUUUUCUUGCUUUUGUUAUUAUAUCAAUUUCAUAUUCUAGUUCUUAUGGGCAUAGUCAAAAAAUGUUUCUUCAUUAUUGUUUCGUCGAUUUAGUCUCCCUCCCCCNNNNNNNNNNNNNNNNNNNNNNNNNNNNNNNNNNNNNNNNNNNNNNNNNNNNNNNNNNNNNNNNNNNNNNNNNNNNNNNNNNNNNNNNNNNNNNNNNNNNNNNNNNNNNNNNNNNNNNNNNNNNNNNNNNNNNNNNNNNNNNNNNNNNNNNNNNNNNNNNNNNNNNNNNNNNNNNNNNNNNNNNNNNNNNNNNNNNNNNNNNNNNNNNNNNNNNNNNNNNNNNNNNNNNNNNNNNNNNNNNNNNNNNNNNNNNNNNNNNNNNNNNNNNNNNNNNNNNNNCCCCAUCCCACCCCAAAAACAAAUAGAAGGGUGAGAUCGAUAUUAAUUCACUUGUUCUUGAUCCCCAAUUUUACAAAUUUGACUAUUAGUACAACACAUGUUUAGCUAAACAAAUUUCUUCAAACAUGUUAUUUUUUCUUGAAUGGCAAUUCAACAUUUGAAGGGUAGAGCUAUAAUGAUUAGUAUAUGAACUAUGAAGAUAUGGUGUCUCCUGUCAUAAUAUGUGAAGCUUGGAUUAAGAAGAUAAAUAAAUGAAAGUUCUUCCCUAUAUAAUACAAUUCUUCCAUAUCAAUUUGUUUGAUCUACUUUCCUUUUUAGUCCAUUUAAAAAAGAUUGAAAUUUUCCUUUUUUAACAGUUUUUAUUUUAACUUUCCACUUGACAUGUAUAAGUUCACAAAAUUAAAAAGUAUUUUGAUACAUUUGAGAGAUCUUUAAUUUUUUAUCAUAAGAUUAAAAGGUCACUUAAUUUGAAACAAAGAGAGUGUAUGUUAUGAAAUAUUAAGAUGAUGGAUAUUAAUGUCCAUAUGCACUUGUAUUUGGUGGAUGUCAAUGUUCAUUUGCACUAGUAAACUUGACUUUCCAAGUUACUUGAGACUUGUAAAUAACUUACAUUGUAUAUAAAAAUUGAUAGAUACAAUUGGAAGUAUAAGAAAGCUCUUCUUUCUUCUCCCUGUUUUUAUUGCUCUCUUAUAGUAGUAUUUAUCUUAUUUUGCUUUGAUUUUAUAACAUGUUAUCAACAUGAGUUUCUAAUUUAUUCUAAAGAUAUGCAUGAUAUGAAUAACAAAAAUGUGAGAUCUUCCUAUAAGUAUCUGGGUAUGUAUUUUACCAAUGAUUUACUUGCAAACAGGAUUUAUGUCAUAAUAUCACCUUCCCUUGUUAUAUAACAUUGAUUUGAUAACCAAAAAUCUUAAAAGGUUGUCUGAAUCUUAUUGCUGCUAUGUUUAAUACGUUUAUGUUUGCAUUAUUGUUGACAUAAUUGUUGCAUCAAUUGUAAAUGAAUCUUAGUUUCUAUUGUCAUUGCUAGUAACCUAAUUUUUAAGAAUUUGUUCUAGGGAGGACCCUCUGAUCUAUCAAUAAAAAGAUAUCCAUGUGUGGGGCGAUAAAUAAUCCUAGAAAAGUUUGAUUGAAACUCCCUCCACAUCCCACGAAGAUCUCUACACACUUGUGCAGGACAAGUGAGAUCUUUGAUCUGCGUGCUUGAGAGCAGCUCAAACAAACUAUUUGGUGUGGUCUGAAUUCAAACAUGCUAGUCCGUCUGCUGCUAGGUCAAAAAAUGACGUCGUGUGAGGGCGCCUUUAUGCCCCUUAAUGAAUCAAAUGGUCGUUCGAUCUUUGUUUGAUUUCGACGACCUGCAUAGAUUUCAUGAGAUCGGUCCACUAUUAUUACGGAAAAAAAAUCCUACCCUCUCUUUACAGUUAAGUGACUUUCAGUUCCUUCGCUUCGCUAUUAGGAAAGUAAGCAACUUCUAUUAGUGUUGGAUCUUAAUAAGACUGGGCACCGCAUCGGAACGGGACCAUCGAAUCGGAAUGAACCGAUACUGGAUCGGAAUGGGAUGGUUUGACCGGGUCGUUGAUCGGUACCAGAAUGAGCCAGACCGAAACUAUCGGAAUGGAGGCUUGGUUCCGUUCCGUCCCACUAUAUAUCGGGAUAGAACCGGAACAGACCGGAAUGGAACGGGAUGGGAUAAACAGGACGACACAUAUAGCUAUUUUAAAAAAUAAUACUCCCUCUGUCCCAAUUUAUAUGACUUACUUUCCUUUUUAGUCAGUCCCAAAAAGAAUGACACAUUUCUAUUUUAAGUAACAAUUUGCCUAUAAAAUGUCUUUUUACCCUUAAUGAAAUAAUUUACAACCACACAAAUUUCUAUCAUUCAUUUUGGACCACAAGUUUUAAAAGUCUUUCCAUUUUUCUUAAAAGUUUGUGCCAAAAUCAAAAGUACAUCAUAUAAAAUGGGACGGAGGGAGUAAUUUUUUUGAGUUAUUUUGAAUUACAAAAAUAUGAAUGUUUUUUUAUUUUUCUAAGUUUAAUAGUUUUGAAAUUUAUAAUGUAAUUUUACUUAAGUUUAUUUUAAAGAUAUUUUUUUAAAUUUUUUACUUAUAUAAGUUCGUAAGUUAAAUUUAAUAAAGUUUUUUUUUAAAGUUUUUGAGCUUAAGUUUUCAACUUUAUAAGUUUAUAAGUUAUAUGUUAUAAGUUAUACUUAUAACUUGUAAUUUAAAUAACUUGUUGCAGGCCUAUUUUUAAUUAAUUAAAAAUAAUUUAUCGGGACCAGAUCGGAUCGGAAUCGGGAUGAACCAGUAUCGGUAUACCGAUAUCAAAUCAUGAUACCAUUCCAUUCCGAGUACCGAUUCACUGUAUCCCAUUCCGUUUUGAAUACUACCGGAUCGGAAUGGUACCGAAAAUCUUAAGUCAAAUUGAUCGUGUCAUAUGCAAAGUCUAUCAAUAAUGAUUCAUUAAAGUCUAUUGAUUUCGACUCCUCUCCCUUCUUAAUUAUGCGCUCAAUAUUUCAUUUUCUGUGUGUUUUUAAUAAUACAUCUUAUGUGUACUUAUAUAGGAAAAUAAUAAGAUCAACUUAAUAAUCCUAAUGAGACAUAAAAGUACCCCUUAUGGGUAUAUUCAAUUUUCCUACAUCUCCCACUCACAGAUAAUGAGAAUGUCUUUUCAGUCUGAGAACAUAUUCUCAUCUCCACAAUUAUUCAUAUAGGGAAAUUAGACUAUGAGACCAUCAAAUUGUGAAAGCUAAGUGAUAUAUAUGUUAGGAAUAUAUAACCUCUCUUCGAGUUUAAACAUGCAACUAGAUCAUAAAGUAUGCAGUACCUCAUGUCAUAUAAAUUACAUUUGAUAUAUUCUCAAGAUCUCAUAUAUCAUUAUUUCUUGUAUUCAAAAUUAUAACUCAUAAGUUAUAUCUGGUGCAACGAUGAGCACAAAUCAAUGAGAUUUCAUUAAUGAACUUCCUCUUCUCAUGAUGGUUUAAUUGUUUUUCUAGAUAUACUCCUCUAAAUCGAAUAUGUAUUCAUAAGCUUUUAAAAACAUACUAAGAUAGUAAACAUCAAGUAUCUAAUUAAAGUCACUAAGGGCACAUAUUUUGAGCCAUUACUUCUGGGUCUCAUACAACAAUACAAUUAGAAUGGGCUUACGUUAAAUCCAAUUGGUCGAUGUUAGCACACAUGAUAUGAAAAGCAUGCUACAACAUUUGCUUAUUUACCAUAGGCCGUAUAUCUUUGUUUUUUUAAAUAAUGUUGUAAAUAUGAUAUUUAGACACCAUAUAUUCAAAGUUUGAGUUCAUUGAUCAACCCUAUCAUUUUAACUCACAUCUGGCUUACCAAGUAGACUAGGUGAACAUUUUUCACCUUGAUGACCUUAUGUCAUUAUUUAUGCGACAUUCAAAUUUAAGUUGAUUGAGAUUAUUUAUUUGAUAAUUUUACUUAAAAUUCAAUCUUAUCUCUACUUAUCACUAAGACAAGGAGAAAUUUAUCUAUGUGAAAAGGCUAACAUCAUGUCUACUCAACAUAAUUAUAAAAAAAAAACAAAUAGCUGAAUAAGUAAGGAAUGCUCAUAACAUUCAAUAAUUAAAAUAUGUAUUGAUACAAAUAAACUUUAUUGAUAAUUAAAGAACAUCUGUUUUGUGAACAUGAGAAUAAAAAACAAUAUGAAGUAACUCAAAUUCUGCUCAAGUCUUGAGACCUCGUGUGUAUCAUAAAUACAUCUCCAGUCAAUUGAUUAGUCAAUGAAUCUUCUAAUAUAUCUCUUACAUUCUUGAGUUAGUAUCUGUUUAUUAUGAAAUUUUAAACACUUUAUCUUUUGUUAUUGCUUUCAUAUUGGAGUUGAGUUGAGGUGAGUUUGUCUUCCCAUAUUAUCAGUUUAGUUAGCUAUGUUUCAGUUUCCCCUUACAUGCUUGUACAUUCAAUGUACUGACGUCAUUCGACCUGCAUCUUAUAAUGAUGCAUAUACAAGCUUACAAGAUUAUGAACAAGUGCUUCGUUGAGAUCAUUUGACAUUCUAGUUAGCUUUGAUGAGCCUUCUUGUAUUUCGGAGGACUUCAUCUUUACCUUAAAUUUAGUAUUUUUCAUAUGCCGUGGGUCUUAUCCCGAUAUCCUUCAUAAUACUAGAGGCUUCAUAGAUAGAUAGAGUUGAGAAGUUUUUCAGUUGUUACUUUCUUUGAGUUGUUUUACAAACUAUAAGUAUUUCUAUUGAGUAUUGUUCAGACUUUUUGAGUUAAGUAUUUGAGUUUAACAGAUUUGAUUCAGUUUUAAGUGUAUUAUUGCUUGAGUUAGUCUUCCGCUUGUAGUCCGUCAAGAUAAGGGUUUGUUUGUGGACCAUCAAUGGUUCUCGAGUGUCGGCUAUGUCUAGGGUGUAGGCUCGGAUCGUGACAGUCUGAAUACAAAGCUCUUGAUAUAUAAAUCUUAUGUCUGUUACGUUAAAAAUGGAUUAAUCAAUUUACAAUUCCAUAAAACACGCAAUCACUGCUAAUCAAUCCCUCAUAAUGUGUAUCAACUUCAACAAUUCAAAAUUGUUCAAGCAGAUCGUCCAACAUCCUUUCAACUUUGAUUCAAAAUUUUCACAAAUUUGGAGAAGAUACAUCGUGAAUAUAUCAAUUUUGCUAAGAUAUUCAUGAAUCUAAAAAAAUUUGAAGGUAUAAAUGAUACGGAAGCGAUAGAAUCGUUGUUAGAAAAAUAUUUCAUUUGUGAAUCUAAAAUUAGCAUUGCAACUGAAUUGAGGAAAAAACUAGACAUUAGAUACAUCAUAAAAGAUAAUUUUAAUUCAUGACCAAACACACCUAAAGACACUUAAUACAAAGUUGAUAUUGAAUUCUGAUACAUAACCAUAUGUAUUGUGUUGGCUUUGAACUAGGGUGUUCAGUUAUGUAUUCGAUACAUAACAGUGGGUGUUGUAUGUAUCAGGCAAAAAACAAAAAUAAACAUUAGAUACAUCGUAGAAGAUAAUUCUAAUACAUGACUAAACACACCUAUAUAAAUCUGAUACAUAAAUUCUAAUGCAUAACCAUGUGUCAGCUUUGUAUUCAGUGUGUUUAGUUAUGUAUUUGAUACAUAACAAUGAAUAUUGUAUGUAUCGUGUAUUAAAAUAUAAUGAAAGCUUGCAUAGUUAUGUAUCAGAUACAUAACUAUAAACAAGAUUCAUACUGAUUUAGGUUUGAAAUAAUUGAGGUUAUGUAUCAACAAUAACAUUUGUGUCAAAUACAUUAUACACAAACAAAGUUGUAAUGUAUCUAAUAGUUGAAACAUAAACAUGAUACAUAAGUAAACACACAUGAACCAGUUACAUUAAAAAUUUGAAUCAUGGGUAGAGAAGACCGUAUAGUAAAACCAUCGACUCCUCCCCCCCCCCCCCAAUUUUUUUGAAGGUCAAUACUAAACUAUGGACCAGAAUUCAUAUGUAUCAGAACUUUAGGAUGAAGAAUAUAAAAUAAAAUAAAAAGUCAAAAUCUGAUCAACUGAAAGCAAACAAAGGUGAUGAAGAAAUCCUUUUACUUUUUUAAGAACUUGAGACUGAUGGGAAAAAAUCCGAAAUAACACGGUUGUAAUUCAAAAAUGGUGACUUGGAGGAAAUUGUUGAUACAUGCCAUGAUUUUAGGCAUUAAAUUGGGGAAGUUACGCGUGAAGAGUGAUGCAUCCGAGAAUAAGAGAGAUGGUGAAGAAAAUAGGAAACUUUGUAAUUUUUUCAAAAUGAUACGAAAUUUUAGAAAAUAUGGUAAAAAGGUUGCGUAGUUGGAUAUUUUUACCUUAAUAAUUAUGUUUAUGAUUUUGACUAGUUAGCUAAUUUUCCCAAAUAUAAAAUAAUAACAAUUUCAUAGCCCAAUCCAAACUAAUUCAGCAAAUACUCAUUCUCCCAAAAUGAAUUACAGUCCAUAUCCCCCCUUUAGUUUAGGCCAAAUUUCCUUUCAACCCCUUUAAAUUUAGGCCGAAUCACCCUAACCCUUUUAAAUUUAGGUCCAAUUGGCCCAACCCAAUUUUUUUGUCCUAUUAUUUUGUUCUUUUUUCUCAUUUAUUAUUUUUAUCCUAUCAUUAAUUACUUUUAUUCUUUCUCAUUUAUUAUUUUUAUUAUUUCUUUUAUUAUUUUUAUUCUUUUUAUGUUAUUCUUUAUUAGAGAUAUCAUUUAAUAUUUUUUUUAUUUUUUAUUUUUGUUAGUUUAUCUUCUUUUUAAUUUUUUUCUCUUUCUAUAUUUUUACCUUUUUAAGAAAAUAAAAUAAAUUACCUUUGUUCUUUUCUUAUUUAUUAUUUUAAUUUUAUCUUUUAUUCUUUUUUCAUAUAUUAUUUUUAUUCCUUUUUCCAUAUUAUCCUUUAUUAGAAAUACCAUUUGGUAACAUUUUUAUCUUCUUUUUUUUUCUUUUUUGUAUUAGUUUAUCUUCUUCUUUUUCUUUUUUUUUUUCUUUCUAUAUUUUUACCCUUUUAAGAAAAUAAAAUAAAUUAUUUUUGUUCAUCACUUUUGUUUUUUUUUUCUUAUUUUUUGUUUUUUUAUUUUCUCAUUAAUAUUUUUAUUCUUUUUUUCAUUUUAUCCUUUAUUAGAGAUACAAAUUGAUAAUAUUUUUAUUAUUUGUUUUUUUCUCCGUCUUUUUUUUAAAUUUUUUUUUGUCCUUUCCCCCUUUUUGUUAGUUUAUCAUCUUUUAAUUUUUUGUUCUCUUUCUAUAUUUUACCUUUUUUAAGAAAAUAAAAUAAAUACAAAAAACUACUUUCAUAGUAAUAAAAACAAACAACUAGACUACAAUAAUAACUAAAUAAGAAAAAUACAUAAUUAUGUGAUUUUGGGUCUGUAUAAACUACAUUUGACAUUUAGUGUGGUUUUCUUAAAAAUAAAUAUAGAAUUAUGUGUCAUUUUACUUUUCUUCCCACAAUAUUCAGUAUUUGAUUCUUCUGCUUCCGUCCUAAAUGAUACCAUAUCAGUAUAUGAUAUGUUGUGAUGAAAUCAUUGAGAAAUGAGUUGGUUAUAUAUGAAUAGUUGUCGGAAACCUUAAUAAUACCAUAACAAUAUAUGAAUAUAUGAAAAGAGUACUUAAUGAUACCUUAACAAUAUAUGAAUAUAUGAGAACAAUACUUAAUGAUACAUGUCAGUAUGUUAUAUGUUGUGAUGGUAUCAUUGAGAAAUGAGUUGGUUAUAUAUGAAUAGUUGUCGGAAACCUUAAUAAUACCAUAACAAUAUAUGAAUAUAUGAGAACAAUACUUAAUGAUACAUGUCAGUAUGUUAUAUGUUGUGAUGGUAUCAUUGAGAAAUGAGUUGGUUGUACAUCAACAGUUGUAGGAAACCUUAAUGAUACCAAAUCAGUAUAUGAAUAUAUAAAACAAUCCUUAAUGAUAUCAUAUCAGUAUAUGAUAUGUUGUAAUGGUAUCGUUGAGAAAUGAGUUGGUUGUAGGAAACCUCAAUGAUACCAUAGCAGUAUAUGAAUAUAUGAAAUAGUUCUUAAUGAUACCAUGUUAAUAUAUGAUAUGUUGUGAUGGUAUCAUCGAGAAAUGAGUUAGAUGUACAUGAAUGGUGGUAAGAAACCUUAAUGAUACCCAAUAUAUGAAUAUAUUCUUAUGGUAUCAUUAAGUAAUGAGUAAUUUUGCAAAUGAAUGAAUGAAGUAAACCUUAGUGUUACCACAACAGUAUAUUCAUAUACUAUAACAAUAUUAUACAUGAUCUAAGGUGUGUUCCAAUAUAUUAAAUAGUCAUUCAUUCUACAUAUGUUGUGAUGGUAUCAUUGAGAAAUCAUGAAUUCAUCCCUUGAAGGACUGCUCAUUAGUCUAUGAUACCAUGGUAUUAUAUAUAUAAUGUGUUGGCCUAACCUAUUGGUAGCCCCCUAAAGUUGGCACAAUGUUUCACUUAGACACCUUAACUGAGCGAUAUUCAUUUUAGACACUCCGGGUAGAAUCUCACAGUGCCAUUUUGACACUUUUUACUUACAUGGCAUAAUGAGUGUGAUACACUCAUUGGUAGGCGCAUGAAGUGGUUAUUUAGUUACUUUUUAAUUUUUUAUUUCUUCUUCUCCAUUUUCAACCACCAUUUUUCUCCAAGUUAAAUCUCAUCCAUUGUAAAUGAAGGUUUCAACAAAAAUAAUGGAAUUAUUCAUUAAAUUCUUUGCGCUGGGGGAGGCCGGGGGGUUAUUUGGAGAUAAGAAAAAAUCAACUGGUUGCACAGCGUUCUGCAAAAAGAGGUCGGGUAUUUGGCGGAGAAAACACGGGAGGUGGUUGCAGAAGGCGAUCGGGUUUGGGGUGGGGGGGGGUUAGAGAAGACGAUGGGGUGGGGAUUUGGAGCAGGCGAUUUGGGGUUGUGGGGGUAGUUUAAAUUUUAUUUUAUUUUGUUAUUAUUUGGGGAGUUUAUUUUAUUUUGUAAUUAUUUGGGGAAAAAAUAUUACGUGUCAUUAAUUUAAUGGUCAAUUUUUAUUUUUAUUCAACAUUAAUUAUUUAAAAAUUACUUUUGACAUAAAUGAUAAAUGUCGUGGUUUAAUUCGUCAAUUUACACAUCAUCUGCGAGUGUAAUAUACACACAUUAUAUGUUUUUGUUGAUAUUAAAAAAAGGUAUCAAAAUGACACAGCGGGAUCCUACAUAAGGUGUCUAAAAUGAACAUCGUCCAGUUAAGGUGUCUAAGUGAAAUAUCGUGCCAACUUUAAGGGGUCACCGAUGGAUUAGGCCUUAUGUGUUGGUAUCAUUGAAGAAUGAGUUGGUUGUACAUGAAUGAAUGUAGGAAACCUUAAUGAUACCAUAUGAGUAUAUGUAUAUAUUGUUAUUGUAUCAUCAAUGAAUGAUUAGUAUUGUGAACGAAUGAAGGAAGAAAGGAAAUAUUAGUUUUCCCAAAUUACUUUAAGAGGAACUUUCACAAAUAGCCACUAAAAUCAUUUUAAUUAGGUUUCAUAGUUAUAGUUUGCUAAUUACGAUUCGUAGCUAGUAGCUACAUAUUAGAGGGAGAAGAGAGGUGAGAGAGAUUGGGAGAGGGAGGAGAGAGGCGAGCGAGAGAGGGCAGAGAGUGGAGAGAGGCGAGUUGUAUAUGUAUAUCUGUCAGAUAAUUGUAUAUAUGUAACCGAUGUACAUAUUUAUUUGUAUACCUAGCGAGUGAGAUUGGGAGAGGGAGGAAAGAGGCGAGCGAGAGAAUGCAUAGAAUGGAGAGAGGCAAUUGCAUUAGUAUAUCUGUCAUAUAAUUAUAUAUGUAUAUGUAUAAUUUGUAUUUGUAUUUGUAUAUGUAUAAGCGAGGAGAGAGACGAGAGAGAGGAAGAAAGGAGAGACACACACGUAAUUAUAGCUACAAUUGAGUUGCAAAUCAUAAUUAAUUCAAACUAUAAUUAUAUUAGCUAAUUAAUUAGUAUAUGUUUGAUCAUCCGCGUAAUUUCCCCUUAAUUUAAUCGGGCCAUUAGCCCAAUCUACAAUACUUCUGAAAGUGGGCCUUCUGCCUAUUCAUUAUUGUAGCCCUCAAAAAUUAAAUGGGCUUUAAGCCCAAAUGUUUUAAUGUUUAAUCAGGCCAUUAGCCCAAUUUACAAUACUUUACCUUCUGCCUAUUAAUUAUGAUAGCCUUCAAACAUUAAGUGGGCUUUAAGCCCAAAAUAUUUAUCUUAAAAAAAAUAAAUGCAGUUGCUUAGGGAACCAACAAGUUUUAUGUAUUUUAAAAACUUUUCCCCUUGUGCUGGUUAGAACAAUUUCAAAAUUAAUUCAUUUUUCAUAGAUGAGACUGGUACUUAUUUCUUUGUGAAUUCAUUUAAUAUAACUGCUCAAUGUUUUGCAUUCAACUAGUGUUCUUCCUCAACAAGCAUAUAAGAGAGAUGUGGUUGGUUUGAAGGAAUAGGUAAUCCCUUAGUUCCUUUAAUAUGUUUUCGUUGAUGAGCUUACUUCUGAAUUUUCAGUUUUUGUUCGGAAAGUGAUUGAGCUUCAUGAUAAAUAUUUGGACUAUGUGAAUAAUUGUUUCCAAAACCACACACCUUUUCACAACUAUAGUUAUCUAAUUUAAUGUCCUACUCUAUGCAUUAGGGUAAAAGUAAAUUGCUCUAUAGAUCCCCUUCUCUUCUUUUUCCUCUAGAGCAUCUGCUUUUUCUUCAUAAUACUAGAGUAGGAGAAUGCUGAUAAUAGAUCUCACUUGCAGGUAGUGUAGCUGCUAGUUUAUAUUAGUGAUAAAGACUUGUUUGCAGAAUUCUAUAAGUAGAGUUACCUCUAGUGUGUAUCUCAACCACUACUUGCAUAGUAGCUUCUUCUCUGUUAUUUGAUAAGAGUGCCAAUGAGAGAAGUAUCCUAACAAAGUUGAAGCAGCAGUGUGGGGGACAGUUCACAUCAAAGAUGGAGGGAAUGGUAAGCUAUCUAGAUCAAUUAUGCUGAAUUUGAGGCUAUGUUCUCUGGUGACUUUCUUCUUCUCUUUCUAUAGGUCACAUAUUUGACAUUGGCAAGGGAAAAUCAAGGCAACUUUGAGGAGUAUUUGAGCAAUAAUCCAAUAGCAAAUCCAGGAAUUGACUUGACGGUAACUGUCUUGACUACUGGCUUCUGGCCUAGCUACAAGUCUUUUGAUCUCAACCUCCCAGCAGAAAUGGUAUAUCAUAUCAAUAUGUUAAUUGGCAUUAUGCAGUUGAUUUUAUCUUGGUUUUGACCCUUAUUCCUCUUGCUGAAGUUCUUCUCUUUCGGCAAAGAAUGAUGCAUGUUUUUUUUCUUGAAUCAUUUUUCUUCUCAAACAUCUUGUCAUUGAUUCAUUUUAUGCUGCACAUUGUCAGGUUAAGUGCGUUGAAGUAUUCAAGGAGCUCUAUCAAACAAAAACAAAGCACAUGAAACUUACAUGGAUAUACUCUUUGGGAACUUGCAACAUAAAUGGAAAUUUUAAGCCAAAGACUAUUGAGCUCGUUGUCACUACUUAUCAGGUUGACUGUUGGCUUACUUUUUGAAAUUGGAUAGGCUUAGUUAAUUUAAAACAUUUUUAUUACGUUAUCAAUGAGAAAAUGAGAUUGGCACUUCUUCCUCGUAGGCUUCUGCUCUGCUACUCUUAAUGCAUCAGAUAGAUUGAGUUAUCAGGAAUUCAUGACACAAUUAAACUAUCAGAUGAUGAUGUUGUUCGGCUUCUUCAUUCCCUUUCAAGUGUGAAGUACAAGACUCUCAACAAGGAGUCAAGCACCAAAACAAUUUCUCUGACUGAUGUUUUGAGUUCAACUCAAAGUUCACUGACAAAAUGAGGAGGAUCAAGGUAUUGAUUAAUGAUGAGUAAGGUUAGCCUUUCUACUCUGAAUUGUUGCACUACAUUACUGACCCCAUGAGGAUAUUGCUGUAAUGGUAUGCAGAUACCUCUCCCUCCUGUUGAUGAGAAGAAAACGGUAAUUGAAGACGUUGACAAGGAAAGGCGGUAUGCUACAGAUGCUUCAAGUAGUUGGGGUGGGGGAUUGGGUGGGUAAGAGGAGACAAUAAACUUGGAAUGUCGCAGUGUCACUUAUGCAACUCGUUUUUCAUAUAUUCAUUAGGAAAGUCAUUUUCCUAGAGAAAAUAUUUUUCUAACAUUUUGACCAAUCAAAUAUAGAAAAUGUGAAAAACAUACACAAAUUCUCACUAUUUCCAUUUUUGCCAAGGUAAUUUCUUGGUUUUUCAUUCAGGGUUUUUGGAAAUUUAUCCCUACUAUUUUUGGGUUUUAUGCAUUUUUACCUCAAUUGCUUGAGUACUCUCUUUCUUUUUUGUUUCUUUUAUUGAGAAUGUCGUCUACUUUUACUUCACGACAUUCUCAAAAAAGAAAAAAGAUAGUACUCAAGCAGUUGAGGUAAAUAUGCAUAAAACCCAAAAAUAGUAGCGAUAAAUUUGCAAUAACCUUGAAUGAAAAACCAAGAAAUUACCGUGGCAAAAAUGGAAUAGUUAGAAGUAUAAGGGGGUUUUCGAGGAAACAGGAAAAACACAUAAAAGGGGGAAAAGAUUCACAAAUCACCCUAUUCUCUUCUUGUCAUAAAUGGUUCCACACUGGAUUUACAGGUUGUACUUUUCCCAUUAGUCCAUAAGGAUCGGACACCCAUAUUCCGGGACCAUACAAGCUUGUUACAUUAAAUGCACCAAAACCAAAACAAGCCACCCCUGAGAGAAAUAAAUGAAUUUCAAAGAGGGUUUUCCUGUACAUUCAUCACAAAAUAUUUCUAGAUCCCAAUACAAUACACCCAAUGCCAGAUAGCUGCUAGCUCCGUCUUUUUCCCUCAUCAGGUCUAACUCUCCGAUCACCCUUUUCGGAAAAUUCCUUCGCUCUCCGGUGACAUCACAGGUAUAUUUUCCAUUUAAAUUGUGACCUGCGAUUUGAUGUACAUUGUUCCUACGUAUGUAUAUACCUAUGAUGCAUAGUUGAUGUGAUUGUUUUGGUUUAAUUGGAUCUCCCUUUGCUUCAGAUUGAUCCUGUUACUGAUUUUGUUUCCGGUAGCUAUUAAAAUUGUGUUGUUUUGUAACCUGAAUUAACCGUGGUGCACUUGCGGGAAAAUCCUUGCCGAGGGCCUGUGCACCCCCGGGAUUAGUCGGGGCUCAAAGAGACUCGGACACCCGGUGCAAAUCAAANNNNNNNNNNNNNNNNNNNNNNNNNNNNNNNAAAAAAAAAAAAAAAAAAUAAAAAAAAAAAAAAAAAUUUGUGUUGUUUUGUUUAAUUUCAAAAAAAGAAAUUGUGUUGUUUUGCUGUGGUUGAUUUUGCGAUCUUCAGAGCUGAGAUUGAUUGACUAGUUUUAUGUUGUUUUUUAUUUCUCUAUAGUUGAUUUGAGCACGAGUGUUUCGUCCUUUUGAAAUUAGGUAUAGUGGAAGUUUAGUGUUCAUUACUGGUAGGGUUUGAGUUUAAUUUUUGGUUCAUUCUUUGUUGCAACUAACGACAUCCUUGUAAACUAGAAAUUCAAUAGGAAUAACUGAUUCCAGAACUUUGUUUUAUUUCGUUAACUGCCUGAAACUUUAGAUUUUUCAGCUAUGUUGUUUGGACUCUUCAAAAAUGUCAACAGGUGUGUGUCGGAUCCUCCAAAAAUAGUGUUUUUUGAAGGAUCCGACCAACUUAGCUUUUCAGUGUCUUUGAUGAGUGUAAUUUAAUGGAAGAUUUUUUUCUUAUUCCAGUAGGUGAACAAUGAAUAAAUACAAUACAUAAAGUGCUAAGUGCUAACUAAGGAAAGAAAUUAAGAGUGAUUCCUAUAGAUCUGCAGUGAUCCCUAUAAAUCUGCUGCCCAUAUAUAGCUAUGUAUAUUACUAAGAUUAAGUCUAUAUACAUUCUAUAACACUCCCCCUCAACCUGGAGCAUAUAUGUUGAUCAUGCCCAGCUUGUUACAAAGAUAAUCAACUCGAGUUCCAUUCAACGUCUUUGUGAGCAAAUCAACUACUUGCUCUCUUAUCUUCACUUAGCUAGUGGAAGUCAGUUUUCCUGAAUCUUCUCACGAAUAAAAUGACAGUCAACCUCAAUGUGUUUAGUUCUUUCAUGACACAUCAGAUUUGAGGCAAUAUGCAAGGCAACUUGAUUAUCACACCAAAGUUUUGUUGGUAUGUGAUGUUCCAACCCAAUUUUAGUUAGAAGAUGAUGUAUCCACAUAAUCUCACAUGUAGACUGUGACAUAGCUUUGUACUCAGAUUCUGCACUGGAUUGAGAUACAACACUUUGCUUCUUACUCCUCCAUAAAACUAGGUUCCCUCCAAAGACAUAAUAGCCUGUAGUUGAUCUCCUGUCAAUUUUGGAUCUAGCAUAGUCAGCAUCUGCAAAACACUCAACACGAGUAUGACUGUGAUUGCUAUAUAAAUCCCAAGUCCAGGGGAUCCUUUCAAGUAACAUAAAAUCUGUUCCAAAGCUGCCCAGUGUUUAACUGUAGGCGAGGACAUAAACUGGCUAACAACACUUACUGCAAAAGCAAUGUCUGGACGAGUGACAACAAGGUAGUUUAACUUCCCAACUAACCUCAUGUAUCUCUCAGGAUCAUCAAAGGGGUCGCCGUCAUCUUUCAUAACCUGCACAUUGGGAGCCAUUUGAGUACUGCAAGGUUUAGCUGCCAACUUUCCAGUGUCUGCAAAAAGAUCAAGAAUAUAUUUUCUCUGAGACAAAAAAAUUCCCUUCUUGCUUCUAUUCACCUAUAUACCCAAAAAGUAUUUCAACUGACCCAAAUCUUUCGUAUGAAACCUAGUAUGCCAGAAGGAUUUGAGGGAAGAGAUCCUCGCAUAAUCACUUCCUGUGAUGACAAUGUCAUCAACACACACAACCAGGAUAGUGCCAACUUUUGAUUGUUAGUAGAAAACUGAGUGAUCACAUUUACUCAUUUUCAUCCCUAACUCCAGGACUACCCCACUGAACUUCCCAAACUAAGCUCAGAGACUCUGUUUCAAGCCAUACACAGACUUCUUCAAAUAACAGAUUCUCCCAUACUCCCCCUGAGCAACAAAACCAGGUGGUUGCUCCAUAUAUACUUCCUCUUGAAGAUCACCAUGAAGGAAUGCAUUUUUGAUAUCCAACUGAUGUAAAGGCCAAUUCUCAGAAACAGCUAAAGAAAUGAACAAGCUGACGGAAGUAAGUUUGGCAACUGAAGAGAAAAAGUCUGAAUAAUCCACUCCAUAAGUUUGAGCAUACCCUUUAGCCAUAAGCCUAGCCUUAAGUCUUGCCACAAAACCAUCUAGAUUAACUUUAACUGUGAACACCCACUUACAUCCCAUUAGUUUCUUCGUGCUAGGUAAAUCCACUAAAUCCCACGUGUGAUUUUCCUCUAAGGCGUGUAUUUCCUCAAGCAUCGCAUCAUACCAUCCAGGAUGGUUCAAAGCUUCUUUCACUGUUUUGGGUAUAGAGAUGGAGUCUAAAGAAGGAACCAAGGACCUCGACACAGAGGAUAAGCAAUCAUAGGAAACAAAAGUAACAAUGGAACCGGUGAAGAGCAAUAGAGAGAUCCAAAUUCUCUGAAGGAUCGGGUGAAGAAAGAUUUGAUAACAGAGGAACCGGUGCAGAACAUGUAUCGUCGAUCUCUUGUCUCCUUGAAUAAACUUGAACAAUUGGUGGUCUUGCUGGAGUAGAAGUUGUAGGCCCAAUAGUCAAUUGGUGUUCAAUAGGGGAACUAGGAGAUUGAAGUACAUUAUUUGAUUGUUCUGUCACAACCCGAGCAACCUGAUAGAGUAACCACUCAUCUUCCUCCUCUUGAGUUGUAUAAAUGGGAGGUGCAUGGAAGAAUGGUGGUCUCUGAAAAAUACCACAUCAUUUGACACCAAGUAUUUACCAAGCUUAGUAGAAUAACAUCGAUACCCCUUCUGAAGGCAUGAAUAACUCAAGAAAAUAGACUUCAAUGCCUUAGGAUCCAACUUGGUAACAGAUGGCUGAACAUCUCAAACAUAACACGUGCUUCCAAAUACCUUAGGCUCCACCGAAAAUAGUGACUUGUUUGGAAAAAUAACAUUGUAAGGCACAUUACCAACAAGAACAAUCGAUGGCAUGCGGUUAAUCAAAAAACAAGUUGUAGAGACUGCAUUAGCCCAAAAUUGUUUAGGAACCUUCAUUUGGAACAAAAGUGCUCGACUGUCUCAAGUAGAUGCCUAUUCUUUCUCUCAACAACUCCAUUUUAAGAGGGUGUAUCAACACAUGAAGUUUGAUGGAGAAUACCAUGUUGUCUCAUGUAGGACUGAAAUAAUUCUGACAUAUAUUCUUUAGCAUUAUCACUCCAUAGACUACGCAUUGAAGUAUUGAACUGAGUUUUGACUUCAGCACAAAAGUGAGUAAACACUUCAGAACGACUCUUCAUAAAGUAAAUCCAAGUCAUUCGAGAGAAAUCAUCCACAAAUGUGACAAAAUACUUAUGUCCAGUUUUGGAAACAACAGGACAUGGUCCCAAACAUCAACAUGAACUAACUCAAACUUCUUCCAUUAAAAAAGAAAAAGGUAGUCUUUAUCGACUCCACCCGCUUAUUAAUCUUGGAUUUGUUGAGCUACGAUGGUGUUUAGCAAAUUGACAUGACUCACAAUCUAGUGAAGGAAUAUUCUGAAACUGAGGACAGAGCUUCUUCAACAUAGGCAAAGAAGGAUGCCCUAAUCGACAAUGUGCCUCAAAUGGAGACACGACACAAGAGUAGGCAGCAAAUCGAGGCUCCCAAUAUUCAUCAAGAAUGUAGAAACUAUCAGAUACAUGUCCUUUACCAAUAACUUUAUUUGUCUUCAGAUCACGAAACAAACAAUGACCGACAAAAAUGAGAUAUAAUAGCCUAGGUAUCUGGUAAACUUUCUAACAGACAUCAAAUUAAAGGCUAACUUUGGUAGACCUAAUACAUAUCACAAGGUAAUGGAAGAAGUUAGUUUUACAGUCCCAGAUCCUAUAACAUUACAGAUUGAACCAUCAGCAACUGUCACAGGAGAGAGUGCUCCGUGUGAUUGAAAGCUAGAAUAUAUGUUAGGAUUACCUGUCAUGUGAUUUUCGAAGAGGAUAUAAGACAUGCUUUUCCUGACUCAACAAGGGUAGUAACUGAAAUAGAUUAUUUUUGUAAUUUUUGAUAUUGUGAGAAUUUUGUAAACUCUUUCGCCGAAAUCAAAAUUCUUUUAUCCGAAGACAUAUGAGCCACAAUUUUAGUCAUUCUCUCCAAAUAUUUUAGCAACACAAGAACUCAUCAACAAAAAUAUAACCAGAAGAAUGUAUGUGACCCCACAAAUACAGAUGAACAAAGUCUAAAAAUGGUUUUAUCAACUAAGAAACCAAUUGUCCACCCAAAAUAAAGGAACUGAGUACUUUACCGGUAGACAAGAGCACAUAGUGAACAAUCAAGUAGUUCAGAGAAAGAAAUCCUGAACCGCAACUUAUGAUAAAAAAACACCAAUUAUAUGAAAUGAAGUAGAAGCUAGAAGCCACAAAUCACAAACCAAAUUCAGUGUCGCAGAAUAGAAAUGAACCUGGAACGAACGAACUUUCCAGAUUGUAUUUUAACACCAAAAUAGACCUGAGAAGGGACGAACAAACAUUCCAGAUGGUAUUUUAACACUAGAGCACACUUGACAUUCGCCAGAAAUACGUUUCUAGAUUGUAUUUAACACCAAAAUAGACCUGAGAAUCGCUAGAAAUACGUGCCGAUGCUGGAAAUUCAAAAUCCAAUCAAUUCAGCCAGACACGCACCUUCACGUGCCGGUGCGUGAUGAACAAAAGAACCGUAUGAGCGGUGUGUGGCAACCACUCGCUUCACAACCAGAGGCCGGUGACGACUGGUUUGGCUGGAAAAUAUACUCCGCCUCCUUCUGUGGUGGUGAUAGUAGACUGACCACUUUAAAUCAGUGGAAUAGAAAUCCAAACUUCUUCCGUAACACAACCAAAACGAAACGAGCCUAUAAGCUCUGAUACCAUGUAAUUGAAUGGAAGAUCUUAUUCUUAUUCCAGUAGGUAAACAGUGAAUAAAUACAAUACAUAAGGUGCAGACUAAAGAAAGAAAUUAAGAGUGAUUCCCAUAGAGCUGCAGUGAUCCCUAUAAAUCUACUGCCUAUAUAGCUAUAUUACUAAGAUUAAGUCUAUAUACAUUCUAUAACAAUGAGUAUUUUCUUUUGAUAUUCUCAGUUUUAUUUACUUAUUGAUUUAUAUACAUUAUUGGAAAAUGUUGUAUGCGUUUUUUUUAUGCAACCCAGAAAAGAUUUUAAAAGUACAUAUCUUUUAGGGCAAAGUGUGCAAUUUUUGUAACUCUAGUUUAUCUAGGUCCUAGGAAUCACUUGGUGAAACUUAGUUCUUGUGGAAUUCCUAUCAAGUCAGGGUCUUGGGGAACCAAGUCAGAACCAUGAGGAAUCAAUCAAUUACGUUGAAUGUGCUUAGAGAUGUAUCAUAUGAUACCAGCCGACAUGUCUCAUGCCACCAAAAUGUUGUUACCGUGUGGGUAUUGGUCCAAUAACUGCAGUUUCCUGAAAAGUGCCUCUUUCCAGGGCGAAGGACGUUAAGAGCUUGCAAAAAAAUUGCUGAAUCAAUCCCUAAAUAGUACUUAGAAUAGAAUUUCUUUUCACCGAGUAAUAAGCAUGAAUAAAAAGUAAGCUCACGUGAAUAUUGAGUUAUACCUGUGAGUUAUUUUGUUAUGAAUCAUGAGCUUAGAUGAUUAGUUGGCAAGUAAAUAUCAAUAGCGGAUGAGGUAAUUACUUAGGGUUUUUAUUUUGGCGCAAUGUAGGUAGUCUCUACUGCAUAUUAUUCAACUCUUGUGGAGCUCUCUCGAAGGCUUUUUUUUGUGACAUGUACUUUAACUUUAUGCUUAUCUCAGCACUUCUAAAAUUUUGGAGUUUGGACUUGUUUAGUUACGUAAAUGGUUCAUUUGUUCUUGAUAAUUCAUUAUACUGAAAGUCCUAUACACCCAACUAAAUAUCCAAUUUAGAGUGGUAACGAAUCUUUAGAAGACCAAGAUCACACUGAACCAAUAAAAUACCCACUACCUUUUCCAAUUAGGCAUCUAUAACUGUGGUAAUUCGGAACAUUUCCAGUUAGUGAACUUUUAUUCGUUCCUUUAUUAUUUAUUCUAUUCUUGUGCUCCUUAAUCUUCUCUCCUCUUUGUUUUACUUGAAUUUAAGCCUCCAAUAGUAGUCCUGUUUCCUGUCUUGAUUUUUAGUCAUAUUCUUCUACCCUUUCUAUAGUGAGACCCAGAAAUGGCUCAAGGUACUUGUGCGAUUCUUAGUAUGCAUCGCUCCUUAACAGCCCCCCACUUUGAUGCCUUGAAACCCAAGUAUUCUGGUCCAUAUGUCAAGGAUACAGCCAAGUUUGUAGCCUGUCCAACAUCACACUUUGGUAUUUAAUAAGAUCAUUCUUUCAGUCAUUUGUUCGCUUAUCUCAACAGUAAAGUCAACUAUCAAUGUGAUUUGAUUUUCUGACUGGCUUAUAAAUUGCUUGAUUUUCAUACUAGCUUUUGUUGAGUUUAGUUGGUGAUGUUAUUUAGUUUGGGAACAGGGAGACAGGUGUUUGGAAUUUGUGUAGGGUUGCAUUCUGUUAAAUUGUAAAGAUAUUGAAAUCACAAUGAACCAACAUAGCACAAUCGAUCUGAAACAUGGAUGGGACUUCAUGCAAAGGGGCAUUACAAAAUUGAAGAACAUUCUAGAAGGGCUGCCUGAGCCUCAGUUCAGCUCAGAGGACUAUAUGAUGCUGUAUACGUAUCCUUUUAGACUCCCACACUGUUAGGCAUGUUGAUAACUUGGAUUUGAUUCACCUUUUGUUUCCUUAAUUCUACUAACAGGACAAUUUACAACAUGUGUACUCAGAGGCCCCCACAUGAUUAUUCUCAACAGCUGUAUGACAAAUAUCGUGAACCUUUUGAAGAAUAUUUCACAACAACGGUAAGGGUAGCUGCAGUUUUCAUAAGCAUUUCACUUUAGUAGAGAUUAAACAAGGUACUACAAUAAAACAAGAAAAAAAAGAAUUGAAGAAGUAUUAUUCUUAAUAAUUCUUUGAUGUUUGUAUAUCCAUGUACCAUUCUUGAUUGUUUGCUCUCUAUGUAUCAUUCUGGAAUGUUUGGAACUUAUAAAAAUGAUUUCUGUAAUAAAGAAACAGAAAAUCAUUAGUCUGGUGAGCCCUUUGUUGCUGUUUUAUUUUUUGAUUUUAGCGAUGUAAACAAAGUGGGGUUAGUAUGGGUAGUUUCCGUGGUUCCCUCUGUGAUUUUAUUUUAUGCCCUCUAUUAUUUUAUUUAAUAAGGAUCCAUGUGCAAGUAUCAACAUUUUUAUGGGAUCUGAACGUAAUUCAAGCAUUGCUUUCCCAAGAGGCAUAUUAUCUUUUAGUUUUAUUCCCUCUAUCAUGAGAUUCAAAUUUAGAAAGGCUGCUCUUGCUGCUUCUUCAUCCCAUAGAAUAUUAAGAAAAGGAUACGGGGAAAGUGGAUAGAAGUUUCAAAACACAGCUAAAUUUCAUGGAUCUUUUUGUAUGUUAUUUUAGGCAUGCAAUUUUGCUUAGGAGUUUAAAAUGAUGAAAACUCAAAUUUGGCUUAAAGAUUGUUUACCUAAUUUUUGUUUCUCCAAAUAAUUCUACCUUCUCUAAAUUUGACACUGCAAUUCAAUUUCAAAAUAGGUAUUGCCUUCUUUGAGAGAAAAACAUGACGAGUUCAUGUUGCGAGAGCUGGUAAAACGGUGGUCAAAUCAUAAGAUCAUGGUCAAAUGGUUGUCUAGAUUCUUCCAUUAUCUUGACUGCUAUUUCAUUGCCCGGAGAUCUCUGCCGGGGCUUAAUGAAGUUGGAUUAACUUGCUUCCGUGAUCAGGUAAUUAUGGUUCUCCUUCUCUUUUCAAUCAAAACUUUGUUUCUAUGGUCAUCUAUUAAAACAUCUCCACCUGAUCCCUUGGUCAAAGCACUGAGUUCAGCUCAUGGCUUCUAUAGUGAUUUUUUUUAAUUCUGUUUUCUGGGUUUUGCCUAUUCUAGAAUUCGGUUUUCAGUUUGACAGUAUACUCAACUGCUUCCACGUCCUUUUACGAAAAGAUGUUACCAUUUAGUCCCUGCAUCUCAAUUAUGUGAAGGUGUUUGACUGGGCACACAGUUUAAGAGAAAAAGAAAGAAUUUUGAAACUUGUGGUAUAAAGUAAGCUAUAGAAACUUUGUGAGUAUAAAGUAAAACAAGAAAUGUGAAUUUAAAUUGUUACUUAUUAUGGAUAGAUGUCCCUUUUUUGAGGACUGACUAAAAUAUAAAGAGUAUCACAUAAAUUGAAACAGAGGUAAUAUCUUACUGGGUGACUGUUUUCUAUUUUAGGUCUACCAAGAGUUGAAUGGAAAAGUCAGGGAUGCUGUUAUAUCUUUGGUAUCUCCUUUGUCUUGCUUUGAGUUCUCACUACCAUUUCUUUUUUCCUUUUAAUUGAGCAAUAACAUUCCUCUAACCAGAUUGAUCAAGAGCGUGAGGGAGAGCAAAUUGACAGAGCUCUACUAAAGAAUGUGCUAGAUAUAUUUGUUGAAAUGGGAAUGGGGUCGAUGUAUUAUUAUGAGUACGAUUUUGAAGAUGCAAUGCUCAAGGACACUGCGGCUUAUUAUUCUUGCAAAGCUUCUAACUGGAUCCUCGAAGAUUCAUGUUCAGAUUAUAUGCUAAAAGUUAGUAUACCGCGUAUGCAACCCCUUGAUUCUGCCAUUCUUGCCCUGUUGUUUCUUCUGUCUAUCUUUUUUCUGGUUAAUGUCCAUAUGUUAACCUACAUAAUCAUGUCAAUGUUACUUUAGGCUGAGGAGUGCUUGGAACGAGAGAAGGAUAGGGUCUCUCAUUAUCUCCAUUCAAGCAGCGAGACAAAGUUGCUUGAGGUUCGUUCUAGCUCUUAAUCUUUUUUCUUUACUGGAACUUUAGCCUUCAAGAUGGAGGAUGUUGCUAUCAGUUUUUGUUGUUCACAUCUUCUUUUUUCUGGAUCUAAUCUAUCAACUUUAAAUUAGUUGCAACCUUACUAGUCUCUCCUUUCUACAGAAAGUGCAACAUGAGUUGUUGUCUGUGUAUGGCACUCAACCUCUUGAGAAGGAGCACUCUGGAUGCCAUGCGUUACUAAGAGAUGAUAAGGUAGCUAGCAGCAUCUUAAUGACCACGUUUCGGAUUUUAUAUUUGCAGUAAUUGACACAAUCAUGAUUAUUUAAUUAGGUUGAAAAUUUAUCAAGGAUGUAUAGGUUCUUUUCUAAGAUUCCUCAAGGCUUAGACCCUGUGGCCAAUAUUUUUAAGCAGGUUUGUGAUCUCAUGACAUCAUAUUCUCGAUUGUAUACCAAUAAGUUACUUCACAUAUCCUUCUUUUUAAUCUGAAUGCAGCAUGUUACUGCUGAAGGUGCAGCUUUGGUAAAACAGGCUGAAGAUGCUGCUAGCAACAAAAAGGUUUGUACAAUCUAUCCUUUUCAAAUUCUUUGGUCUUGAGAAAUUUGGUUCUUCCUUAUUUGGCGUUUAUACACUUUGAGUUGACUUGGAACUUGUCAAACUAGAAGUUUUUGCUAUUUUAAUAUGCUAAGUUACUUGUGUUCAAGUGUCUGAUCAACUUAAUUUCAUAUUUUAGCACACCAUUUCUGACAUCAAUACUUUUAAGUUUAAAAGCUAUCUACUCUAGCUCCCAAGUCUUAGGAAAUACAAAUACCCCCUGCCACUCAAGUUUUAGAAAAUACAAACUAACCACUUACUAUAAAUAUUUUAGAAAUUUUAAAAAAAUUACAACAUCUGUUUCUUACCCACCAAAAUCUCUCCUUCCUUGCCAAUUUUCUGUCAUCCAGCUUGUUUUCCCGCAAAAAAUUGAAGCAUUUCACUGGAAAAUUACUCCACAUGACGAAAACCUCCUCAAGAUCAGCCAUUGUAGUUCCCCAUUAUUGUAGAAGCUCGAAAUAUUUCAUCCAUUAUAGAAGAAGCUCAUUUUUCCAGCAGCCUCUUUCCAGUCAUUCUCCAGCGACAUUUUGUUUUUACAUUUCACCAUUUUAGUAGCUCAUCUGACCUGUGAGAGAUCUAUCCCCGUGGUUUUCUUUUUUCUAGUAUUCUACAAUCAUCAAGCAGUGAGCAGUAGCAUCGACCAUUACUGGUUUAUUACAUCGUUUGCUGAAUAUAGUGGUGAUUAUGGUGGUGAAUGGGAGGAGACUUCAAAAUGUUGGAAGUGGAACUCUCUGAGUAAGGUGACAGUGUCCAUUGUCCUGCGUUGCAAUAGUACAUAUGACGACAUGGUUGAGGGAAUUAUUGAAUGCAGGGAAUUAAAUUGUGAACCGAGCAACUUGAUCAUUAGUUAUGGAUGAAUGCUAAGGGAAACAUCCAUCCAUCUUUCAUAACAAAUGAUAGGCACGUGGGGUUGUACAUGCUUGAUGUUGUCCCUGAUGGUUCUAGACUAGUUUUCUGGGUUAAAGUUGUUGAGAGGCAUGAAGAAGAAGAAGGUUCAACACCAUUAGGGUGGCUUGGGUGGGGGGGUUUGUCCCUAGAAAAUGCUUGAUAUAAAUAUUAGAGAAAGGGAAAUCCAUUCAUUAGAAAGCUCGUGCUGCUUCACAAAACAUCAAGAAAAAAGUGAUUGUAAACUCAGUGAAAAAAGUGACACCAAGUUCAGGGAGCUUUCUCAAAAAAUAGCAAUCCCUUGAAAAGGGGAGAUGACUGCUAGAAUAUAUUGUGUAUCAUAUCUUGAGUUGUCAGUUUGUGAGACUAGCAAUUUAUUGCUGAUUAGAGCAUUUUGCUUCAUUUUGUUUUGGGGGUGGGGGGUGGGGGUUCCCACCCAGUGUUCAAUACCCGCAUUGGGGCUCGAGUAAAUCCGGAUUCGCGCCGGAAUGUCUCACAGUGGGGUAAAGCGCUCCGUAAUAAAUGAAACUCGGUAACCAAGGGAACUCGAACGGAGUCCUGAUUAAGGAGUAUGGAGUACAUAGCACUCCACCAUAACCCUUGCUCGUAGCAUAUUGCUAUUCUGCUUAUUUUAAUUGCCAGUUUGUGCUUUUGAUGAGUUUUGUUCAGAGAUUUCUUUUUAACAUCAUCUCCUCUUUUUUAUCAAAAGCAUGAAGUCACAAAGUUUGACUUCAUCUCAGUGAUUGUUUUGUUUCAUUUACUUUAUUUAUCCUUCAGUACAUGAUCAUUGAUAAUUUUGGUGGUUGGGAAUGUUACUUCAAAGAAGUGGUAAUGUUCUUUAAAGCAAAACCCCCCCAUCAAGUGCCUUUUGUUGCAUUUCCUUCUUCUAUGUAUCUUAACUUUUCCCCUUAUGCUGUUUAGAACAAUGCCAGAAUUAAUUCAUUUUAUCUUUUUAGGGAUGAGACUGGUAUUUCUUUGUGAAUGCAUUUAAUAUAAUUGCUCAAUGUCUUGCAUUCUUUCUUAUCAACUAGUGUUCUUCAACAGGCAGAUAAGAGAGAUGUGGUUGGUUUGCAGGAACAGGUAAUCCCUUAGUAAAUCUGUUAUCUGGUCCUUGAAUAUGUUUUCGGCUGUUAACUUACUUCUGAAUUUUCAGGUUUUUGUUGGGAAAGUGAUUGAGCUUCAUGAUAAAUAUUUGGCAUAUGUGAAUAACUGUUUCCAAAACCACACACUUUUUCACAAGGUAUGUGUUGGAGCAAAGGAUAGUUGUCUAAUUUAAUUGUUCUACUCUGUGCAUUAGGUCUGUGCAUCAGGGUAAAAGUAAAUUACUAACAUAUGUCCUCUUUGUCACUUUCUAGGCACUUGAAGAAGCUUUCGAACUUUUCUGCAACAAGGGUGUUGCUGGUAGCUCAAGCACUGAACUUCUUGCCACAUUCUGCGACGUCAUUCUCAAAAAAGGAGAGAGUGAAAAAUUGAGUGAUGAAGCCAUGGAAGAGAUAUUGCAGAAGGUGAGCUCUUGCUCUAUAGAUCCCCUUCUCUUCUUUUUCUCAAGAGCAUCUGCUUUUUCUUCGUACUAAUGGAGCAGGAGAAAGCUGAUAAUAGAUCUCACUUGCAGGUGGUAAAGCUGCUAGCUUAUAUUAGUGAUAAGGACUUGUUUGCAGAGUUCUAUAGGUAGAGUUACCUCUACUGUGUAUCUCAACCACUACUUGAAUAGUUGCUUCUUCUCUGUUACAAGUUUAUGACUUCCGUUUUUUUCCAGGAGAAAACUAGCCCGGCGGUUGUUAUUUGAUAACAGUGCCAAUGAUGAACAUGAGAGAAGUGUCCUAAGAAAGUUGAAGCAGCAGUGUGGGGGACAGUUCACAUCAAAGAUGGAGAGAAUGGUAAGCUAUCCAGAUCAAUUAUGCUGAAUUUGAAGCUAUGUUCUCUGGUGACAUUUUUCUUCUCUUCUUAUAGGUCACAGAUUUGACAUUGGCAAGGGAAAAUCAAGGCAACUUUGAGGAGUAUUUGAGCAAUAAUCCAAUAGCAAAUCCAGGAAUUGACUUGACGGUGACUGUCUUGACUACUGGCUUCUGGCCUAGCUACAAGUCUUUUGAUCUCAACCUCCCAGCAGAAAUGGUAUAUCAUAUCAAUAUGUUAAUUAGCAUUAUGUUGAUUUUAUCUUGGUUUUGACCCUUGUUCCUCUUGCUGAAGUUCUUAUCUUUCGGCAAGGAAUGAUGCAUGUUUUUUUGCUUGAAUCAUUUUUCUUCUCAAACGUCCUUUCAUUGAUUCAUUUUAUGCUGCGCAUUGUCAGGUUAGGUGCGUUGAAGUAUUCAAGGAGUUUUAUCAAACAAAAACGAAGGACAGGAAACUUACGUGGAUAUACUCUUUGGGAACUUGCAACAUAAAUGGAAAUUUUGAGCCGAAGACUGUUGAGCUCGUUGUCACUACUUAUCAGGUUGAUUUUUGGCUUACUUUUUGAAAUCGGAUAGGCUUAGUUGAUUUGAAAUAUUGGUAUUAUGUUAUCAAUGAGAAAACGAGAUUGAGACUUCUUCCUUUUUCGUAGGCUUCUGCUCUGUUGCUCUUUAAUGCAUCAGAUAGAUUGAGUUAUCAGGAAAUCAUGACGCAAUUAAACCUAUCAGAUGAUGAUGUUGUUCGGCUUCUUCAUUCCCUUUCAUGUGCGAAGUACAGGAUUCUCAACAAGGAGCCAAGCACCAAAACAAUUUCUCCGACUGAUAUCUUUGAGUUCAACUCAAAGUUCACUGACAAAAUGAGGAGGAUCAAGGUAUAAUUAAUGAUGAGUAAGGCUAGCCUUUCUGCUAUGAAUUGUUGCACUACAUUACUGACCUUUUAAGGAUAUCGUUGUAAUGGUAUGCAGAUACCUCUCCCUCCUGUCGGUGAGAAGAAAAAGGUAAUUGAAGACGUUGACAGGGAUAGGCGGUAUGCUAUAGAUGCUUCAAUUGUGCGUAUUAUGAGGAGUCGUAAAGUAAUUGCCUACCAGCAACUGGUUGUGGAAUGCAUUCAGCAGUUGGGACAGAUAUUCAAGGUAUCCCCAGGAUAAACUUCUACUUCUCAAUUUUAAAGAUCGUUUUUCCAGUUUAACUGAGCUAAUUACUUUGUUUUGAAUACCCCAUAGCCUGAUGUCAAAGCUAUCAAGAAGAGAGUCGAAGAUUUGAUAAGUAGAGAAUACCUAGAGAGGGACAAAGAUAACCCAAAUUUGUUCAAGUACUUGGCAUGAUUUGUGCUGAUCAUAAUACUUGGAGAAACAGGCCGCCCAAGAUGAACUUCUUGGACCUUUGAUUGCCUUGCAUCAGGAGCUUGAAACAUUUUGUACAAAUGGACAAGAGCUUGAAACUCUCAUAUACUUGAGAUGUGAUUGCCUUAACUUCUUCCAAUCUUAUAUGGCCCUUUCACUUGCUCUAUUCUGUGUUUUGUUGGCUACCUGUUUGAGUAAACGUAAUAUCCUAGUCAACAGCUUACCCUCCCUAGAUUCAGCACAAUGGUAUUUACUUUUAGUACAUGCUCUGCAAUUGUACUUUGUUGGUUCUUUGUAGAUUGUGAUUUGGACCUUGGUGGUCCUUGUGGGGUUAUCUUUUAACCUUGUGCAAGUUUAUUGGAUCUGGGCCCUCAUGUUUCAACAGUUCUCUCUCUUGAAUGAAUCACUUCCUAAUUUUUAGGUCCAUUAUCCCAAACUUUGUAGACGUGAAAAACUUGUAGCUUCGGAAUGUCAUUUAGGUCAGAAUAUAAAUCGUAUUGCUUUGUAGAUUCGAAGAUACCAGGUCGACAUAGUAACACUCAUAAAGUUACUUAAUUAUGUUAUAUAUAAUUACAAAACUAGCUAGUAUUAAUACUAUAAGUUUACAUAAUCUGGGCAAGUUUGUAAUGGUUUUUGAUCCGACACCAAUUAUCCUUGAGCUUAGAGCCAAAUCUUAGGCAGGUGAAAGCAAAUGAGUAUUGGAGUUGACAACCUUUUUAGGUGGCAAAAUGGCUUUUUGCGUAGUAUCCGUAAUUUUUUUACUCUUCAAGUAAGCCUUUACAUGGAAGAAGAAGGUAUCUCAUCUUCACUAGUAGAAUACAAUUUCAUAUCUACGUUUGAGAAUAUAAAAAAGAUUCUGAAUGUUGUGAGGGUGAGAUCAAUAUUUAUUCACUUAGCUUGUCCUUAAUCUCCAAUUUCACAAAUUUAACUUUAACUUUACUACAAACACAUUUUUUGGCCAAACAAAUGUCAUCAAACAUGACAUUUAAUCUUGAAUGACAAUUCAACAUUUGGAGGGUAGAACAAUAAUGAUUAGUUUGAACAAUGAAGGUAUGGUGUCUCCUAUGAUAAUAAGUGAAGCUCAGCUCAUCAAAUUACCAUCUGAAAAACUCGGAAGUAUGUAUUAGGUAGAUAAAUAAAUAAAAAUUCUUCCCUAUAUAGUAUAAUCCAUUCGUUUCAAUUUGUUUGAUCUACUUUCCUUUUUAGUUUGUUUAGAAAAAAAUGACUUUUUCCUUUUUUAGCAACUUUUAUUUCAACUUUCCACAUGACAUGUUUAAGACCACAAGAUUAAAAGAUAAUUUUGAUAUAUUUGACAGAUCUUUAAUAUUACGUCACAAGAUUCAAAAGUCUUUUUUUACUUAAACUCCAUAUCAAGUCAAAAUAAGUCACUCAAUUUGAAACGGAAUGAAGUAUAUGUUAUGAACUAUUAAGAUGGUGGAUCUUAAUGUGCAUAUGCACUAGUAUUUGGUGAAUGUCAAUGUUAACAUACACUAGUGAACUUGACUUUUCAAGUUACUUUGUGACUUACAUUGUAUAUGAAAAUCGAUAGAUACAAUUGAAAGUAUAAGAAAACUCUCUUUUCUUCUCCCUAUUUUUAUUGCUCUCUUGUAGUAGUAUUUAUCUUAUUUUUCUAUGAUCUCCAUGUGUGGCAUGAUAAAAAAUCCUAAAAAAGAUUGAUUGAGACUCCCUUCACGGUUCCACGAAGAUCUCUAGAUAUUUGUCCAGAAUAAGUAUGAUCUUCGAUCUACGUAUCUAAGAGCAGCUCAAACAAAGAAGAGUCUGGUGUGGCCUGAAUUCGAACAUGGCCGUCCAUUUGUUGUUAGGUCCAAAAAUGGCGUCGUGUGAGGGCGUCGCUGUACCCCUUAAUGAAUUGAAUGGUCCUUCGACCUUUGUCUGAUUCUGAUGACCGGCUCAUAUUUCAUGAGACUGGUUCACUAUUACUUUGAAAAAAAUCAUGCCCUCGCCUUAUAGUCUAGAGACAUUAAGCUCCUUUCCUUCGCUAUUAGGAAAGUAAGAAACUUCUAUUAGCGUCGAAUCUUAAGUCGAAUUGAUUGUGUUAUGUGCAACGUCCAUAAAUGAUGAUACAUUAAUAUCCAUUGAUUUAAACUCCUCCCCCUUCAUGACUAUGCAUUUAAUAUUUCAUGUUUUGUGUUUUUUAAUAAUACAUCUUAUUUGUACUUAUAUAGGAAAAUAAUAAGGUCAACUUAAUAAUCCUAAUGGGCCAUAAAAGCAUCCCUUACGGGUUGAUCCGAAUUUUUUACGUCUCUCACUCACACAUAAUGAGAGUGUUUUUCCAAUUUGAGAACAUAUUUUCAUCUCCACAAUUAUUCAUAUAGGAAAUUAGACCGCGCAACCAACAUAUUGUGAGAGCUAAGUGAUAUAUAUCUGUUAGGAAUAUAUAAUCUCUCUUCGAGUAUAAACCUGCAAGUACAUCAUAAAGUAUACAGUACUCCAUGUCAUAUGAAUUAUAUUUGAUACAAUCUCUGAGGUUUUAGGGUAUUGUUUGUAGAAGAAGCAAGAAAAUCUCAGACGGACCACCGUCGCCAAAAUGUUGAAUUUUUUUUUAUUUGGGUCGCCAAAAAAGACAGCACGAGUUCAUCUUUGGAGGAAAAAAGAAGAGAAAGAGAAGCUAGCGAAGAAGUUACGAGCAAAAAAGAACAAGAUGAAGGUGGAUGGUUAGGACAAGAAGAAGAAAGGUGCAAAUGAAUUUCAAGUUGGAAAGAAAAAAUUGAAGACAAGGAUGACUCCAUUAGCCAAAGCUAAAGCUACACAAGCAAUGGAGAUUGAAAAAAAUAAGAUUUUGUUGUAAUCAAUUCAGGUGUAUUUGGUAACUUAAAUUGAAGUUGUUUACGUUUUUCUUCUGCAAUUUAUGAAAAAACAUGAAAUUUGUUCAAAAAAAUAUCAAAGAAUGUGGAUUGGGGUGAGUCUUCGAAUCCAUUGAAAAAAAGAGCAACACCGAAAGAUGAUUCAGAAAUUCUCAAGUCUAAGAAGGACAAAUUCUAUACCAAUUUCAUGUCAAAAGUAAACACUGGUUCAUAUCAUAUUCGUACCAAAAGAAUACCAAUUUCAAAUCAAUUCUAAUUAGUAAUUUUAUUUGUUAUAUAAAUAGUAUACCAAUUGUAUAUACGUUUUUUUUAAUUAUCAAUAUCUGUACCAAUUUUAUAUCAAGAGUGAAUAUAACAACGUCAUACCAUUAUUAUGUAAAUAUUAUUUAAUAGGAACUAACAAUAUACCACUUCAUACUAUUAUGUACUAGUUUUUGAGAACGUGCGUUGUACAUUUGUCUCAUAUAAUUAUUAUCAAACAAUUCUAAUGAUCGACCAUUUCAACAACUUUUUGAUCUUCUUCAUUCUUUAACCUCUGAAUGAAAUUUAACUGUGAAAGGUAGAAAUGGAGGUAGAAUAUUGAAGAGGAGCCAAUUUUUAGCUGCUUCCAACAUUACAAGACAUUAAUUAAGAUAUAGAAACCUGAAUUCAUUAACAAAAUGUUAUAUCACCAAAAUAAUAAUUUUGACAGUGUUUGCUAAGAUUAGAGCCAAUAGAACUUGGGACAGAAUAGCCCUGUAAAAAGAGCUCAAACUAUAAAAACAAAAACCUUUUCUACCACUUCAUUUAGCUAAGAAUCAUCAAAAGAAUGCAAAUAUUUUGGGACGACAUUCACAUGUUCUUAUAAAUGAGUUUUGUGCUUGAAACAAUUUCAUCAAGUUGUUUUGCUUGCUUGGAGACUAACACCCAAGUAGUUUGUAAUGAGACCCGUGAUACCAAACAUCAUGGCCAUUGAGAUCUGCUUAAGAUCAUUUUCCAUACUCCUUAUGUUAGCAAGAGAUUGCACACUGAAUAUAAUAAGAAGCCACGAGCAAAUCUUUUAUCUAAUAACAUGGCACCAAAGACGCCGAAGAUGACGGCUAUGAAGCCAUAGUAAUCUAUAGGAACAUCUUGUGGACCAACCAAUGAAGGCUUGUACGGUUUCAUCGCCAUAUUCGAGUAAAAAUAUUCAAUGAGAUUUGAAAAUUCAAUUGCUCUUUGAGCGACUUAAAUAAGGGACCUUAGGUAAGGGAAGAUGAAAAGAAUCAAAUUAUUAAAGAUUUUUUAGCCAAAAAUUAAUAAGACUCAUCAAUUUCGAACUUAAUUGUUUGACCUUUGAUCUUCAUCAGUUUGCUCACAAACAAGAAAUGAAAAAGCAAUUGAAGAAGUAUCAUGCCUCGAGAAAAGGAAGAGUCUAUUGACUUAAAUCAUAAUUAUGAGUAUUUUUAAUGCAAUAUUAUUAAUGUAGAACAAAUAAUUGCUUUAUAUAUAUAUAUAUAAAUGGUGAAAUGGUAAUUCAACUUUUGACUUGAGUUCUUUCCACUUAUAAUAUAAUAUGAUAUUAUGAUACUUCUAUACCAAUUUCAUGUCAAAUUUAAACACUGAUUCAUACCAGAUUCGUACCAAAAGAAUACCAAUUUCAAGUCAAUUGUAACUAGUAAUUGUGUUUUGUUAUAUAAAUAGUAUACCAAUUGCAUACAAGUUUUUUGCCAAUUUCUAUACCAAUAUCAUACUUAUAAGAGUGACAUUGGUUCAUACAAGAUUCAUAUAAAAAAGAAUACCCAAUUCAAACAAAUUAAUUGUAAACACUCUUUAAUUAUAAACAAAUUUGACCUUUUUAGACGUGAAAAAUUUAGAAGGAUCUCCACUGCUAAUAGAAUGUUAUGCAGUUCUUUUCGCAUAAGAUUAAAAAAUUAUGCCCUUUUUUUUUUUGUUCCAUAUCAUUUUUUACUGUUUUGUUGGUAUACAAUUAGAACGAAAAAUUAUAUACAAUGAUGACUAUUGUUUUGAGAUAAGAGAGAAAAAGACAUAUAUUGAGUAAGAAAAAUAUCUGUAAAAAAAUCUGUUUUGAAAGAUAAUUAACAGGUGAGAGAAAAGGCAGUAACUGUUUUGAAGUAAACUAGGAAAAUAAAUAUUCUUUUUGUUAUGGCUCUUCUUAUUUUAUGCCUAUUAUUAAUUAUCAUUACUAUUUUUAAUUUGUUUGUUAAUUUAUAUUCCGUUUUUUCUAACUUUUUUUUAUUUAACAAAAUGUUAUAUCCCCUAAUUGCUUAAUGUUAAAACUUAAAAAAUAAAAAAUAAUGUCAUAACUGAUAACUAAUAAUAAUUAGUCUUAUAUAUGUCAAUUAUGUUAUAAAAUCAAGCUCAGAAUAAUAUAGUUAUAAAGAGAAGAAGGCAAGAAAUGUAGAUAGAAGAGAGAACUUUUCUUCUUAUUCAAAUGUGUCUUUCAAAUGGUGAGUGAUAUCUCUAUUUAUAGUGUUGAGAUAUCACUCCCAAAAGUCAUCUAACUAGUAGAUACAUAGUUAUCCUAAAUGUUCUUAUCACCUGGAAGCACCCAUACAUGAAUCCAAUUAAUUAUUGGAUAAGUCUAAUGGAUAAUCCACAUGAUACAAUGGAUUUAUAACACUCCCCCUUGGAUGUCCAUAGAUAAUGUGUCUCGUUAAAACUUUACUAGGAAAAACCCAGUGGAAAAAAGCAUAGUGAAGGAAAAAGAGUACACACAUCUCAUAAUACGCUUUGAGUGUUGCCUCGUUAAAAACCUUAUCAAGAAAACUCAACUUGAGACAAGACCAUGGUUAAGGAAACGAGUACAACCGUAUUUCACUCCCCCCGAUGAAAGCCUCACUUGAUAUCUCGAAAACGACGCAUUCCAAUUUUGUAUAUCAACUUCUCAAACGUUGAUGUUGGCAAUGCCUUAGUGAAUAAAUCAGCAAUAUUAUCACUUGAGCGGAUUUUUUGAACUUCUAUCUCACCAUUUUGUUGAAGAUCAUGUGCGAAAAAAAACUUUGGUAAAAUAUGUUUUGUCCGAUCUCCUUUGAUGUAUCCUCCUUCCAAUUGAGUUAUAUAUGCAACAUUAUCUUCGUACAUUGUGGUUGGUAUAUUCUUUUUCAAAAAAAAAUCACACAUUUCCUGAAUAUGGUGGCUCAUUGAUCUCAACCAAGCGCACUCUCAAUUUGCUUCAUGGAUGACUAUUAUUUCUGCAUGAUUUGAAGAAGUGGCUACCAACGGUUGCUUCAAUGAUCGCCAAGAUAUUGCGUGUCUCCACACGUAAACAAAUAAUCUGUUUGAGACCGAGCUUUAUGUGGAUCAGAUAAAUAUUUUGUAUCUGCGUAACCAGUCAGUUCUGACUUGGAUUCAUCGAAAUAGAAUAAACCCAUGUCUAUGGUCCCCCAAAGAUAUCUAAGUAUGUGUUUAACAUCAUUCCAAUGUCUUUUUGUUGGGGAGGAAUUGAAUCUAUCUAGUAAAUUUAUUGCAAAACAGAUAUUUGGUCGAGUAUUGUUAGCAAGAUGCAUUAGUGUCCUGAUUGCACCAAGAUAUGGAGUUUCAUCACCAAUAAGCUCUUCAUCCUUCUUUUGAGAUCAAAAUGAAUUUUUAUUUGUUUCAAGCGAUCUCAUAAUCAUUGGGGUACUCAAUGAAUGUGAUUUAUUCAUGCAAAAUUGCAUCAAACUUUUCUAUGUAUGUUGACUCAUGGACAAAUAUUUCAUUUGUCAAAUUCUUACCAAGACCUUUUCAUUUUUUAUUUUCUUUUCAAACACUCAAUAACUUUUGAAAGCUCCUUAAGAGUGCUAAUGAUGUUCAAGUCAUCAACAUACACAACUAUUAUAACAAAUUCAAAUCCUGAAAAAAUUGCAAGGACAAAUAGAGUCAUUUUUUAAUACCCUUUCUUCCUUGAUUAUUUCAAUCCAUAUAAGGAUUCUCGAAACUUUAUUGAAAAAGUUUCUUUCAAACUUUUAUAUGCUUCAGGCACCGUGAAUGCUUCAAGGAUUUUUAUAUAACCUUCAUUGUCUAGCUACUAGACAUGACAAUUAUUCAUUAUAUGCAUUCAAGUUUUUCAAAUGUUGUUAGAUCAAAACAAACUUCAUUGCAUCCACCAUAGGAGAAAAUAUCUCCAAUUAUAUCAGGAAAUCUGUGAAAAACCUUUAUGCUCCGAGGCACAAACCGUACUUGAUAUCUUACGGUUAUACUAUCACAUAAUAAUUUAUUUGUACCCUACUAACAUUAUACCUUGAUUUAUGGACUAUCAGUAAAAAACGUCACUUUUCUAUGUGAAACAAAAUAUACUUGAAUUAUGCAUUUUAUUUGACCAAUCAUUUAUCAGUCCACACUAUAUGACAUAUUUGAAUUCAAAAUCCGUGUCACAAUUUAUAUCAUUGAGCACUACUUCAUAUCAAAGAUACCGUCGACGGUUAUUUGAUAUAGAUUCCAAUAUGAUAUAACUUAUCGAGAUCUCUUCAUUUUUCAGGUACCUGAACCUUUCCCAAGGUUUUAUAAAGUGUUAUGUCGUGGUGCUCUUUUAUAGCACCUGCCUCAUUAUCAUGAUCAUAUUGAUCAUUUGCUCCUCUCCUUCUUCAAGGAAUUUUACAUUUGGAACCGAUUGGUCUAUUACGCUUCAGGCAUAUCAUAGACUCUGUCCUUCAAGGACUUCUCAUUGAUGCAUUUGCAGCUGAAUUAUAACACUGGGUCAGUAAAUUCAUCUGGCAAUUUAUUUGCAACAUUAUGCAAAUGAAUUAUCCCUUGAACUUCAAGUUCACAUUUUCUUUGAACGAGGAUCUAGAUAAUUCAUAAUUAACCUCGCACAUAAUUUUUAGCUGUCAAUAUCAUCUCUCCCCAUAAUGAUAGAAAAUUUAACAUUCAUAACAUUCAUAAUUUUCAAGUUCACAUUUUCUUUUAACAAGGAUUUAGAUAAUUCAUAAUUAACCUCACACAUAAUUUUCAACUGUCAAUAUCAUCUCUCCCCAUAAUGUUGGAAAAUUUAACAUUCAUCCCAACCUUAUUUGGAAAUUCAUCUUUGUGCGUGGUGGAACAAUUAAAAUCAUAACAGCACAUUCAACGUUUUAGAUGAAAAUUAUUUGGUUCCUGACCUUGAACCAAUUUUUAUAGGGGACCUUUGUUGGCUUGAUGCGUACAAGUGUUGCUACAUGUUAAAUAAAUUCAUCUCAUAUCAAAUUUCUUUUGGGAGAUUUGUUCUCGUAAUCAUUGGUUAGUUGUAAUUGGAGGCAUACAAUUUCUUCUAAACCAACCAGCAUUAUCAAUAUAAUUUCAUAGUUUGGAACUGUGCUCUUAAUUUAACAAUUUGAGCAAACAACCUUACAAACACCAAUUUGUAAGUUGACAACAAAACACAUGUGACCAUCACAUAGAUGCAUCUAUCAUGUGUUGCAAAUGGUCCACAUGGCAGGUGAAUGGGCCCAUAUUCACCUUUUUAUAUGUCUAAAAAAUCUCAAGGAGUACAAUCUCAACCUUAGUUGGUAUAAUGAUAUAAUGAUCAAAUUAUCAGAGAACAAACAAUAUAAGAGAAUUCUUGAAGAAUUUUUUAUUUCUUCAUCAUAUAAGCCAAAUGAUUUCUCAAUUACUUUUGCAUCACAUUUAAACCAGAAUGGUCAACCGAUCAGGCCAACUGAUCUUUAUUUCAAUACACUUAUAAUUUACUUUUGCAUGUGAUUCCAUCAGCAUGCAUAUGUUAGUGUGCAACAAACAAGAGGAAAAAAUGGGUAAUCUUUUACAUAAAUAUUUAUAACCCGUUUUGAUUGUAGUAAUCUGAAGAUAUUAAAACUUUUCAUAAUUUAUAGUUUCAAUAUUUAUUUUCUAUUCAUCCGAAACUUAAAAAGUUUCUUUUGAGACUUACUACAACCCCAAUAUUAUUACUCUGAUAAUAACACAACUCGUUAGAGCUUGCAAUUAAUUUUGUGUACUAUCACAUAUUUCAUGACACCAUCCGUAUGGUGAGCAUCUCCUUCAAGGAGAAAAUUAUAUUAUUACUGUCAUGGUCAAAAUUAUUACAAGCAAGACAUGUUUCUUGCUUUACUUUUGUCGUACCAUAGGUACACAAUCAAUGACAAAUUUGCAUUGCCACACAAUAAUAUUAAUUUGAUCAUGGUCACAACCUUUAUAGACAAGAAUUAUUUCUUUUGCCCUUUCGGUAGUUCACAAACAUACCAUAAUAUUUAUGACCUAUAAACGUACACGACCAUUGGCUAUUCCUGCCAAAUAAAAUUUAUUUAUUCUCUCAAACCUUCCGUAGAGGUGAGUUGUGACAUAUAUCCAAUCCAAAAUAUUUUUAUCAUAUCUUGACUCAUUCACUUUCAGAAUAGUCGAGAAUUCGUGAUUCUUAUCACAAGUCACAUUCUCUUCAAGGAAUGGACCAAUCAUUUGUAUGUGCUUCAUAAAUCUGCAUUAUAAGCUUAUUGUCAUACCUUUCACUACAAGAAAAAUGUGGAUUACAUGGGGAUUUUUCUAGGGAUUGCAUAUGAAAAUUCGCAAGAAACUAAGUUUUCUGCGAAUUUUCCUACCAAAAAAAAUUCGAUGGUAAAACCUUCCUAGAUAAUAUUUCUUGCGAAUUUUAAAAUCCCCAAGUAAUUUACCUAUGGAUUUAUAUUUCGUGGGUAAAUUACUUGGGAAUUUUCUUGCAAAAAAAUAUACCGAUUUUUUUUUUUAAAAGUUAACAAAAAAGAAUUUUUCUAGACAAUAUUAAUUAAUAAUUAGUAUCUCCUAAUUAAUUAUUUUGUUCUGGAACCCGAUAUACUUAGGACACCCCCAUACACAUAGUUACCUACUCAUAAUUGCACUAACUUAAUCCUAGUCCACCACCCAAUGCCCAACCUAUAUGUAAUUACUUUAUUCUACCAAUGCUCUAACUAAUAGCAUUAUAAAUGCUAAAGAUCAUGUGUCUUCCACCGAUGUGGUAAAAAGUACCACUAGCAUUACGAUAAAUUUUGUUGUUUUUCUUCAAUUUGAUUAAUUUUUAAAGCUAAAUUUUAAUUAAAAUUAAUUGAGUAUUAAAAAUACAAUUUAGAUAUUGAUUACACAAAAAGUACUAUAAAGUCAUCUCAUAUUAAUAUGAGAUAAAAAUAUAUCUUAAAAAUGUUGAGUAAAAUUCAUGUGAUUUAGCUUUUCAAAAAUAAAGCAUGACAACUAUAUAUUUCUAUUAUAUAGAAAUGUGAUGAGGAGGACGACCAAGGGUAAUUUCGUCAAUUUACUAAAAAACUUUGUUUAAAUUCUUUGAAUCUCAUUUACAAUAGAAUGUUUUUCUCUUUAAGAUUAAUCAAAUCAAAAUUUAAUUAUUAUAGUAUAUGACCUAUUUUAUUUUUCAAGUUAUCAAUUAACACUUAAUAUUAUUAUUCUUUUGUCUCUAAUAAGAAUCGAAAAAUACAAAUUAAUACAUUAAUCAUGUUUUGAUCAUAUAACUUAUUGGUGAUCAGAAAGAUAAAUUAAUUGAAAUUAAUUAAAAUUUUGAAAAAUUUGACAAUAAAAAAUGCAUAAUUAUAAUACGGAAAAUUGCAUAAUUUGAAACUAUAUGCAAUCUUUUCAUUAAAUUAAUACAAAUAAUAAAACAAUACAUAUUAUAUUAUAACUAUAUAUUCAUUUUACCAAUAAAAAUAAAUAAAUGUUAAAAUUUCUAUUAUCCAUUAAGAUAAAUUAUCCAUAGACUUUACCAAAAAAAUAAAUAAAUAACACUAUCCAUAUAACUUCCUAUAAUUUAAUAUUAGGAAAAGUUUUACCAACGACUCUUUUUCACUUAAAUAAAAUAUUGAGAAAUAAGAAUUAAACCACCCCAAAUAAGGAUAUUCGUGAGAAUGAUCCACAGUAAAAUUAAUUUAAAUUUUGAAAAAAUUACACAAAUAAAUCUUAAAACUAAAUUAAUUAUCUAAAAAUGGCCAACCCAAACUAAUUCCCGAAAUGGUCAAUCGGAUGUGCCCUUUUUGUUAUGAAGUUAACUUUUGUUAAUAUUCUUAAAUCCUCUUUAUUUGAGGUAAAAUAUUCAUUUAUCAGGUAAAAUUACUUUAGAAAAAAUUAUUUGUCUACUACGCUAAAUUGUUCUCCUAAUUUUAAUGAACAUAAAGACAAGACAUAACGUCAAAAUUUUUUUUUCAUCCUUUAUCACUGUGUAAAGAAUGAGAUAAUUCAUUCUAAUUUUCAUCAAGUAGGUCAUUAUUUCUGUUUGUUAAAACAUCUAUAAAACAAAUUUUAAGUAUAUUCAAAAUUAAUCUAUAGAUGGAUCAUCAGACUUUAUUGCUUCAUAUAGUUUAUGAAAAUUGUUAAUAUAUUGACACUCAUAAUUUUAAUCUUUUCUCUUGAAUAAGUUAUAUAUAAAAUAGAAAAAAAUAUCAUUAAUUUAAUUAUUUGAUUCAAAUAUUAUGUUUCACAUGAUGUUAAAAAAUCACGGAAUCAUAUGAUAUUUUAUUGUUCUUUCCUAUCAUGUUUAUUUCAAAAUAUCAUAAUAAUUUUUUCCCCGAAAACUAAUUAAAUUUCUAUUAUAAAUUUAUAUAAAAUUGUAAUAUUGGGCCCGUAACGGGCCUUUCAUUAUCUAGUAUAUAUAUAUAUAUAAAUAAAUCACUACCACCCAACAUAUCAUGAAAAAUUUAUGCCUACACUUUCUAUGAGAUAAUAUCUAUAACGAAGCAUAUUAAAUGUAGACAAAAUUUACAUUAUGCAUACAAAGUUCUUAUAAAUAAAUAAUUGAAAAUAUAAAUACACUUAUAAAUUUAAUGUGCAAGGAAGUUAUAAAUCAAUAAUUGAUAGUAUAUCUUAUUAGGAAAUUUUGUAUUUAUAAUUUUAAUUUAUCUUUUAAUAAUUAUAUUUUAAUAUACUUAAUUUUAUAUUUGGAUAUAAUAUCAUUUAAUAACUUACUAUAGAGAAUUUUUAUUUUUAUUUUUUAAUGCUAGUAAGAAUAUAAUAUACCCAUUGGAUAUACAAGUAAAAAUUAUUUAUUUUUCUUUUCAUAUAAUUCUAUCAACAAGGGGUAAUUAAACUUUUAUGAUAGUUAUUUUUUGUUGGAUAAAUGACUAUCCAUAUAAUUUUAAUUUUUUCUAUCUUUCAAAUAAAAAAACAAAAUAAAAAAAAAUGGUAUUAUUGGUUUUUAGUGAGAUGAAAUAUUAAUUAUAUAUAAGUUAAAAAUAUUUAUCCUAAAAUUUAUGGUAAUGUUCCAACACCGUAUUAAUUUGACAAAUAUUUAUGAUAGUUACUUUUCUAUUGGAUAAACAACUACCCAUAUAAUUUUAAUUCUUUGUAUUUUUCAAAUAAAAAAAACAAAAUAAAAAAUGGUAUCAUUGAUUUUUAGUGAGAUAAAAUAUUAAUUAUAUAAAAAUAUUCAUCCUAAAAUUUAUGAUAAUGUUCUAACACCGUAUUAGAUUAAAAUAUUUAUGAUAAUUAUUUUUCUAUUGGAUAAAUAACUAGCCAUAUAAUUUUAAUUCUUUGUUUCUUUCAAAUAAAAAUUAAAAAAUAAUAACAUUGAUUUUUAGUGAGAUUAAAUAUUAAUUAUAUAUGAGUUAAAAAUAUUCAUCCUAAAAUUUAUGAUAAUGUUCCAACACCUUAUUAAAUUGAUAUUAUUGCAUAAUAAUUUAUUAAACCUAAGAAUAGAAUAAUUAUUUAACAAUAAAUUUCAUUCUAGUGAUCAUUUGUCCUUUUUAUACUAUUAUAUUUUUUUUAAUUUUGGUAAAUAUAUUUUUAAGAAAAUAUUCCCCGAGGAUUCCUAAUUUACAAAAAUUCUUAGAUUUCAAUAAAAAAAAUUCAAUUAAAUUAUAUUAAAAAUAUUCAAGUUUGCAUAUUUCCAAGUAAAUCCCUUAAAAAAUCUCAAAUCAAAUUCACAACAAUAGAAUCCCCAAGUAAAUUCUUCAAGUAAGAAAAUUCCUAAGUAAAUCCCCAACAAAAUUCAUAGAACAUGAAUCUCCAGGUAAUACCACAUAAAAAAUAUUUCUAGAUAAAUUUCCAAGUAAUUAUUUGCAAAUAAAUUUAUCUAGGAAUUUUCUUGCUAGAAGAUAAAAAAAAAUCAUUUUUUUAUUACUUGCGAAUAUACCUAUGAAAAUAAUACUUACAAAUUAUUUGCCGCAAAUAAUUCCCUAGGUAAUAAUUUUGCGAAAAUGGUGCCAAAUUUAUCCACCAAUUUUUCUGGAAGACUAUUUUUCGUAGGUAAAAAAGUCUAUAAUUUAGGAAUUUCAUAUUUCCGCAUGAAAACUCGUAGGAAAUUUCUGCAGAAAUAAUCCCCAAGUAAAAUUCGCCGGUAAUUUACCGUUUUCUAGUAGUGUUUGCAGUUUAUCAUUUUUGCACAACAUGUUGGGAAAGACAAGGCACUAACAAAAAUAUCAGACAGGAUAGUAGCGGAAUAAUACCCAAAUCUAAACUUUCCCUUUUAAUUUGAACUAAGAGGAGACAAACCAAAUCAAACAAUAUGAAGAAUGGACAACAAGUAUAUCAACCAAACUAAAGCAAUAUGAUAAGAACAAGCUAAUCACACAAGACACAACGAUUUACGUGGAAAACCCUUCGAUGUGAAGAGUAAAAAACCACAGGACCUAAAGCUCCACUAUAAACACCAAGAGUUACAAAAUUGUUCUCUAAAAUUGGCCACAAAACAAGCGCCAAACAACGAGCAACAACAAAUCAAGAUUGCACCAAAACUGGAGAAUUAAAGAAGAGAUUUCACCCCAAAACGCGCUACUGUUCACGCCCUCAAACCAGAAGCUACAGACCUCCAAAUCCGAUCUUCACCGUUGAAUUGUAAGAACCAGAUUCUGAGAACUCCCAGUUAAAAUUUGAGCACGAUCCAAUGGUUAACGAAGCGGAAAACUCUGUCUGAAGAGGACUGCCUGAGCAGAAAAUUUCCAGAAGCAAAAACGGAAUUUUUCCCUUUUUCUCUCAAUCUCUAAAACGAAUCUCUCUUGAUUUUUCUCUCUUGUAUUUCUGAAAAUAAGACCAAAUAAGCCUUAUAUAUGCCACAUAAUAUUUUGGGGUUUUAUGGGCUAAAGUGAGCUGGUCCUAAUAAGACUUUUAUUUUAUUCCACAUAGGAAGGGAAAGAAAAGAUCCUAAACCCAACACAACACACCUCAACGUCACUUUGAAAGGUCAAGUGUACACACUUUAUCUUCCUUUCUUUUGAUGGAAAAUUUAUAAACUUAUCAAAUUAUUAGGUCGACAACCUUUCAUACCAUUUUGAUAAUAAAAAUUACCUUCACAUUUUGAAGGACUAUUUGGAGAACCCACAAUGUUCUUCAUUUAGCCAUAGCGAUGACUAUCAUGAUUUCUUUUUUCUCAUGCCCAUAUUCAUUGUACAAUCACAAUAAUCAUUGUCAUCUUUCAGACUUAUCAUGUACUGCUACCACAUUCACACAAGAGAAUGGAGCAAACCAAUUGAGCAAAAUGCAUGACUUCUCAUAAAAAUACAAUUAGUUUGUCAUAGUCAUCAUUAUGGUGCAUUAGAACUUAAAUCCAAUGUCUUAUCCAUAUAAAGCCGUCUUAGGUCAUAAAUCGAUGGGACAUGAACCCAACGUAUUAUCAUCAUGGUGCAUCAAAAUUCAAAUUGAUGUCGUAUCCUCUUGGUGCAAUAGAACUUUAAUCUACCGUCUUACCCUCCAACAUUUUUUUCAUUAUGUGCAUCCGAACUUUAACCUGAUGUCUUACCAUUUUAGUGCGAUGAGACUUGAAUCCAUAGUCUUACCCUGAAUUAAUAAAUAAUAGUCCAAAAUGAAAUGGAAUUAACCUCUUGUGUCCCAUCAUAUCGUUCACGUCACUGCUUACCAGAGACAAACAUAUGCCUCUCCCAAUUUAUUUAUUUUUUCAAGCUAAAAGAAAUUGUUUUCUCCGGUCUACUCCAAAAAAAUGAAAUUAAUCUCAUAGUUUAGAGUAAUGAUUAAUAAAAUAAUAAUAGAAAAUAGAAGCAUAGUUUUCUUCUUAAAUGGCAAAUUAAAACUUUUUUUUUUGAGACGUAUACGCUUAGUGAAUGAAAUAACUGUGCAAACCAUAUAAGCAUACACAAAAUUUAUUAAACUUAGAAAAGGAAAACAAAUAAAAAGGAUGACAAAAAAUCAUUCAUUAAACAAAACAUAACAAAUUAUAAAAUUUUCACUUCAUUAUUGUAGCCUUCAACCAUUAAAGAGCUUUAAGCCCAAAUAUUUUGAUAACAUAUGAGCCGUUGCUUAGGGAACGGAACCAACAAGUGCUUUUUAUCGCAUUUCUUCUUUUAUGUAUUUUAAACUUUUUCCCUUGUGCUGGUUAGAACAAUGUCAAAAUUAAUUAAUUUCACUUUUUUAGGAUGAUUCUCUAAAUGAUGAGACUGGUAUUUCUUUGUGAUCAACUAGUGUUCUUCUUCAACUGGCAGAUAAGAGAGAUGUGGUUGGUUUGCAGGAACAGGUAUAUGUUUUCAGCGGUUAACUUGCUUCUGAAUUUUCAAGUUUUUGUUCGGAAUUUGGGAUAUGUGAAUCUCUUGCUCUAUAGAUCCCCUUCCCUUCGUCUAGAACAUCGCCUUUUUUUUCUUCCUACUAUUGGAGCAGGAGAAAACUGAUAAUAGAUCUCACUUGCAGGUGGUUAAGCUGUUAGCUUAUAUUAGUGAUAAGGACUUGUUUGCAGAAUUCUAUAGGUAGAGUUACCUCUACUCUGUAUCUCAACCACUACUCGAAUAGUAGCUUCUUCUCUGUUAUUUGAUAAAAGUGCCAAUGAUGAACAUGAGAGAAGUAUCCUAACAAAGUUGAAGCAGCAGUGUGGGGACAGUUCACAUCAAAGAUGGAGGGAAUGGUAAGCUAUCCAUAUCAAUUAUGUUGAAUUUGAGGCUAUGUUCUCUGGUGACAUUUUUCUUCUCUUUCUAUAGGUCACAAAUUUGACAUUGUCAAGGGAAAAUCAAGCCAGCUUUGAGGAGUAUUUGAGCAAUUAUCCAAUAGCAAAUCCAGGAAUUGACUUGACGACGACUAUCUUGACUACUGGCUUCUGUCCUAGCUACAAGUUUUUUGAUCUCAACAUCCCGGCAGAAAUGGUGGAGGAUUGGGUGGGUAGGAGGAGACAAUAAACUUAGAAUGUCACUUAUGCAAAUCGGUUUCGCUAUAUUCAUUAGGAAAGUAGUUUUCCAAGUGAAAAGAUUUUCCAAACAUUUGACCAAUCAAAUAUAGAAAAUCUGGAAAACAUAGACUACAUUCUCAAAAAAUGAAAAAAGUAAAGAGUCCUCAAGCACUUGAGGUAAAAUGCAUAAAACCCAAAAUUAGUAGGGAUAAAUUUGCAAUAACCCUGAAUGAAAAUCCAAGAAAUUACAGCGGAAAAAAUGGACAUAAUUAGAAGUAUAAGGGGGUUUUCAAGGAAACAGGAAAACCACAUAAAAGGGAAAAGAGAGAUUCACAUCUCACCGGAUACUCUUCUUGUCAUUAAUGGUUCCUGGCAGCUCCGUCUUGUGCCGUCAUCGGAUCUAGACUCUCCGAUCACUCUUUCGGCGAAUUCCUUUGCUCUCCGGUGACUUCACAGGUAUAUUUUCCGGUCAAAUUGUGAGCUCUGAUUCGAUGUACACUGUUCCCACGUAUGUAUAUAUCUAUGAUACCUAGUUGAUGUGAUUGUUUUGGUUUAAUAGUUUCUUCCUUUGCUUCAUAUUGAUCCUAUUAUUGAUUUUGUUUCCAGUAGCUAUUGAAAUUGUGUUUUUUUGUUGUGGUUGAUUUUGCGUUCUUCAAAGCUGUGAUUGAUGGACUAGUCUUAUGUUGUUUUUUUAUUUCUCUAUAGUUUAUUCUGAGCAUGACUGUUUUGUCCUUUUUGAAGUUAGGUAUAGUGGAGAUUUAGUGUUCAUUAUUGGUAGGGUUUGAGUUUAAUUUUUGGUUCAUUCUAUGUGCAACUGACGACAUUCAUGCAAACUAGAAAUUCAAUACAAACAACUAAUUCCAGAACUUUGUUUUCUUUUGUUAACUGCCUGAAACUUUAGACUUUUCAGCUAUGUUGCUCAGAAUCUUCAAAAAUGUCGACGAGUGCGUGUCGGAUUAGUAAAUUUUUGAAGGAUCCAAGCAACUUAGCUUUUCAGUGUCUUUGAUGUGUAUUUUCUUUUGGUAUUCUCAGUUUUAUUUACUUAUUAAUUUAUAUACGUUUAUUGGAAAAUGUUGUGUAAACAGUUUUUUUUAUGUAACCCUAAAAAGAUUUUUAUUAAGGAAAAGUGUGCAAUUUUGGUAACUCUAGUUUAUCUAGGCACUAGGAAUUACUUGGUGAAACUUAGUUCUUGUGGAAUUCCUAUCAAGUCAGGGUCUUGGGAAACCAAUUCAGAAUCGUUAGGAAUCAAUCAAUUACCUUGAAUGUGCUUAGAGAUGUAUCAAAUGAUACCAGCCGACUAGUCCAAUAACUACAGUUUCCUGAAAAGUGCCCCUUUCCAGGGCAAAGGAAGUUAAGAGCUUGCAAAAGAAUUGCAGAAUCAAUUCCUAAAUAGAACUUAGAGUAGAAUUCCUGUAACAUCCGGCAAUUUGAAAUAGCUAAGAAGAAGCUUAGAAUUUGAAAAUUUUCAAUUUUUGGAAAGGAUUUGAAAAUCUAGAAAAUUUGGCUAAGUAUGGAAAUCAGUGAUUUUUGGCCAACUUUGAGCAGUCAUAACUUCUAGCUCAGGAUUAUUUAGGAGUAGUUCCAGUUAUGGUUGUGAAUCUUGUGGAAUGAUCUUUCCAACGCCACCGAGUUUGCUCAAUUCCGAGUUCGUAUGAGCGAGUUAUGGCCUUUGAAAGUUGGGCAGUUGACAAGGAAAUCCGUCCGGGAAUCAUUAAGGGCAUUUUGGUCUUUUCCCUAGCUAUUUCUUUUGAGGAUGUAUUGUUGUAUAGGGCUGAUCUUUGGAUCAUUUUGUUCCAUUUUUAAGAGAGUGAAGGCUAGGGCUUGAGANNNNNNNNNNNNNNNNNNNNNNNNNNNNNNNNNNNNNNNNNNNNNNNNNNNNNNNNNNNNNNNNNNNNNNNNNNNNNNNNNNNNNNNNNNNNNNNNNNNNNNNNNNNNNNNNNNNNNNNNNNNNNNNNNNNNNNNNNNNNNNNNNNNNNNNNNNNNNNNNNNNNNNNNNNNNNNNNNNNNNNNNNNNNNNNNNNNNNNNNNNNNNNNNNNNNNNNNNNNNNNNNNNNNNNNNNNNNNNNNNNNNNNNNNNNNNNNNNNNNNNNNNNNNNNNNNNNNNNNNNNNNNNNNNNNNNNNNNNNNNNNNNNNNNNNNNNNNNNNNNNNNNNNNNNNNNNNNNNNNNNNNNNNNNNNNNNNNNNNNNNNNNNNNNNNNNNNNNNNNNNNNNNNNNNNNNNNNNNNNNNNNNNNNNNNNNNNNNNNNNNNNNNNNNNNNNNNNNNNNNNNNNNNNNNNNNNNNNNNNNNNNNNNNNNNNNNNNNNNNNNNNNNNNNNNNNNNNNNNNNNNNNNNNNNNNNNNNNNNNNNNNNNNNNNNNNNNNNNNNNNNNNNNNNNNNNNNNNNNNNNNNNNNNNNNNNNNNNNNNNNNNNNNNNNNNNNNNNNNNNNNNNNNNNNNNNNNNNNNNNNNNNNNNNNNNNNNNNNNNNNNNNNNNNNNNNNNNNNNNNNNNNNNNNNNNNNNNNNNNNNNNNNNNNNNNNNNNNNNNNNNNNNNNNNNNNNNNNNNNNNNNNNNNNNNNNNNNNNNNNNNNNNNNNNNNNNNNNNNNNNNNNNNNNNNNNNNNNNNNNNNNNNNNNNNNNNNNNNNNNNNNNNNNNNNNNNNNNNNNNNNNNNNNNNNNNNNNNNNNNNNNNNNNNNNNNNNNNNNNNNNNNNNNNNNNNNNNNNNNNNNNNNNNNNNNNNNNNNNNNNNNNNNNNNNNNNNNNNNNNNNNNNNNNNNNNNNNNNNNNNNNNNNNNNNNNNNNNNNNNNNNNNNNNNNNNNNNNNNNNNNNNNNNNNNNNNNNNNNNNNNNNNNNNNNNNNNNNNNNNNNNNNNNNNNNNNNNNNNNNNNNNNNNNNNNNNNNNNNNNNNNNNNNNNNNNNNNNNNNNNNNNNNNNNNNNNNNNNNNNNNNNNNNNNNNNNNNNNNNNNNNNNNNNNNNNNNNNNNNNNNNNNNNNNNNNNNNNNNNNNNNNNNNNNNNNNNNNNNNNNNNNNNNNNNNNNNNNNNNNNNNNNNNNNNNNNNNNNNNNNNNNNNNNNNNNNNNNNNNNNNNNNNNNNNNNNNNNNNNNNNNNNNNNNNNNNNNNNNNNNNNNNNNNNNNNNNNNNNNNNNNNNNNNNNNNNNNNNNNNNNNNNNNNNNNNNNNNNNNNNNNNNNNNNNNNNNNNNNNNNNNNNNNNNNNNNNNNNNNNNNNNNNNNNNNNNNNNNNNNNNNNNNNNNNNNNNNNNNNNNNNNNNNNNNNNNNNNNNNNNNNNNNNNNNNNNNNNNNNNNNNNNNNNNNNNNNNNNNNNNNNNNNNNNNNNNNNNNNNNNNNNNNNNNNNNNNNNNNNNNNNNNNNNNNNNNNNNNNNNNNNNNNNNNNNNNNNNNNNNNNNNNNNNNNNNNNNNNNNNNNNNNNNNNNNNNNNNNNNNNNNNNNNNNNNNNNNNNNNNNNNNNNNNNNNNNNNNNNNNNNNNNNNNNNNNNNNNNNNNNNNNNNNNNNNNNNNNNNNNNNNNNNNNNNNNNNNNNNNNNNNNNNNNNNNNNNNNNNNNNNNNNNNNNNNNNNNNNNNNNNNNNNNNNNNNNNNNNNNNNNNNNNNNNNNNNNNNNNNNNNNNNNNNNNNNNNNNNNNNNNNNNNNNNNNNNNNNNNNNNNNNNNNNNNNNNNNNNNNNNNNNNNNNNNNNNNNNNNNNNNNNNNNNNNNNNNNNNNNNNNNNNNNNNNNNNNNNNNNNNNNNNNNNNNNNNNNNNNNNNNNNNNNNNNNNNNNNNNNNNNNNNNNNNNNNNNNNNNNNNNNNNNNNNNNNNNNNNNNNNNNNNNNNNNNNNNNNNNNNNNNNNNNNNNNNNNNNNNNNNNNNNNNNNNNNNNNNNNNNNNNNNNNNNNNNNNNNNNNNNNNNNNCUCAUCUAUGUAUAUAUGUAAAUAUUCUAUUUUGAGACUCGAGUUGCCCCUUUGGGCCAUAUUUUAUCAGUUAAGUUGUUUAUGUCUUUGCAUGACAUUGAGUUAUUCUGUUGAGUCAGGUUUCCGCUGAGUUAAGAAAGCCAGGCCAAGGGUUCGCUUGGGGCUAGCAAUGGUCUCCGAGUGCCGGUCCCGCCCAGGGUGUAGGCUCGGGGCGUGACAAUUCCUUUUCACCGAGCAAUAAGCACGAAUAAAAAUUAAAUAGUAAGCUCACAUGACUAUUGAGUUAUACCUGCGAGUUAUUUUGUUAUGAAUCAUGAGCUUAGACGAUUAGUUGGCAAGUAAAAUCAAAUGCGGAUGAGGUAAUUACUUAGGGUUUUUAUUUUGGCUCAAUGUAGGGAGUCUCUACUGCACAUUAUUGUACUCUUGUGGAGCUCUCUCGAAGGCUUCGUUUUUUGUGACAUGUACUUUAACUUUACGCUUAUCUCUGCACUUCUUAAAUUUUGGAGUUUGGACUUGUUUAGUUACAUAAAUGGUUCAUUUGUUCUUGAUAAUUCAUUAUACUAAAAGUCCUAUACACCCAACUAAAUAUUUAAUUCAGAGUGGUAAAGAAUCGUUAGAAGACCAAGAUCAAACAAUAAAAAACCCACUACCUUUUCCAAUUAGGCAUCUAUAACUCUGGUAAUUCAGAAUAUUUCCAGUUAGUGAACUUUGAUUCGUUCCUUUAUUAUUGUAUUCUAUUCUUGUGCUCCUUUAUCUUCUCUCCUCUUUGUAUUACUUGAAUUUAAGCCUCCAAUAUGUAGUCAUAUUCUUCUACCCUUUCUAUAGAGAGACCCAGAAUUGGCUCAAGGUACCUGUGCGAUUCUUAGUAUGUAUCGCUCCUUAACAGUCCCCGCUUUGAAGCCUUGAAACCCAAGUAUUCUGGUCCAUAUUUCAAGGAUAUAGCCAAGUUUGUAGUUUGUCCAACAUAAGACUUUAGUAUUCAAUAAGAGCAUUUUUUCUGUCAUUUGUUUGUUUAUUCUCAACGGUAAAGUCAAAUAUUAAUGUGAUUUGAUUUUUUGACUGGCUUAAAAAUUGCUUGAUUUUCAUACUAGCUUUUAUUGAGUUUAGUUGGUGAUGUUAUUUAGUUUGGGAACAGGUCCACAGGAUUUUGGAAUUUGUGUAGGGUUGCAUUCUGUUAAAUUGUGAAGAUAUUGAAAUCACAAUGAACCAACGUAGCGUAAUCGAUCUGAAACAUGGAUUGGACUCCAUGCAAUGGGGCAUUACAAAGCUGAAGAACAUUCUUGAAGGGUUGCCUGAGCCUCAGUUCAGCUCAGAGGACUAUAUGAUGCUGUAUACGUAUCCUUUUAGACUCCCACACUGUUAGGCAUGUAGAUAACUUGGAUUUGAUGCACCUUUUGUUUCCUUAAGUCUACUAACAGGACAAUUUACAACAUGUGUACUCAGAAUCCCCCACAUAAUUACUCUCAACAGCUAUAUGACAAAUAUCGUGAAGCUUUUGAAGUAUAUAUCACAACAACGGUAAGCGUAGUUGCAAUUUUCAUUUGCAUUUCACUUUAGUAGAAAUUAAACAAGGUACUUCAAUAAACCAAACAAAAAAUAAGAAUUGAAGAAGUACUAUUCUUAAUUAUUCUUUGAUUUUGUUAUAUCCAUGGACCAUUCUUGAUAGUUUGCUCUCUAUUUACCAUUCUGGAAUGUUUGGAACUUAUAGAAAUGAUUUCUUUAAUAAAAAAACAGAAAAUCAUUAGUCAAUUUUAGCCAUGUAAACAAAGAGGGCUUAGUACGGGUAGUUUCCUUGGUGCCUUCUGUGAUUUUAUUUAUGCCCUCUAUGAUUUUAUUUAAUAAGGAUCCAUGUUCAAGUAUCAACAUUUUUUUGGGAUCUGAAUGUAAUUCAGGCAUUGCUUUCCCAAGAGGAAUAUUAUCUUUUAGUUUUAUUCCCACUAUUAUAAGAUUCAAAUUUUGAAAAGGCUGCUCUUCCUGCUUCUUCAUCCCAUUGAAUAUGAAGAAAAGGAUAUGGGGAAAGUGGAGAGAAGUUUAAAAAACACGUCUAAAUUUCAUGGAUGCUUUUGUAUUUUAUUUUAGGAAUGCCAUUUCGCUUAGAGGUUUAAAAUGAUGAAAACUCAAAUUUGGCUUAAAGUUUGUUUACCUAAUUUUUGUUUCUCCAAAUAAUUCUACCUUCUCUAAAUUUCACUGUGCAAUUCAAUUUCAAAAUAGGUAUUGCCUUCUUUGAGAGAAAAACAUGAUGAGUUCAUGUUGCGAGAGCUGGUAAAAAGGUGGUCAAAUCAUAAGGUCAUGAUCAGAUGGUUAUCGAGAUUAUUCCAUUUUCUUGACUGCUAUUUGAUUGCCCGGAAAUCUCUGCCGAACCUUAAUGAAGUUGGACUAACUUGCUUCUGUGAUCAGGUAAUUUACUGUUCUCCUUCUUUUUUCUCUUUCAAUCAAAAUUUUGUUUCUAUGGUUAUCUAUUAAAACAUCUCCACCUGAUCACUUGGUUAAAGCACUGAGCUCAACUCAUGGCUUCUAUAUUGAUUUUUUUUAAUUCUAUUUUCUGGGUUUUGCCUACUCUAGAAUUUGGUUUGCAGUUUGAGAGUAUACUCAACUUCUACCACAUCUUUUUAUGAAAAGAUGCCACUUUUUAGUCCCUCCAUCCUAAUUAUGUGAAGGUGUUUGACUUGACACGAAGUAUAAGAGAAAAAAAAGAAUUUUGAAACUUGUGGUAUAAAGUAAGCUAUAGAAACUUUGUGGCUAUAAAGUAAAACGAGUCUAGAGUUAAAAGGGCAACAAAAUUGAGUUUAAAUUCCAAAACAGGAACAAAAAAUAAGGUUGAAACCAAAAGGGAAACAUUUGGACGGGAGGUCGACGCCGUGAGUUUUGUGGAAGAAGGUGUAGGUUCCCAUGCGCCUUAUAAGACGCAAGGCUACACAGUAUUUGUGAGACGCAGGUCUACCUGUGUAACAACCGAAAAUUUGAAAUAAUUAUGAAGAGGCUUAGAAUUUGAAAUAGUCAUUUUUGGAAAAAUUUAAAAAUCUGGAAAUUUGGCCAAGUAUGGAAAAAGGGUGAGUUUUGGCCAACUUUGAGCAGUCAUAACUUCUAGCUUAGGAUGAUUUAGGUGUAGUUCCAGUUAUGGUUGCAUAGCUCAUGGAAUGUUCUUUCCAACGCCACCGAGUUUGCUCGAUUCCGAGUUCGUAUGAGUAAGUUAUCCCCUUUGAAAGUCAAACAGUUGGCAGGGAAUCCGUCCGGAAAUUUUAAGGGCAUUUUGGUCUUUUCCCUAGCCAUUUCUUUUGAGGUUAUAUUGUUGUGUUAGGCUUAUUUUGGAUCAUUUUGUCCCAUUUUUAAAAAAGAGUGAGAGCUAGGGCUUGAGAGUAAAGAGGAGAAGAAGAGGAGAAAGAGAAGAAGGAGAAAGGGUAUCAAGCAAGUUCCGUCGUGGAUAUCGUCGGGGGUGAUCCCCACUAGGUAUGUGAGUCCAUAGGGUUGGGUUGGCUCUUUCCCCCACCCUCCAAACUCGUUUUACUUUGAAAGAAAAGAUUAGUUGUGUUGUUGAAGUUGUUGGAUGUGUUGUUGAUCUUGUUGAUUUGUGUUGUUGGAGUUCCUUGUUGAUUUGGGGACAUGAUUUGGUUGUGUUUUGAGUUGAAUCUCUUGUAUGUUGAGGGAUCUUAUGAUCCUUAGUGGUUGGGGUUGAAACCUUUGAAGUUAGGGUGGUUUAGAGUUGGAAAAAAAAGAGGGUGAAAAGUCGAGUUUCUGGGCAAGGGGUUGGCGCGUCGUGCCUGCCAGGGGUUCUGAAGUUUCCCCCUUGGGGCGGCGCGCCUCUCAAUACGCCAGCAGGCCUCCUCUGAAGUUUUUGGUCUGGCGCUCCGCGCCUCUCAGAGCGCCAGGUUUUCCCAUUCAUUCCCCACUUUCUUAUGCAUGUUCUUAGGUAUUGUACCUAUGUUUCCUAGUUGUUUCCAACACUCCAAAGUACGUCUAAACGUCAAAAACUCAUCUAUAGCAUGUGAUCAAACACCUUGAAUUCAUAAUUCAAUUCAAGGAGAGUUAGUUAAGAGUUAAGCUUAGAAGUUAAGCAAGUCAAGCAAGUCUUCAAAGUUGUUCAAGAGUCUUUAUUGAAUGUUUUAACUUCAUUUUAAGACUCAAGUUUCAAGUCAAGAAAAGAGCUUAGAGUUUCAAGUUAAGUCAAGAGUUUAAGUUGAGUUCAUUUCUCAAAAGUUAUUAGGGAACUAUGUAUUCCCAAAGAAGUUUCUAAAUGUUUUUACAUUUGAGUAAGAAANNNNNNNNNNNNNNNNNNNNNNNNNNNNNNNNNNNNNNNNNNNNNNNNNNNNNNNNNNNNNNNNNNNNNNNNNNNNNNNNNNNNNNNNNNNNNNNNNNNNNNNNNNNNNNNNNNNNNNNNNNNNNNNNNNNNNNNNNNNNNNNNNNNNNNNNNNNNNNNNNNNNNNNNNNNNNNNNNNNNNNNNNNNNNNNNNNNNNNNNNNNNNNNNNNNNNNNNNNNNNNNNNNNNNNNNNNNNNNNNNNNNNNNNNNNNNNNNNNNNNNNNNNNNNNNNNNNNNNNNNNNNNNNNNNNNNNNNNNNNNNNNNNNNNNNNNNNNNNNNNNNNNNNNNNNNNNNNNNNNNNNNNNNNNNNNNNNNNNNNNNNNNNNNNNNNNNNNNNNNNNNNNNNNNNNNNNNNNNNNNNNNNUUUUGAAUGUCAUGUUUUAAUAGUUUUACAAGCUUUAUAUAUUGCAUGUGUCUUAUUGCUUUAUCUAUUGAGUUCAAUUAUCCAUAAGUUAAACAGAGCCAAUGUAAGUGUUCUCUUGUACUCCUUUCAAGCUUAAGUUGUGGUUUAGCUUUCCAGCUCGCAUACUCGUACAUUCAAUGUACUGAUGCCAGUUGGCUUGCAUCUUAUGAUGAUGCAGACACAGGUAUCCAGGGUCAGCAUCCUGCACGCCGUUGAUCCAGUUGAGCACUCUAGAGUCAGUGGUGAGCCUCCUUGCUUUCCGGAGGACUCGGUUGUUUUGAUCUUUAGUUUUGUUUUAAUUAGGGUGUUGUGGGGUCUGUCCCAACAUCCAUCUCAGUAUUGUAGAGGCUUCAUAGACAGUCAGUCAGUUAGUAUUGAGUCUCUCAUUUAUGUAUAUAUGUAAAUAUUCUAUUUUGAGACUCGAGUUGCCUUUUGGCAUGUUAUGCAUCAGUUAGUUGUUUUUAUAACCUUUCAUUGCAUUGAGUGGUGCUGUUGAGUUAAGUUUCCGCUGAGUUAAGAAAGCUAGGCCAAGGGUUCACUCGGGGCCAGCGAUGGUCUCCGAGUGCCGGUCCCGCCCAGGGUAUAGGCUCGGGGCGUGACAGCCUGCGCCUUGUAAGGUGCAUGGAGCCUGCGCCUUUCUCAUGAUGCAAUAUAUUUAACAAAAUCAAAUUAGAUUAGGUGUUUACUUGGCAAUUGACAUGACUUGAUUACCUUAAAAAUGAUGAUAUGAAAACUUCUAGAACCAAUAAAAAGAUAAAGAAUAUUACUCUCAUAAUGUUUUAUUUUCAUUCAUUCAUUUUAACAUUUGGAAAGAAAAUUAUUUUUUCAUGGUUACUCUUAACAUUAGUUAUUAAUUUUUUAAAAUAUUAAUAAUAGUUAGUAUAAUAAUAAAAUAUACAAUUCAUUUUUUUAAAGUUAAUUACGAAUACGUAAAAGUAGUGGCGUACACUAUUUGGAUUAAACGGAAAAACCAAACCAAAUUGAACCGAAUACUAAUUUGGAUUGGUUUUUUUGGUUUUAGAUUAAUAAUUUAUUUUGUUUGAUUUUUUAAUUUGGUUUCGGAUUUAGAAAAAUAUAAACCCAAAAUCCAAAAAAUCAAAAUAUAUAUAUAUAUAAAAUCGAGAGUACUCAUUAUGAUGCAAGAAAAUAUCUCAAAAGUGUUUGAAAACUGAAAUUAAUUGGACCUGGAAAAGCCCCCAUUCUCUUGGAAGCCCAAUUGCCUAAGAAAGACCCAAUUCUGUUGGAAAAGGAACCUUUUGUUGACAACCUCUUUUUGACAGAGAGUAGUUCCUUUUCGAGCUCGAGAAUAUUAGAGAUGGAGAUGGGGUUUGGAGUGAGAACCGAAGCAUCUUUUGCUAAGGAUGAUGUGGCAACUUUCGAUGGAUCAGAAGUAUUGGGGGAUGAAGAUAACAACAUGCCUAUGGUUAUCUAUGAUACCAAGGAGGUAGGAAUUAAUUCAGUAGAAACUGAUAAGAGAGAACUUCAUCAGGGCAGCUGCUCUUCUGAGGAAAUUACAUUAUUUGAAGAUCCUCUUCUUCUUCAAAGUAAUGAUAGUCUCUCAGAACAAGAAAUUGAAGACAAAGCUUCACUUUGGGUACAAUCCAAUGUACUUAAACUCACCCAACUCUUUAGGGUUUCUUUUGAAGGAUGUGAUAAGGUGGCUUUUGAUCUAUUUUUGAGAAUUGAUCAAAAGAAGGGGGAAUUGAGGCAGAAGAAAGUGGAGACAACACCAAUCAAAGCAAAGAACACAAUCCCAAAGAAGAUGAAACGAGGUCCUCGGUAACGCGACAUAAAGACUCCUUAUUCUUAUUUAGUAUUUCGAAUGAAUUCUUAUUUCUAUUUAUUUUUUAUUGAAUUUUAUUUUACAGAAUAAACCUAAACUAAAAGAAAUAUGGAAUUCCAUGUUAAGUUUAAAGAAGGGGAGUCAAGAAACAGGGGGAGAAUAACAAACACAAAUCUCCAAUGAAAGUCAAAAUCCCUUCUUGGAAUGUAAGGGGGGUAAAUGGAGAAGAUAAAAGGGGGAUAGUCAGGAGAUUAAUUCAACAUUGGGGGGCUGAUGUUUAUGUUCUGGUUGAGACAAAAUGGGAGGACCUGAGGUGAAUGUAUUCAAACAAUUAUGGCAAAAUAGAUGGAUGAGGGAAUUUCAUUUGGAUUCUAUAGGCAGAAGCGGUGGUAUCAUAGUAAUGUGGGAUAAGAGGGUGUGGAAAGGAGAGCUGGUGAUAGCAGCAAAUCAAAUGGUAACCUGCAAGUUUGAAGGCAUUAAUUAGGCAUUCUCAUGGUUUCUCUAAGCUAUGUAUGCUUCCUUUGAUCCAAUGAUUAGAAGAGAACUUUGGCAAGAAUUCAUCAACAUCAAAGAACUGUGUAAUGGGCCUUGGGUAGCUUGUGGAGAUUUUAAUGCCACAAGAUAUCCAAACAAAAGAUCAGAAGGGCACAAACUUACCACUCUAAUGACUGAAUUUUCUGAAUGGAUCAAUGAGAUGGAGUUCAUCGAUCCUCCUUUAUUUGGGGGGUCUUUCACAUGGAGAAAGGGGGACAACCACAUGUCUGCCUCCAGAAUUGAUAGGUUUUUAUUUUCCUAGUGGGAUGAGACCUUCACACGAAUUAAACAGAACAUGCUUCCCAGAAUAGGCUCUGACCACAAUCCAAUUAUGCUUGAAUGCAGAGAUUUAAAUUUGAAGAAGUUUACUUCAAGUUUGAACAAUAGUGGUUAAGGGUAGAGGGUUUCUCAGACAAGGUUAAAGAAUCGUGAGCAUCUUUCAAUAUUACUGGUACGGGUUCUUAUGUCCUAGCUUCCAAGUUGAUGAUGCUAAAGGAGAAGCUAAACGAAUGGAAGCUCGAGAAUAGGAAUCAGAACAAAGAGGAAAUUUUGAAUCAGCUGUCAAUUCUAGAAAAGACUCAGGAGUUGAGAUUACUAUCAGUGGAUAAGUUACUUCAGAAAGUACAUCUUUCAAUGGAGUUUGAAGAUGCUGGAAAAAAAUGAGGAAAUAGCUUGGAGGCAGAGGUCUAGAGUACAUUGGCUCAAACAUGGAGACAAAAAUACCAAGUAUUUCCACAGGAUGGCAGUGUUAUGAAUGGCGAGCGCCAUUCGCCAAAGGCGAUAUGGCGAGGCGAGGCGAGGCAUUCUUGCCAUUCUACACUGAGGCGCGGCGAUAUCAAAAAGGCGAUCUAAGGCAACCUAAGGCGACCAGAAGGCGACGUAAAUGGUGGAGCCAUUUUGAUUUUUUAAUUUUUAAAAAGAUUUGACUUAAUAAUAUUAGUCAAAAUUAGGGUUUUUUUUCUAUUUUCAAACUUUCAGUCGCGUUGCUGCUCCUUGCGAUUUCUUCAGCCUCACGUCUCUUCUCCUUGCGAUCUCUUCAGCCCUCGCGUCUCUUCUCUUUGCGAUCUCUUCAGCCCGAGUUGCUGCCAGGUACCUCUUUUUUUUCUUCUUCUUUUCAGUUCGUCUUCUUCUUCUUGAGUUCUCUUCUUCAGUUCUGCCAGGACCCUUGAUAAUUCAAAGCCAAAUAAUUUGAAUAAUGUCAAACCAAGAAGGCAAGAACUAGAAAUUAUAAUUCUUAAGAGUACAAAAUUAAAAACUAUCAUAUUUUAUGCUACACAGAAAUCCUAAUGCCAAAAUUGAUGGUCAUUGAAUGUGCUAAAAUCUCUUAAAAACUAAAAGCAAAUAAGAUAAGGGUCAUUGAAUGUUCUUCAGUUCUCUUCUUCAGUUCUUUUUCACAUUUCUUCUUCUCUUCUUGUUUCGUUUCUUCUCUUCUUUUUUUCAGUCUCCUUCAUUUUUUUUUGUUCUUUCUUUUUGAGAUACUGAGAUACAGUAGCUUACUGCCUUCACUGCUCUGUUUUUUUCCUUUGUUUUAUUGUUCACAGUUCACUGCUCUUUUUUUUCCCCUCUGUUUUGUUGUUCACAGUUCACUGUCACUGCUUAAGUGCUUACUGCCUAUAAUUUUAAUAAAUAAAUAAAUUAAUUCUUCUAUAAUUAUUUAUUCAUUUGUCCAUAAACAGUGAAUUGACUGAAUUCAAUAGCGGAUGCUAGCAAAAAGAGGGACAUUGGAUGGAAUUAUGGUACUCAAGGAGCAACAAAAGAUUCGGUUAAUUGUAACUUUUGUGGGAGUACUUUUAAUGGUGGAAUAACUCGACACAAGCAACAUUUAGUGGGUGGUUUCAAGAAUGUUAAACAAUGUACAACUUGUCCGUCGGCGAUUAGAGAAGUAAGGGCUUAUAUGCAAAAUAAAAUCGCUAAUAAUCUCAAAUUUCAAGUGAGACAGCCGGAAGAGUAUAUUGAUAUUGAUGAUCUUGAUGAUAUGGAUGAAUAUGCGGAAAUGAUGCCUCCCUCCAAAACUCCAAAGAUAUCUUCUAGUGGAGGUGCAUCAUCCACUGCGCGGAAUGUGUCGAAAGGCCCUAUGAAUCUCUAUUUUAGCAAAAAUCAACACAAAAAAGAGGCUUUGAAAAAGGAGGAAUUGAUGAAACAAAGAAAAUUCUAAGAGAGUGUGCGGUAAGUGCUUUCGCGAUAUGGAUGUAUGAUGCGGGGCUCUCUUUUAAUUGUGUCAAUCACAAGUCAUUUGAUAAAUUUAUUGAGACAGUAGGACAACAUGGCCCCGGAAUGAAGCCUUCUACAUUCCAUGAAGUUAGAGUUACUCACUUAAAAAAAGAGGUGGAGAAAGUGGAAAAAAUUGUUGAUGAGCAUAAAGUGCAAUGGAUAAAGUUUGGAUGUUCCAUUAUGAUGGACAAAUGGACGGCACGAAAUGGUAAAAUGAUCAUCAAUAUUUUGGUGAAUUCUCCAAUCAGUAGUGUAUUUCUUGGUUCUGUUGAUGCUAGCAAUGAAUCUACCGAUUCCACCAAAAUGUACAAAUUGUUUGAAAGCACUAUUGAAAGAAUUGGAUCGGAAAACGUUGUACAAAUUGUCACUGAUAAUGCUAGUGAGAAUGUUAAAGCUGGAAGCAUGAUGAUGGGUGCGUACCCACACAUUUAUUGGACUCCAUGUGCCGCUCAUUGCAUCAACUUGAUGUUUGGUGACAUAUUCAAGGUUAAGCCAUAUGCUUCCGGUAAUAUCACUCUCCUAUCCUCUAACUUUCUUUAUAGUCAAUAUUUAAUACUUAUUAGCUACUAAUUACUAUAAUCUUACUUUAACAGUUUUUAAGAAGGCCAUCAUAAUCCAUUCUUACAUUAGUCAAAGGCCAUUGUUGUUAAACUUGAUGUGAAAAUUCACCAAGGAAAGAAAUUUGGUGAAACCGGCCAAGACAAGAUUUGCAACAACCUUCUUAACUUUGAGAGCUAUGUACAGACAAAGAAAAAACUUGAGAACUUUAGUCCUCUCAACCGAAUGAACUUCAAGUAAAUUUGCAAAGGAAACUUUGGGGAAAGAAGUUGUCAAUCUUAUUAUUUAUGCCCACUUUUGGGAUGAUGCUGUUUGAGCACUUACAAUUUGUGGCCCUUUGACAAAAGUGCUUCGUUUGGUGGAUGGGGAGAAAAAACCGCCAAUGGGCUAUAUUUAUGAAGCAAUGGAUAGAGCCAAAGAAACUAUUGAACGGGGUUUUCGUGGAAUUAAGAAGCAAUAUGAGAAAGUGUUUGAAAUUAUUGAUGCAAGGUGGUCAGACCAACUCCAUCGGCCUUUGCAUGCUGCAGGCCAUGUUUUGAACCCAGGAUUGUAUUAUAAAGCUCAAGAAGAGGGAACUUUACUACAGAGUCUGUGGACUGAGUAUUAUGCAUGUGUUGAGAAAAUGAUCCCCGAUACAGCAAUACAAGAUUUACUAGUCGCUGAGCUUCCUAGGUACAAAAUGGCGGAUGGACUAUUUGGUUGUGGUCCGGCUAAAAGAGCUAGAGACACAAGGUCACCAGGUAAGUGAGUUGAUUUAGCUCUUACUUAAAUUAUUCGACUUAUUUAUACUCAUUAAGCUUUAAAUUAUUUUAUUAUUAGUGGAAUGGUGGUCACUAUUUGGUAGUGAAACACCAAACUUGCAAAAGUUUGCCAUGAAAGUAUUAAGCCUAACUUGUAGCUCAUCCGGAUGUGAGCGAAAUUGGAGUGUGUUUGAACACGUAAGUAAAAAAAUUAUAUCCUAAUUUCCAUAUUAUAUUAUUAUCAAUAUCCAUUAGUUAAUAUCUAUAGCUUAUGCGCAGAUUCAUUCCAAAAAGAGGAAUAGGCUUGCACUAUCGCGUCUCAAUGAUCUAGUGUACAUUAAGUACAAUAGAACAUUAAAACGUCGUUAUGAUGCUCGUGAUCUCAUUGAUCCAAUUCGCUUGGAUAACAUUGAUGAUUCAAAUGAAUGGUUAGUUGGAUGCCCCGAAGAUCAAGAAGAUGAACUAGUAUAUGAGGAUGAUGAUCUUACUUGGGGUAGUGUUGCUAUGGCAAUUGGAGCUGAUGAGAGUAUCUAUCAUCUUAGGGGACUUUCUUCAAGAUCAAGAGCACUUGACAAGGGCAAAGGAGUAGAAACUACAUCUACAAGUUCAACUUCAAGUAGGACUCGAACACUAAUUGAUGAAGACUACGAGGAGGAAGAAGAUGAGGAGCAAUAUAAUGAUGUAGAGGAUGUUGAUCUUCAAGAGUUGGAUAGUUUUGAAGAAGAAUAGACUUUUAGAGUUCUAGUAUUAUCUUUUGAAUUAUUGGGUCUUUAAAGUUCUAGACUUUUAGUAUCUACUUUUAGUUUUUGAAUUGAAAUAUUUGCUAAUAUAUCUUAUUGCUCCACAAUUAAAGCUUGGAAAGAGUACACGAGGACACUUACCUUGGCUCUGUUCAACUCAUGAAUAACUGAACUCAAUAUAUAAAGCAAUAAGACACAUGCAAUAUAUAAAGCUUGUAAAACUCUUAAAACAUGACGUACAAAUCAUAUUUAUAAUAUCAUGAAAAUACCAUGCUUCCUCUCAAGGUCUACUUGUGCGAUGUAUGAAUAAAGUCCCCCCAUACCCCAUCCAUACUAAGCAGAACCCUCGAGGAACCAUGCUCUUUCUACUGCGGGAGCUUCUCUAAUCGACAAACCACCACUAUGAAUCUGAGUGGUGAUACAACGUUUUACCUUACGUUACCCGAGGACCAUCUUAUACAUUGCCGUGAUAUAGGAAGUUAACUUUACUAAGUGGAUCCACUAGCUUAACUUCACUUGACUUCUAACUUCACUUGACUUCUAACUCUUCUUGAAUUGAAUUAUGAAUUCAAGAUGUUUGAUCACAUGUUACGGAUGAGUUAGGGAGGCUUAAAUGUACCUUAGAGUGUUGGGAACAACCAUAAAACAUAGGUACAAUACCAAGGAACAUGCAUGGGAAGGUAUGAAAUGAAAAGGGACACUUGGUGUCCUUGGUGCUCUGCAAGGCGCGGAGCGCCAACCCCAAAACUUCAGAGGGGGCCUACUGGCGCUCUGAGUGGCGCGCCGCCCCAAGGGGGAAACUUCAGAAUCCCUUUUGGGGCGCGCUGGCAGGCGCGACGCGCCAACCGUCUUGCCCAGAAACUCGACUUUUCUCCCUCUUUUUUUCCAACUCUAAACCACCCCAACUCCAAAGGUUUCAACCCCAACCACUAAGGAUCAUCAAAUCCCUCAACAUACAAUAGAAUACAACUCAAAAACCAACCGGAAACAUGUCCCAAAUCAUAAGGGACUUCAACAAUACCAACAACAACAUCAACAACACAACCAACAACUACAAACAACACAACCAAUCUUUUCUAAAAAUAAAAGGGGUUUGAUGUGUGGGGGAAAGGAUCAACCCAACACUAACUACUCACAUACCUAGUAGGGAUCACCCCCGACGAUUUCCACGACGAUCUUUGACGGAAACUCCUUGAUCUCCUCUUCUUCUUCUCCUCUUUCUCUCUUCUUCUCUUCUUCACUCAAGAACCCUAACUCUAACUCUUUUAAAAUGGAACUAAAAUGAUCCACAAUAAGCCUAACACAACAAUAUAACCUCAAGAGAAAUGGCUAGGGAAAAGACCAAAAUGCCCUUACAAUUUCCGGACGGAUUCCCUGCCAACUUCCCAACUUUCAAAGGGCAUAACUCACUCAUACGAGCUCGGAAUCAAGCAAACUCGGUGGCGUUGGAAAGACUAUUCCACGAGCUAUGCAACCAUAACUGGAACUACUCCUAACUCAUCCUGAGCUAGAAGUUAUGACUGCUCAAAGUUGGCCAAAAACUCACCUUUUCCAUACUUGGCCAAUUUCAAAAUUUUCAAAUUCUUCCCAAAAAUGAAAAUUUUCAAAUUCUAAGCCUCUUCUUAGUUAUUUCAAUUUGCCGGAUGUUACAGUAUCUAUCAUCUUAGGGGACUUUCUUCAAGAUCAAGAGCACUUGACAAGGGCAAAGGAGUAGAAACUACAUCUACAAGUUCAACUUCAAGUAGGACUCGGACACUAAUUGAUGAAGACUACGAGUAGGAAGAAGAUGAGGAGCAAUAUAAUGAUGUAGAGGAUGUUGAUCUUCAAGAGUUGGAUAGUUUUGAAGAAGAAUUAGACUUUUUAGAGUUCUAGUAUUAUCUUUUGAAUUAUUGGGUCUUUAAAGUUCUAGACUUUUAGUACCUACUUUUAGUUUUUGAAUUGAAAUAUUUGCUAAUAUAUCUUAUUGCUAUUGAGAUUUUGUAUAUUUAUAUAUGCAAUUAAAUAUUUUAAUUUUUUGGUAUUAAUUGGCGCCUCGAUUCAAAAAGGCGAGCACCUUGCCGCUCGCCUCGCCGCGUGGCGAUGCAGGCCCUUGUCGCCUUUUGUCGCCUCUCGCCGUCCAAAACACUGGGAUGGCUACAACCUGUAAAAGAUUUAACACUAUUGACAAGUUGAUGGUGGAAGGGGUUACAGUAUCAAAUUCAGAAGCAAUUAAAGGAUACAUAAUCAGUUACUACCAAAAUCUUUACAGUGAAAUAGAACAAUGGAGGCUAGAUUUUAAUCUACAGGGAGCGGAAAGCAUUACACAAGAGGAAAAUGAAUGAUUGCAGUGGCAAUUUGAGGAAGAUGAAGUUUUUAAUUGCAUAAAAUCAUGUGUCAGUGAUAAGGCCCCAGGACCAGAUGGCUUCCCAAUGAGUUUUUUCCAAAACUUCUGGGAGAUACUGAAGACAGACUUCAUGAAUGCAGUGAGACAAUUUCAUGAAAGACAUGAAAUAGAGAAGAGCCUCAAUGCCACCUAUGUGGCUCUAAUCCCAAAGAAGACAUGAGCUAUGGAACUUAGGGAUUUCAGACCCAUAAGUCUCAUUAGUGGUGUGUACAAGGUUUUUGGUAAGCUGUUGGCCGAGAGAUUAAAGAAAGUGAUAAGAAGUUAGUGAACAAUCACCAAAUGACCUUCAUUCAAGGUAGGCAACUUAUGGAUGUGGCGUUAAUAGCUAGUGAGUGUGUGGACUCAAGGAUUAAAGGAGAGAUCCCAGGAAUAAUGUGCAAGCUUGAUAUAGAAAAGGCAUAUGAUCACGUCAAUUAGGAGUUUCUACUUAAUAUUCUGAAGCAGAUGGGAUUUUGAGACAAAUGGCUUAAAUGGAUAGGUUUUUGCAUCAAAAUUGUCAGGCUCUCCAUAAUUGUUAACGGAGAACCUGCUGGUUUCUUUCCUUUGAAGAGAGUACUAUGACACGGAGAUCCUCUCUCCCCUUUCCUAUAUAUCUUAGCUAUGGAGGGUCUUAACAGUAGGAUUAGAAUGGCCAAUCAGAACAACUGGAUAAAGGGUUUCAACAUAGGUAACCAGUCAGGGGUUGAUUUGCAAAUAUGUCACCUUUUAUAUGCAGAUGACACAGUAAUAUUUUGCGAUGCAAAGGCAGAACAAGUUAGUUACAUUAGAGUUGUUUUAGUGAUUUUUGAGACUAUUUUCGGGCUAGCCGUGAACUGGAGGAAAGCAGUAUCUUCCAAAUCAAGGAAGUGGUGAAUAUACAGAUGUUGGCAAGCAUCUUGCAAUGCAAGAUAGAGCACUUACCAACUACUUACCUGGGAAUGCCUUUGGGGAAUAAUCAUAAGGAGCUUGAGAUUUGGGAUGGAAUCAUUGAGAAGACAGAGAAGAUGUUGGCUAAUUGAAAGGCAAAUUAUCUAUCUCUGGGAGGAAGAGUCACUCUGAUCAAUUCGGUUCUGGAAGCAUUGCCUACAUAUGUUAUGUCACUUUUUCCUUUACUAGCAAAGGUAGAAGAGAGGUUAGAUAAAUUGAGACGUGAUUUUCUAUGGUCGGGAAAUAAAGAAGGGAAAAAAAUACACUUAGUUAAAUGGCAAACAACCUUACUAAGCAAGAAGACAAGAGGUCUUGGUAUAAAAAACUUGAGGGUCCAGAACAAAAGUCUACUUUCUAAAUGGCUUUGGAGAUUUGUGGUUGAAGAUCACGCAUUAUGGAGAAGAGUAAUUCUCAACAAGUAUGGGCAGAACCAGGAGUAGGUGUCUAAUGUAGUAGAUAGCACGUAUGGAGUAUCAGUAUGGAGAUCAAUCAAAAAUUUAUGGUCUAGUCUGAAGGAGAAUUUGGUGUUCAAAGUGGGAGAGGGUAACAAAAUAUUUUUUGGAAGGACAAGUGGAUUGGACAAGAGUGUAUAAACUCGGUCUUCCCAGAUCUCUUUUCAUUUUGUACCAAUCCUGAUGCUAAAAUUGAUGAGAUUUGGUCUCCUCAGGGAUGGAACCUUACUUUCAGGAGAAAUCUAAAUUUUUGGGAAGUGGAUAAAAUUGUUGAACUGCUACUCAAAUUGGGUGAAUUCACAGGCCUUAGAUAGUAUAAGAUGGAAACACGACUCUGAUGGCAAGUUAUCUGGGAGUAGACUGUAUAAGAGAGAGAUUAUGACUCAGUCAGGGGGAAUUCUUGGUCCAUGGAAACAAAUAUGGAAGGGCAACACUCCAACCAAGGCGAAAUGCUUCACCUAGUUGGUCUCCAGAAGGGAAUGUCUCACUCAAGUAAAACUCAAGAAAAGAGGCUUCCAGAUUGUCUCUUGACGUUUUUUUUGUCAUGAGAAGGAAGAAACUAACAACCACUUAUUCCUACACUGUAGGAUUACUCUUCAGGUAUGGCACAUGGUUCUCAGCAUUUCUCAAGAGCCCUGGGUGAUGCCAGAACAUACCGUUGAUCUUUUGAGCUGUUGGAUGAGGAGGGGGGGGGGAGCAAGACCCAAAAAAGAUGGUGGUCUAUAGUACCUAUCUGUGUCUGGUGGGCUAUUUGGAGAGAGAAACCUCAGGUGUCAUGAGAAUAUCACUAACACUAUUCAGAAAGUUAAAGAAAGUUGCAUUAACUUGUUGUUUUUUGGUGUAAAGAAUAAGGUAUAGAAGAAGUAGAACAGUUGGUAGAUUUCCUAGGAUCUAUGUAAUUAUGGAUAUAUCUUGUAACUUUUUGGAGGUAGCCAGCAUACCCUUAAUGCUGAAGAAUACAACUUUACCUUUAUCAAAAAAAAAAAAAACCAAACUAACAAAAUUGUAGGUUGUGUAGUUUCCCAUUAUCAUCUUUUUACAAAUAAUAGAAAGGUCCCCAAAAAAAGUUAAUGGUCCUGUUCAUUUAUGGGCGCCUUUUUUUUUUCUUUUUCUGAUGAAGUGCCUUACAAGGAGGCACACCUGCGUUUUACAAGUACUGUGUCGCCUUGCGCCUUGUAAGGCGCAUGGGAAUCUGCACCUUCCUCCACAAACUUACGGCGUCACCCUUCUGUCCAAAUGUUUCCCUUUUGGUUUCAACCUUAUUUUUUAUUGCCCUUUUGGAAUUUUAACUCAAUUUUGUUGCCCUUUUGGCUCCGGACUCAAUGUAAAACAAGAAAUGUGAAGUUAAAUUGUUUCUAAAUUUGGAAAGAUGUCCCUUUUUUGGGGACUGACUAAAAUAGAAAGAGUAUCACAUAAAAUGGGACAGAGGUAAUAUCUUACUGGCAACUGUUUUCUAUUUCAGGUCUAUCAAGAGUUGAAUGGAAAAUUCAGGGAUGCUGUUAUAUCUCUGGUAUCCCUUUUGUCUUGCUUUGAGUUCUCACUACCAUUUCUUUUUUCCUUUUAAUUGACCAAUAACAUUCUUCUAACCAGAUUGAUCAAGAGCACGAGGGAGAGCAAAUUGACAGAGCUUUACUAAAGAAUGUGCUAGAUAUAUUUGUUGAAAUUGGAAUGGGGUCAAUGGAUAAAUAUGAGAACGAUUUUGAAGAUGCAAUGCUCAAGGACACUGCGGCUUAUUAUUCUUUGCUAAGCUUCUAACUGGAUCCUCGAAGAUUCAUAUCCAGAUUAUAUGUUGAAAGUUAGUAUACCGCGUAUGCAACCCCUUGAUUCUGCCAUUCUUGCCCUGUUGUUUCUUCUGUCUGUCCUUUUUCUGGUUAACGUCCAUAUGUUAACCUACAUAAUCAUGUCAAUGUUACUUUAGGCUGAGAAGUGCUUGAAACGCGAGAAGGAUAGGGUCUCUCAUUAUCUCCAUUCAAGCAGCGUGACAAAGUUGCUUGAGGUUCGUUCUAGCUCUUAAUCUUAUUUCUUUACUGGAAAUUUAGCCUUCAAGAUGUAGGAUGUUGCUAUCAGUUUUUGUUGUUCACAUCUUCUUUUUUCUGGAUCUAGCCUAUCAACUUCAAAUUCGCUGCAACUUUACUAUUCUCACCUUUCUACAGAAAGUGCUACAUGAGUUGUUGGCUGUGUAUGCCACUCAAUCUCUUGAGAAGCUGCACUCUGGUUGCCAUGCGUUACUAAGAGAUGAUAAGGUAGUUAGCAGCAUCUUAAUGACCACGUUUCUGAUUUUACGUUUUGCAGUAAUUGACACAAUCAUGAUUAUUUUCUUAGGUUGAAGAUUUAUCAAGGAUGUAUAGGCUCUUUUCUAAGAUUCCUCGAGGCUUAGACCCCGUGGCCAAUAUUUUUAAGCAGGUUUGUGAUCUCAUGACAUCAUAUUCUCAAUUGUCUACCGAUCAGUUACUUCAUAUAUCCUUCUUUUUAAUCUGAAUGCAGCAUGUUACAGCUGAAGGUACAGCUUUGGUAAAACAGGCUGAAGAUGGUGCUAGAAACAAAAAGGUGUGUACAAUCUAUGCUUUUCUCAAAUUCUUUGGUCUUGAGAAAUUUGGUUCUUCCUUAUUUGGCGUUUAUACAGUUUGAGUUGACUUGGAACUCAUCAAACUAGAAGUUUUUGCUAUUUUAAUAUGCGAAGCUACUUGUAUUCAAGUGUCUGAUCAACUUAAUUUCAUAUUUUAACACACCAUUUCUAACAUCAAUACUUUAAGUUUAAAAGCUAUCUGCACAAAAUACCCCCUACCACCCAACUUUUAGAAAAUACAAACUAACCACUUACUAUAAUUAUUUAUAUCCCUAUUUAGAAAUUAAAAAAAAUUCACAAAAUCUGUUUCUCUCCUUCCAAAACCUCUCCCUCCUUGCCGAUUUUCUGUCCUCCAGCUUCUGAAUCACAUCUAAAAAAAAAUUCACAAAAACAGCAAAUCCCUUGAAAGGGGGAGAUUACUGCUAAAAUGUAUUGUGUAUCACAUCUUGAGUUGUCAGUUUGUGAGACUAGCUAUUUGUUGCUGAUUAGAGCAUUUUGCUUCUUUUUUUUGGGGGGGGGGGGGGUUCUGCCCGGUGUUCAGUACCUGCAUUGGGGCUCGAGUAAAUCCGGAUUCACGCCGGGAUGUCUCACAUUGAGAGUAAGACGCUACGUAAUAAAUGAGACUCGGUAACCAAGGGAACUCGAACCGGAGACCUGAUGAAGGAGUAAGGAGUACAUAGGCACUCCACCAUAACCCUUGUUCCUAGCAUAUUGCUAUUCUGCUUAUUUUAGUUGCAAGUUUGUGCUUUUGAUGUGUUUUGUUCAGAGAUUUCUUUUUAACAUCAUAUCUUCUAUUUUCUGUCAAAAGCAUGAAGUCACAAAGUUUGACUUCAUCUCAGUGAUUGUUUUGUUUCAUUUACUUUAUUUGUCCUUCAGUACAUGAUCAUUGAGAGUUUGGUGGUUGGGAAUGUUACUGCAAAGAGAUGGUAAACGUUUCUUUAAAGCGAAACCGCCAUCAAAUUCUGUACUUAUCUUGAAGAAAGAACAUGAGCAGUUUCUUAGGGAACCAACAAGAGCCUUUCCUUCUUUUAUGUAUCUUAACUUUUCCCCUUCUGCUGAUUUUUACAAUGUCAAAAUUAAUUCAUUUUAUCUUUUUAGGGAUGAGACUGGUAUUUCUUUGUGAAUGCAUUUAAUAUAAUUGCUCAAUGUCUUUCAUUCUUUCUUAUCAACUAGUGUUCUUCAACAGGCAGGUAAGAGAGAUGUGUUUGCAGGAACAUGUAAUCCCUUAGUAAAUCUGUUAUGUGAUCCUUGAAUAUGUUUUCGGCGGUUAACUUACAUCUGAAUUUUCAGGUUUUUGUUCGGAAAGUGAUUGAGCUUCAUGAUAAAUAUUUGGCAUAUGUGAAUAACUGUUUCCAAAACAGCACACUUUUUCACAAGGUAUGUGUUGAAGCAAAGGAUAGUUGUCUAAUUUAAUUGUUCUACUCUGUGCAUUAGGUCUGUGCAUCAGGGUAAAAGUAAUUGCUAAUAUCUGUCCUCUUUGUCACUUUCUAGGCACUUAAAGAAGCUUUCGAACUUUUCUGCAACAAGGGUGUUACUGGUAGCUCAAGCACUGAACUUCUUGCCACAUUCUGCGACGACAUUCUCAAAAAAGGCGGGAGUGAAAAAUUUAGUGAUGAUGCCAUUGAAGAGAUGUUGGAGAAGGUGAGCUCUUGCUCUAUAGAUCCCCUUCUCUUCUUUUCCUCUAGAGCAUCUGCUUUUUCUUCAUACUACUGGAGCAUGAGAAAGCUGAUAAUAGAUCUCACUUGCAGGUGGUAAAGCUAUUAGCUUAUAUUAGUGAUAAGGACUUAUUUGCAGAACUCUAUAGGUAGAGUUACCUCUACUGUGUAUCUCAACCACUACUUGAAUAAUUGCUUCUUCUCUGUUACAAGUUUAUGACUUCCUUUUUUUUUUCCAGGAAAAAGCUAGCCCGGCGGUUGUUAUUUGAUAACAGUGCCAAUGACGAACAUGAGAGAAGUGUCCUAAGAAAGUUGAAGCAGCAGUAUGGGGGGCAGUUCACAUCAAAGAUGGAGAGAAUGGUAAGCUAUUCAGAUCAAUUUAUGCUGAAUUUUAGGCUAUGUUCUCUGGUGACAUUCUUCUUCUCUUCUUAUAGGUCACAGAUUUGACAUUGGCAAGGGAAAAUCAAGCCAGCUUUGAGAAGUAUUUGAGCAAUAAUCCAAUAGCAAAUCCAGGAAUUGACUUGACGGUGACUGCCUUGACUACUGGCUUCUGGCCUAGCUACAAGUCUUUUGAUCUCAACCUCCCAGCAGAAAUGGUAUAUCAUAUCAAUAUGUUAAUUGGCAUUAUGUUGAUUUUAUCUUGGUUUUGACCCUUGUUCCUCUUGCUGAAGUUCUCUUUCGGGAAGGAAUGAUGCAUGUUUAUUUUUCUUGAAUCAUUUUUCUUCUCAAACGUCCUGUCAUUGAUUCAUUUUAUGCUGCGCAUUGUCAGGUUAGGCGCGUUGAAGUAUUCAAAGUGUUUUAUCAAACAAAAACGAAGCACAGGAAACUUACGUGGCUAUACUCUUUGGGAACUUGCAACAUAAAUGGAAAUUUUGAGCAGAAGACUAUUGAGCUAGUGGUCACUACUUAUCAGGUUGAUUGUUGGCUUACUUUUUGAAAUCAGAUAGGCUUAGUUAAUUUGAAAUAUUUCUGUUACGUUAUCAAUGAGAAAACAAGAUUGAGACUUCUUCCUUUUCGUAGGCUUCUGCUCUGCUGCUCUUCAAUGCAUCGGAUAGAUUGAGUUAUCAGGAAAUCAUGACGCAAUUAAAUUUAUCAGAUGAUGAUGUUGUUCGGCAGCUUCUUCAUUCCCUUACAUGUGCGAAGUACAAGAUUCUCAACAAGGAGCCAAGCACCAAAACAAUUUUUCCGACUGAUGUCUUUGAGUUCAACUCAAAGUUCACUGACAAAAUGAGGAGGAUCAAGGUAUAAUUAAUGAUGAGUAAGGUUAGCCUUUCUACUAUGAAUUGUUGGUCUACACUACUGACCCUGUGAGGAUAUUGCUGUAAUGGUAUGCAGAUACCUCUCCCUCCUGUUGAUGAGAAGAAAAAGAUAAUUGAAGACGUUGACAAGGAUAGGCGGUAUGCUAUAGAUGCUUCAAUUGUGCGUAUUAUGAAGAGUCAUAAAGUAUUGGCCCACCAGCAACUGGUUGUGGAAUGCGUUCAGCAGUUGGGACGGAUAUUCAAAGUAUCCCAGGGAUAAAUUUCUACUUCUCAAUUUUAAUGUUCGUUAUUCAAGUUCAACCGAGCUAAUAACUUUGUUUUGAAUACUCCAUAGCCUGAUGUCAAAGCUAUCAAGAAGAGAAUCGAAGAUUUGAUAAGUAGAGAAUACCUAGAGAGGGACAAAGAUGACCCAAAUUUUUACAAGUACUUGGCAUGAUUUGUGCUGAUCAUAGUAUUUGGAGAAACAUGUCGCCCAAGAUGAACUUCCUGGAACUUUGAUUGCCUUGCAUCAGGAGCUUGAAACAUUUUGUACAAAUGGAUAAGAUCUCAGGAAAAAGUAGAAUUGCCUCUCAGAUAUUUGAGAUGCGAUUGCCUUAACUUAUUCCAAUCUUAUUAGCCCUUUCACUUGCUCUAUUAUGUAUUUUGUCUGCUAACUGUUCGAGUUCGAGUGAACAAUGGUAUUUACUUUUAGUCCCCCCCCCCCCCCCCCCCCCACCACCCCAAAAAAANNNNNNNNNCACCCCACCCACCCCACAAAAAAAAGAGAAUGUAAGAUCGAUAUUAAUUCAUAUGUCCUUAAUCUCCAAUUUCACAAAUUUAACUAUUACUACAAACACAUUUUUUGGCUAAACAAAUGUCAUCAAACAUGUCAUUUAUUCUUGAAUGACAAUUCAAAAUUUGGACAGUAGAACGAUAAUGAUUAGUAUGACCUAUGAAGGUAUGGUGUCUCCUGUAAUAAUAUGUGGAGCUCAACUCAUCAAAUUACCAUCUGAAAAAACUCUAAAGUAUGUAUUAGGAAGAUAAAUAAAUAAAAAUUCUUCUCUAUAUAAUAUAAUUCUUCCGUUUCAAUUUGUUUGAUCUACUUUCCUUUUUAGUCUGAUUAGAAAAGAAUGACAUUUUUCCUUUUUUAGAAACUUUUAUUUCAACUUUCUACAUGACAUGUUUAAAUUUAUAAUUUACUAUUAUAUGAGCAAAUUUCAAUUUUAUUAAUCUGAGAGUAAAUUUCGGAUUUAUUUCUUUUCAAUUACUCUACCUCAUUUGGAGGUGACAUGAUCCCAUUACGAUAAAAUGCACAUAUAUACUAGUAAGCUUUAUUUUGCACUAUCACAUUCACUAUUGGGUGUAUUCAACCCCAAUCGAUAGGCAAUAAUCAUUUAAUACUUGGGAUUAAAACUCUAUAGAGUUAUCAAGGCGAAUGAACUUAAUCUGAUUAUCACGAAACUAUGUUCAUAAGCAUAUUAUUAUGCCAAUAAUUUUGCAAAUGCCAAAUUGAGGCAGACAUAAAACCAUUUAGAAGAAACAUUUGUUAGGACCAUGAAGUAUCUAAACGACCUACUAAGUGGGUGAAUAGGUCCAUAAAUAUCCACAUGUAUACAUUCCAAGAACGCGGGAAAUUCAAUCUCAACUUUCUGAUGAUUUCACCAUUAACUUGCCUUGAUAACAAGUAGUACAAGAAAAUUCACUAUUUAAAAGAAUCUUUAGGUUCUUUAAUGGAAGUCCAUUUGAAUUUUUCAUAAUUCGUCUCAUCAUUAUAGACUCAGGAUGUCCCGGACGAUCUGAGAAUUGAAAUUAGUAAUCUUUUGAUUUACUAUAGAAUGUGUCUUAAUUACACUAAUUUUUGUCCAAUAUAAAUCAGAAAAUAAAACAGAGAACUUUUCUAUAACACAUGUCUACCCAGAGACAUUCUUGUUCAUAUCAUGUCUAUGACCAAGAUCACGACCUUUUCCACCCCUAGCAUGGUGGACAUACACCUAAUCUACUUCAGAGAAUGAAUAUGUAUUUUUUGGCAUUUAUCAAAAGUUCUCAUUCUUCAUGAAUGGAACACAAUCAUUUAAGUAUAUCAAAUUAUGAGAACUUAGUAACUCAUUUCAUAUUCAUGUGCAUUGUUUAAUCACUCGUCUUCUUUCAUACAUAUUAAGGACUGCUACCACAUUCACUUUAAGAGAAUGAAGCGGUUUUAAUGGGAUAUGUUUCAUGACUAAUUUUCAUCAAAAACACAUUAUUUUGUCUUAGCCGUCAUUAUUUCAUCAUUACAGUGCAUUGAGCCUCAAACCCAACGUUUUAUCUAUAUAAAGGCGUUUUAGGUCAUAAAUCUAUGGGACUUAAGCCCAACAUCUUAUAAUCACGGUGCACUUGGACAUAAAUUUGAUGUCUUACCCUCUUGGUGCGAUCAAACAUGAAUUUAUUGUAUUACCCUCUUGAUGCGAUUGGACUUGAAUCCAUCGUCUUAUCCUUUUAAUGCGAUUGAACUUGAAUCCAUCUUCUUACUCUCGAUCAAUUACAUUUUGUACCUCUAAGAAUUUCAUAUAGAAUAUAAAAUUAAAUUAAGAACAAGAUUAAUUAGAAACAAGCAAUGAUGACCACAUAUAGGCUAUUCCUUAUACAGAUAUGUAUUAGUCUGCAUCUUGUUUCAAGAUUUACUUUUCAAAAGUGUUCGGUCAGAAUACUUUAAAGACACAUAUGCUUAAUAAAUCUUAUCAUACCUUAGGGAUGAUUUUGUAGCAGACAAAAUACAAUCGACAGUUUUACCUUACUAUCUAAUUUCUCUAUUGAUUAGAGUCAUGUGCUGAUAACGUAUUAUAUAUGAAACUAUAUAAAAUAAUGAGAAGAAGAAGGGAGAAGAGAGAUGACUUUUUAUCUCUCUAAAAUGAAGGCAAUCCCUCUAUUUAUAUGAUAUGGAAGUGAGGCUUCCUAAAUUUUGUAUGAAAGAUAAACAUUCACUAUAUUUAUAACACAAAUCAUGAUUUGAUUCAAAUAUGAUUUUUGGAGAAUUUAAAUUUUAUCUCAUUGUAUGAAAUUAUGAGAUUAAAUCAAUUGAAAUCGCACGACCAAAAGCUGAUUUUCCAUAUCAAUUUGCAUAUCCAAACGCUACUUAAUUAUUCUAUUCUGUGCGUUAGGUCUAUGCAUUAGGGUAAAAGUAAAUUGCUAAUAUGUGUCCCCUUUGUCACUUUCUAGGCACUUAAAAGAAGCUUUCGAACUUUUCUACAUUGCUGGUAGCUCAAUGGCUUCUUGCCACAUUCUGUGACAACAUUCUAAAAAAAGGCGGGAAUGAGAAAUUGAGUGAUGAAGCCAUUGAAGAGACGUUGGAGAAGGUGAGGUCUUGCUCUAUAGAUGCCUUCCCCUUCUUUUCCUCUAGAGACACUGCUUUUUCUUCGUACUACUCGAGCAACAGAAAGCUGAUAAUAGAUCUCACUUGCAGGUGAUAAAGCUGUUAGCUUAUAUUAGUGAUAAGGACUUGUUUGCAGAAUUCUAUAGGUAGAGUUACCUCUACGUUGUAUCUCAACCACUACUUGAAUAGUAGCUUCUUCUCCGUUACAAGUUUAUGACUUCCUUUUUUUUACCAGGAAAAGGCUAGCCCGACAGUUGUUAUUUAAUAAGAGUGCCAAUGAUGAACAUGAGAGAAUUUACCUAACAAAGUUGAAGCAGCAGUGUGGGGGAAGUUCACAUCAAAGAUGGAGGGAAUUGUAAGUUAUCCAGAUCAAUUAUACUGAAUUUAAGGCUAUGUUCUCUGGUGACAUUCUUCUUCUCUUCCUAUAGGUCACAGAUUUAACAUUGGCGAGGGAAAAUCAAGCCAGCUUUGAAGAGUAAGAGUAUUUGAGCAAUAAUCCAAUAGCAAAUCUAGGAAUUGACUUGGCGCGCGGUGAGUGUCUUGACUACUGGCUACUGGCCUAGCUACAAGUCUUUUGAUCUCAACCUCCCAGCAGAAAUGGUAUAUUAUAUCAAUAUUUUAAUUCAUUUUUCUUCUCAAACGUCCUGUCAUUGAUUCAUUUUAUGUUGCGCAUUGUCAGGUUAGGUGCGUUGAAGUAUUCAAGGAGUUUUAUCAAACAAAAGGAAGCACAGGAAACUUACAUGGAUAUACUCUUUGGGAACUUGCAACAUAAAUGGAAAAUUUGAGCCAAAGAUUAUUGAGCUCGUUUUCACUACUUAUCAGGUUGAUUGUUGGCUUACUUUUUAAAAUCGGAUUGGCUUAGUUUAUUUGAAACAUUUUUAUUACGUUAUCAAUGAGAAAACGAGAUUGAGACUUCUUCCUUUUCGUAGGCUUCAGCUCUGCUGCUCUUUAAUGCAUCAGAUAGAUUGAGUUAUUAGGAAAUCAUGACACAAAUAAACCUAUCAAUGAUGAUGUUGUUCGGCUUCUUCAUUCCCUUUCAUGUGCAAAGUACAAGAUUCUCAACAAGGAGCCACACACCAAAAUAAUUUCUUUGGCUGAUGUCUUUGAGUUCAACUCAAAGUUCAUUGACCAAAUGAGGAGGAUCAAGGUACAAUUAAUGAUGAGUAAGGUUAGCCAUUCUACUUUGAAUUGUUACACUACAUUACUGACCCCGUGAGGAUAUUGCUGUAAUGGUAUGCAGAUACCUAUCCCUCCUGUUGAUGAGAAGAAAAAGGUAAUUGAAGACGUUGACAAGGAUAUGCAAUAUGCUAUAGAUGCUUCAAGUAGUCGGGGUGGGGGAUUGGGUGGCUAACAAGAGACAAUAAACUUGAAAUGUCACUUAUGCAACUCAUUUUCCCUAUAUUCAUUAGGAAAGUCAUUUUCUCAGAGAAAAUAUUUUUCAAGAUCAAAUAUAGAAAAAUUGGAAAAUAUAAACUACAUAAUCAAAAAAGAAAAAGAAAAGACAACACACUUGAGGUAAAAAUGCAUAAAACCCAAAAAUAAUAGGGAUUGAUUUGCAAUAACCCUGAAUGAAAAACCAAGAAUUUGCCGCGGCAAAAAUGGAAAUAGUUAGAAGUAUAAGGGUUUUUUUGAGGAAAUAGGAAAAACACAUAAAAAGGGAAAGAGAGAUCCACAUCUGUCCCAAUUCUCUUCUUCUCAUCAAUGGUUCCUGGCAGCUCCGUGUUGUUCCCUCAUCGGGUCUAGACUCUCCGAUCACUCUUUCAGCAAAUUCCUUCGCUCUCCGGUGACAUCACAGGUAUAUUUUCUGGUUAAAUUGUGAGAUCCGAUUCGAUGUAAACUGUUCCACGUAUGUAUAUACCUAUGAUGCAUAAUUGAUGUGCUGGUUUUGGUUUAAUUGCUUCUUCCUUUGCUUUGGAUUGAUCCUGUUGUUGAUUUUGUUUCCAGUAGUAUUGAAACUAUGCUGUUUUGUUGUGGUUGAUUUUGCGAUCUUCAGAGCUGUGAUUGAUGGACUAGUUUAUGUUGUUUUUUUAUUUCUCUAUAGUUGAUUUUGAGCAUGAGUGUUUUGUCCUUUUGAAGUUAGGUAUAGUGGGGGUUUAAUGUUCAUUACUGGUAGGGUUUGAGUUUAAUUUUUGAUUCAUUCUUUGUUGCAACUGACGGCAUUCAUGUGAACUAGAAAUUCAAUAUGAACUACUGAUUCCAGAACUUUGUUUUAUGUCAUUAACUGCCUGAAACUUUAGACUUUUCAGCUAUGCUGCUCGGACUCUUCAAAAUUGUCGACGGUUGUGCCUCGGAUCCUCCAAAAAUAGUGUAUUUUUGAAGGAUCCGAGCAACUUAGCUUUUUAGUGUCUUUGAACUGUAUUUUCUUUUGGCAUUCUCAGUUUUAUUUACUUAUUAAUUUAUAUACGUUUAUUGUUUUUUUUUUAAAUAUAAAAAUCCUCGAUAGAAAUAAGUACAAGCAAGGGGGGCAAUGCCUUACCUUGUCAAUCCUAAUGAGGCAACGAACCUCUACUAAUUAACAAGCAUGACAAAAUAAGAGCUAGAGAGAACUAGGUAUUCUAUGAUCAUCACGUAAUUUGUAAUACACUCUAUGAUGAUAUUACAAAUGAGAAUACUUGAAAAAUGCACAAAUAUAAAAUCCAAGAAGAAAGUUGAGUUAUCAACCUCAAACUUACUUUUACAAAUGCGUGAAUUAAAAAUAAUAGAUAAGUAACCUGAAGUAUUUUCAUCUUGUCUUCUUCAAAUCUGUCCAACAAAACUUGAUAGUUCAUCAUUUCUUCUUGGAUGUAUUGGAUCUUGUUGAAGCUAUUGACACUGUCGUAUGAUUCUGCUUUGCCUGUCGCAUCGGUAGGUGCCUUGGAACAAACUCUCUUGUCACUUUACCAUCCCAACUGUGCUGCCUCCCAUGUGUCUUCUUUUUGUUUUCGUUGCUUCCACUUCUUUGAUGCCGAGGUGAGAUAUCCCCAUCCCUAGCCACUUUAUCAAAACAUACAUCCAACAUAUUUUCUUCCUCAUCCUCAUUAAAAGAAUCAUCGCCCAAAUCACUAUCAUAACCCCUAGUUGGACUAAAUUCUGAUGCUAAGGCCUCUUGUUCAUUCUUCUUUGCAAUUAUACUUUUAGGUACAAAUUUCCAAAGCUUAUGGACUUAAUUUUCUAUUCAAAAGAAGUGGUGAAACAUGCUCUUCUUCAUCACCAAAUCAGCCCACGUAGGAGUACUCAUCUCCCUUUGUUUUUCUUUCGAGUCCUCAUGAGCUGAGGUGUUCGAUGUGACCAUGGGUGACUUGAUCGCUGAAUUGGGUUUGAGCAACAUGGCAGCCUCACUUUCUUGAAUAAUCUUAGCUACUUCAGGAUUAGAGAUAUAUAAUGUAGGACUCAUAACUCUGUCAUUUUUUUUGGUCUGCAUGCUACAUACUCAAGUUGGCAUGCUAGCUGAUUGUAUAUUAUUAUCAAAAUCAACUUGAACCAAAGUUUGCUCCUUCAUGGGAUUAGAAUCAACUAACUCUAAUUCUUUCUCCACCUCGAGUGCUUCAAAUGGAUUUGUACAAACGAUGUCCUUCGGUUCAUUAGAUUGCACUACUACAUUAGUAGUUAGCUGCUGCUUAUUUUCAAGGCAUGGAGAUAUACUUCGACUUGCCGAGGAACCAAUACACAUAGAAAUUGAUUUUUUUUGUGCAAUUGUGUUCCAAUUCCCAGUUGCAUUCUCAUCACGACUAGAAAUUUCAACUUGCAAAUCGAUAGGUUCCAAAGGUUGCAAAUCACCACAUCAGAUUUUGGCGUCUGUAUAGCAUCGUGAAGUUUCUCAGGAGUAUGCUUAUCACCUUGCCUCAUACUUGAAUUUUCAGCAACAACUUCAUUCUCUUUUAUCUCGUUAAUUUUUUGCGCAAAUUGUGCAUCGUUGGAUUGAUUUGUAUCCACAACGAGUUGCUCUUCAACUUCAACAUGAUCAGCUGAAUUACAACUUUGUUGGUUGGGAGAAGUAUUUUUUUGCCGUGAAAACUCAUCAGUUUGAGGAAUUAAGGAUAACAUUCAAUUCCUAGAAGAGUAGUCGUCUAACACUGCUUUGCCCAGACGCUGGCCAGAAUUUUGGUGCACCAAAUUUUGAUGUUUAACACCACUCUUUUCAGCCCCUAUCUCUAAAUCUUUAAUUGUUCCUUCGUCAUCCUUUUCACCAACUUCCAGCCUAUUUGAAUCAGCUUUUUUAGCAUUGAGAUGAACACGAAGAUGACCUUGAAAUUUUUCUCCUUCAAUAUGAUUUUCACUGACCGUGGCAUCAACUUGACCAUCAGUGAGAGUUCGACAAUCAACUUCUCUAUGCCCCUGAUGUUUACAUCUCUUACAAUAAUAUGGUAAAUAAUAAUACCUGAUUUUUUGCCAUACUUUUGUAAUCUCGUCUAUGAAUUUUUGAAUUGAACUCUAAUUCUUUUUGGAAGCGUCCUUAACAGAUCCACUCAACUUUUACCCUUGCAGUACUAGGUCGUGUUUUAUCAUUGGUCGCUUGAUCCACAUCAAGAGGUUGUCCAACUACUGAAGCCAUUGAAAAUAGAGCAUUACGAGCAAAAUAUUGACAGGGUAAACUUGGGAAAGAAAUCCAUGCCAUUGCAAUGGAGGUUUCUUCCAUAGGACUAAAAGAAGGAGUCCACUUUUGGAUUCUGAACGGUAUAACAGUACCGGCAAACUUAAUCGACCUACUAGUUUUAGAAAAGAUUGCAAUAUAAUCUUCCUUCAAAGUGAACCGCAACAGCACAUGUCGACUUUCUAAUAACCCAAUGUUACAUUCACCCUUAAAUCUUAAUUGUUGAGGCAAUAUUUUCCGUAAAUCUGGAAGUUCAGGCCUUCCAUGUGAGAAUUUGGCUAUGAGAGCGUAUUUUAGAUUCUCCUCCGUGAUAAACGUUUCAAGGUCUUUGGAGUCAAAAACCACCAUGGGUUCUCCAUGUAAAAGACUGACUGGUUUGAGAGAUUUCUCAGUAUAUUGUUUGAUUCUCGCUGAUUGACUAAGCAUAUGUGCGACCUGUAUUAGGGUUGGCGUUUUUCUCUCCCACAACCAUAGGCUGGGGAGAGGGCGAAGCAGCCAUGGCUGCUAUUCACGCCAUAUUUCGAUUGAGAGAGAGAGAGAGAAGAGAACUUUUGGGUUUAGGGUUCCCCGAUUUUAUUGUUUUAUAUACGUUUAUUGGAAAAUGUUGUUUACGGUUUUCUUUUUUUGAUGGAACACUGAAAAAAAUUUAAAAGUUCAUUUAUUUUAGAGCCAAGUGUGCAACUUUGGUAAGUCUAGUUUAUCUAGGUCUUAGGAAUAACAUGGUGAAACUUAGUUCUUGAAGAAUUCUUAUCAAGUCUUCGGGAACCAAGUCAGAAUCGUUAGGAAUCAAUCAAUUAAGUUGAAUGUGCUUAGAGAUGUAUCAUAUGAUACCAGUUGACAUGUCUCAUGUCACAACAAAAAUGAUGUUACCAUGUGGGUACUAGUCCAAUAACUACAGUUUCCUGAAAAGUGCCCUUUUCCAGGGCAAAGGAUGUUAAGACCUUGCAAAACUAUUGCUGAAUCAAUCCCUAAAUAGAACUUAGAGUAGAAUUCGUUUUCACCGAGCAAUAAGCAUGAAUACAAAGUAAGCUCACAUGAAUAUUAAUGUUCAAAAAAAAAAAAGUAAGCUCACAUGAAUAUUGUGUUAUACCUGUGAGUUAUUUUUCUAUGACUCAUGAGCUUAGAUGAUUUGUUGGCAAGUAAAUAUCAAUAGCGGAUGAGGUAAUUACUUAGGGUUUCUAUUUCGGCUCGAUGUAGGUAGUCUCUGCUGCACAUUAUUGUUCUCUUGUGGAACUCUCUCUAAGGCUUUUUUUUGUGACAUGUACUUUUACUUUAAGCUUAUCUCAGCACUUCUAAAAUUUUGGAGUUUGGACUUGCUUAGUUACAUAAAUGGUUCAUUUGUUCUUCAUAAUUCAUUAUACUGAAAGUCCUUUACACCCAACUAAAUAUCUAAUUCAGAGUGGUAUAGAAUCUUUAGAAGACCAAGAUCAUACUGAACCAAUAAAAACCCACUACCUUUUCCAAUUAGGCAUCUAUAACUAUGGUAAUUCGGGAUAUUUCUAGUUAGUGAACUUUGAUUCGUUCCUUUAUUAUUGGAUUCUAUUAUUGUGCUCCUUUAUCUUCUCUCUUCUUUGUAUUUCUUGAAUUUAAGCCUCCAAUAUGUAAUCCUGUUUCCUGUUCUUGAUUUUGUGUCAUAUUCUACUACCCUUUCUAUAGUGAGACACAGAAAUGGCUCAAGGAACUUGUGCUAUUUUUAGUAUGUAUCGCUCCUUAACAGCCCCCACUUUGAAGCCUUAAAACCCAAGUAUUCUGGUCCAUAUUUCAAGGAUAAAGCCAAGUUUGUAGCCUGUCCAACAUCAGAUUUUGAUAUAUAAUAAGAGCAUUCUUUCUGUCAUUUGUUUGUUCAUUAUCAACAGUAAAGUCAAAUAUUAAUGUGAUUUGAUUUUCUGACUGACUUAAAAAUUUCUUGAUCUUCUUACUAUAUUUUGUUGAGUUUAAUUGGUGAUGUUAUUUAGUUUGGAACAGGGCCACAGGUGUUUGGAAUUUUUGUAGGGUUGCAUUCUGUUAAAUUGUGAAGAUAUUGAAAUCACAAUGAACCAACGUAGCACAAUCGAUCUGGAACAUGGAUGGGGCAUCAUUCAAAGGGGCAUAACAAAGCUGAAAAACAUUCUAGAAGGGCUGCCUGAGCCGCAGUUUAACUCAGAGGACUAUAUGAUGAUGUAUUCGUAUCCUUUUAGACUCCCACACUGUUAGGCAUGUGGAUAACUUGGAUUUGAUUCACCUUUUGUUUCCUUAAGUCUACUAACAGGACAAUUUACAAUAUGUGUUCUCACAAUCCCCUACAUGAUUAUUCUCAACAGCUGUAUGAUAAAUAUCGUGAAGCUUUUGAAGAAUAUAUCAUAACAACGGUAAGGGUAGCUGCAGUUUUCAUUCACAUUUCACAUUAGUAGAAAUUAAACAAGGUACUACAAUAAAACAAGAAAAAUAAGAAUUUUUGAGAAGUAUUAUUCUUAAUUUUUCUAUGAUGUUUGUUAUAUCCACGUACCAUUCUUGAUUGUUUGCUCUCUAUGUAUCAUUCUAGAAUAUUUGGAACUUAAAAAAAUGAUAUCUCUAAUAAAGAAACAAAAAAUCAUUAGUCUGGUGAGCCCUUUGUUUCUAUUUUAUUUUUCAAUUUUAGCCAUGUAACAAAGAGGGCUUAGUAUGGGUAGUUUCCUUGGUUCCUUCUGUGAUUUUAUUUUCUGCCCUCCAUGAUUUUAUUUAAUAAGGAUCCAUGUGCAAGUAUCAACAUUUUUUUGGGAUGUGAAUGUUUAUGUAAUUCAGGCAUUGCUUUCCCAAGAGGCAUAUUAUCUUUUAGUUUUAUUCCCAUAAUUAUAUGAUUCAAAUUUAGAAAGUCUGCUCUUGCUGCUUCUUUAUUCCAUAGCAUAUUAAGAAAAGGAUACGGGGAAAGUGGAUAGAAGUUUCAAAACACAGCUAAAUUACACGGAUUUUUUGUAUGUUAUUUUAGGCAUGCAAUUUUUCUUAGGAGUUUAAAAUGAUGAAAACUCAAAUUUAGGUUAAAGUUUGUUUACCUAAUUUUUGUUUCUCCAAAUAAUUCUACCUUAUCUAAAUUUCACAUUGCAAUUCAAUUUCAAAUUAGGUAUUGCCUUCUUUGAGAGAAAAACAUGACGAGCUCAUGUUGCGAGAGCUGGUAAAAAGGUGGUUAAAUCAUAAGGUCAUGGUCAAAUGGUUGUCGAGAUUCUUCCAGUAUCUUGAACGCUAUUUGAUUGUCCAGAGAUCUCUGCCGGGACUUAUAGAAGUUGGAUUAACUUGCUUCCGUGAUCAGGUAAUUUACAGUUCUCCUUCUCUUUUUUCUUUUCGUCAAAACUUUGUUUCUAUUGUCAUCUAUUAAUACAUCUCCACCUGCUCUCUUGGUUAAAGAACUGAGUUCAGCUCAUCGCUUCUAUAUUGAUCUUUUUAUUUCUAUUUUCUGGGUUUUGCCUCUUCUAGAAUUUGGUUUUCAGUUUGACAGUAUACUAGUCAACUGCUGCCACAUCCUUUUACGAGAAGAUGUUAUCAUUUAGUCCCUCCAUCCCAAUUAUGUGAAGGUGAUUGACUGGGCACGGAGUUUUAAGAGAAAAAGAAAGAAUUUUGAAACUUGUGGUAUAAAGUAAGCUAUAUGAACUUAAGUAAAACAAGGAGUUUGAAGUUAAAUUGUUACUAAUAUGGAAAGAUGUCCCUUUUUUGUGGACUGACUAAAAAAGAAAGAGUAUCACAUAAAUUGGGACAGAGGUAAUAUCUUACUGGCAACUGUUUUCUAUUUCAGGUCUACCAAGAGUUGAAUGGAAAAGUCGGGGAUGUUGUUAUAUCUCUGGUAUCCCUUUUGUCUUGCUCUGAGUUCUCACUACCAUUUCUUUUUUUCCUUUUAAUUGAGCAACAACAUUCCUCUAACCAGAUUGAUCAAGAGCGUGAGGGAGAGCAAAUUGACAGAGCUCUACUAAAGAAUGUGCUAGAUAUAUAUGUUGAAAUUGGAAUGGGGUUAAUGGAUUAUUAUGAGAACGGUUUUGAAGCUGCAAUGCUCAAGGACACAAUGGCUUAUUAUUCUUGCAAAGCUUCUAACUGGAUCAUCGAAGAUUCAUGUCCAAAUUAUAUGCUGAAAGUUAGUAUACUGCAUAUGCAACCCCUUAAUUCUGCAUUCUUUCCUUGUUGCUUCUUCUGUCUGCCUUUUUUCUGGUUAAAUUCCAUAUGCUAACCUACAUAAUCAUGUCAAUGUUCCUUUAGGCCGAGGAGUGCUUGAAACGGGAGAAGGAUAGGGUCUCUCAUUAUCUCCAUUCAAGCAGCGAGACAAAGUUGCUUGAGGUUCAUUCUAGCUCUUAAUCUUUUUUCUUUACUGGAACUUUAGCCUUCAAAAUGGUGGAUGUUGCUAUCAGUUUUUAUUGUUCACAUCUUCUUUUUUCUGGAUCUAGCCUAUCAACUUUAAAUUAGCUGCAACUUUACUCCUCUCACCUUUCUGCAGAAAGUGCAACAUGAGUUGUUGUCUGUGUAUGCCACUCAACUUCUUGAGAAGGAGCACUCUGGAUGCCAUGCGUUACUAAGAGAUGAUAAGGUAGUUAGCAGCAUCUUAAUGACCAUGUUUUUUUUUUGCAGUAAUUGACACAAUCAUGAUUAUUUUAUUAGGUUGAAGAUUUAUCAAGGAUGUAUAGGCUCUUUUCUAAGAUCCCUCGAGGCUUAGACCAUGUGGCCAAUACUUUUAAGCAGGUUUGUGAUCUCAUGACCUCAUCUUCUCAAUUGUAUGCCUAUAAGUUACUUCAUGUAUCCUUCUUUUUAAUCUGAAUGCAGCAUGUUACUGCUGAAGGGACAGCUUUGGUAAAACAGGCUGAAGAUGCUGCUAGCAAUAAAAAGGUUUGUACAAUCUACCCUUUUCUCACAAAAUCUGUUUCUUUCCCUCCAAAAAAAACUCACAAAAUCUUAAAAAAUACAAAAUAGCUCCUUGCCGAUUUUCUGGCCAAAAAUUGAAGCUUUUCACUGGAAAAUUACUCCACAUGACAAAAACCUCCUCAAGAUCAGCCAUUGUAGUUCUCCAUUGUUGUAGAAGCUCGAAAUAUUUCAUCCAUUAUAGAAGAGCUCGUUUUUCCAGCAGCCUCUUUCCAGUCGUUUUUGCAGCGACAUUUUGUUGUUACAUUUCACCAUUCCAGUAGCUCAUCUGACCUAUAAGAGAUCUAUCCCCGUGGUUUUCUUUUUUCUAGUAUUUAAAAAUCAUCAAGCAGUGAGCAGUAGCAUCGACCAUUACUGGCUUAUUAUGUCGUUUGCUGAAUAUAGUGGUGAUUAUGGUGGUGAAUGGGAGGAGACUUCAAAAUGUUGGAAGUGGAACCCUCUGAGUAAGGUGACAGUGUCCAUUGUCCUGCGUCGCAAUAGUACAUAUGAUGACAUGGUUGAGGGAAUUAAAUUGUGAGCCUAGCAACUUGAUCAUUAGUUAUUUGAUGAAUGCUGAGGGAAAAAUUCAUCCAUAUUUCAUAACAAAUGAUAGGCAGGCAGGGUUGUGCUUGUUUGAUUUUGUCCCUGAUGGUCCUAGACUAAUUUUCUGGGUUAAAGUUGUUGAGAGGCAUGAAUAAGAAGAAGGUUCAACACCAUUAGGGUGGGGGUGGGUGGGGGGAUUGUCCCUGGAAAAUGCUUGAUAUAAAUAUUAGAGAAAGGGAAAAUCCAUUCAUUAGAAAGCUCAUGCUGCUUCACAAUACAUCAAGUAAAAAGUUAUUCUAAACUCAGUGAAAAAAGUUAGAGACAAUAAGUUCAGGGACCUUUCUCAAAAAGCAGCAAUCCCUUGAAAAGGGGAGAUGACUGCUAGAAUAUAUUGUGUAUCACAUCUUGAGCUGUCAGUUUGUGAGACUAGCUAUUUAUUGCUGAUUAGAGCAUUUUGCUAUUUUUUUAUUUUUUUUCCGGCUUACCACCCGGUGUUCAGUACCCGCAUUGGGGCUCGAGUAAUCCGAGUUCGCGCCAGGAUGUCUCACACUGGGGUAAAGCGCUCCGUAAUUAAUGCGACUCCAUAACCAAGGGAACUCUAACCGGAGACCUGAUUAAGGAGUAGGGAUUACUUACCACUCCACCACAACCCUUGUUCGUAACAUAUUGCUUUUCUGCUUUUUUAAUUUCCAUAUUGUGCUUUUUAAGGAGUAGGGAUUACUUACCACUCCACCACAACCCUUGUUCGUAACAUAUUGCUUUUCUGCUUUUUUAAUUUCCAUAUUGUGCUUUUUAAGGAGUAGGGAUUACUUACCACUCCACCACAACCCUUGUUCGUAACAUAUUGCUUUUCUGCUUUUUUAAUUUCCAUAUUGUGCUUUUGAUGAGUUUUGUUCAGAGAUUUCUUCAGAACAUCAUAUCUUCUCUUUUGUAUCAAAAGCAUGAAAUCACAAAGUUGGACUUCCAUCUCAAUGAUUGUUUUGUUUCAUUUACUUUAUUUGGUGGUUGGGAAUGCUACUUAAAAAAGAUGGUAAACGUUUCUUUAAAGCAGAACCCCCCAUCAAAUUUGAUACUUAUCUUAGAGAAAGUGCAUGAGCAGUUGCUUAGGAAACCAACAAGUACUUUUUGUCUCUUUUCCUUCUUUUAUGUAUUUUAACUUUUCUUCUUCUGCUGGCUAGAACAAUGUCAAAAUUAAUUCAUUUCAUCUUUUUAGGGAUGAUUCUCUAAAAGAUGAGACUGGUAUUUCUUUGUGAGUGCAUUUAAUAUAAUUGCUCAAUGUCUUGCGUUCUUUCUGAUCAACUAGUGUUCUUAAACAGGCAGAUAAGAGAGAUGUGGUUGGUUUGCAGGAACAGGUAAUCCCUUAGUAAAUCUGUUAUCUGAUCCUUUAAUAUGUUUUCGGCGGUUAACUUCUGAAUUUUCAGGUUUUUGUUCGGAAAGUCAUUGAGCUUCAUGAUAAAUAUUUGGCAUAUGUGAAUAGUUGUUUCCAAAACCACAUACUUUUUCACAAGGUAUGUGUUGGAAGGAAUGAUAGUUGUCUAAUUUAAUUGUUCUACUCUGUGCAUUAGGUCUGUGCAUAAGGGUAAAAGUAAAUUGCUAAUAUCUGUCCCCUUUGUCACUUUCUAGGCACUUAAAGAAGCUUUCGAGCUUUUCUGCAACAAGGGUGUUGCUGGUAGCUCAAGCACUGAAAUUCUUGCCACAUUCUGCGACAACAUUCUCAAAAGAGGCGGGAGUGAGAAAUUGAGAGAUGAAGCCAUAGAAGAGACAUUGGAGAAGGUGAGCUCUUUCUCUAUAAAUCCCCUUCCCUUCUUUUCUUCUAGAGCAUCUGCUUUUUCUUUGUACAACUGGAGCAGAAGCUGAUAAUAGAUUUCACUUGCAGGUGGUAAAGCUGCUAGCUUAUAUUAGUGAUAAGGACUUGUUUGCAGAAUUCUAUAGGUAGAGUUACCUCUACUCUGUAUCUCAACCACUACUUGAAUAGUAGCUUCUUUUCUGUUACAAGUUAAUGACUUCCUUUUUUUUCAGGAAAAAGCUAGCUCGGCGGUUGUUAUUUAAUAAGAGUGCCAAUGUUGAACAUGAGAGAAGUAUCAUAACAAAGUUGAAGCAGCAGUGUGGGGGGCAGUUCACAUUAAAGAUGGAGGGAAUGGUAAACUACCCAGAUCAAUUAUUCUGAAUUUGAGGCUAUGUUCUCUGGUGACAUUCUUCUUCUCGUCCUAUAGGUCACAGAUUUGACAUUGGUAAGGGAAAAUCAAGCCAGCUUUGAGGAGUACGUGAGCAACAAUCCAAUAGCAAAUCCAGGAAUUGACUUGACGGUGACUGUCUUGAAUACUGGCUUCUGGCCUAGCUACAAGUCUUUUGAUCUCAACCUCCCAACAGAAAUGGUAUAUCAUAUAAAUAUGUUUAAUGUCAUUAUGCAGUUGAUUUUAUCAUGAUUUUGACCCUUGUUCCUCUUGCUGAAGUUCUUCUCUUUCGGCAAAGAAUGAUGCAUGUUUUUUUUGCUUGAAUCAUAUUUCUUCUCAAACGUCUUGUCAAUGAUUCAUUUUAUGUUGCGCAUUGUCAGAUUAGGUGCGUUGAAGUAUUCAAGCAGUUUUAUCAAACAGAAACGAAGCACAGGAAGCUUACGUGGAUAUACUCUUUGGGAACUUGCAUUAUAAAUGGAAAAUUUGAGCCAAAGUCUAUUGAGCUCGUUGUCACUACUUAUCAGGUUGAUUGUUGGCUUACUUUUUGAAAUCGGAUAGGCUUAGUUAGUUUGAAACAUUUUUAUUACCUUAUCAAUGAGAAAACGAGAUUGAGAUUUCUUCCUUUUUGUAGGCUUCUGCUCUGCUGCUCUUUAAUGCAUCAGAUAGAUUGAGUUAUCAGGAAAUCAUGACACAAUUAAACCUGUCAGAUGAUGAUGUUGUUCGGCUUCUUCAUUCCCUUUCGUGUGCGAAGUACAAGAUUCUCAACAAGGAGCCAAGCACCAAAACAAUUUCUCCGACUGAUGUCUUUGAGUUCAACUCAAAGUUCACUGACAUAAUGAGGAGGAUGAAGGUACAAUAAUGAUGAGUAAGGUUAGCCUUUGUACUAUGAAUUGUUGCACUACAUUACUGACCCAGUGAGGAUAUUGCUGUAAUGGUAUGCAGUUACCUCUGGCUCCUGUUGAUGAGAAGAAAAAGGUAAUUGAAAACGUUGACAAGGAUAGGCGGUAUGCUAUAGAUGCUUCGAUUGUGCGUAUUAUGAAGAGUCGUAAAGUACUGGGCUACCAGCAACUGGUCAUUGAAUGCGUUGAGCAGUUGGGACGGAUGUUCAAGGUAUCCUCAGGGAUAAACUUCUGCUUCUCAAUUUUCAUGUUCAUUAUUCAAGUUCAACUGAGCUAAUUACUUUGUUUUGGAUACUCAUAGCCUGAUGUCAAAGCUAUCAAGAAGAGAAUUGAAGAUUUGAUAACUAGAGAUUACCUUGAGAGGGACAAAGAUAAACCAAACUUGUUCAAGUACUUGGUAUGAUUUGUGCAAAUCAUGGUGAAUGAGUGAUGUUUACAGGACUUCUGCAAUCGACAUAGGAGGAGAAACAUGCCGCCCAAGAUGAAGACGGAUUUCUGCAACUCCUACCUUCCUGGACCUUUUAUUGCCUUGCAUCAGGAGCUUGAAUCAUUUUGUACAAAUGGUUAAGAACUUAAGAUCUCAGGAAAAAGUAGAAUUGCCUCUCAGAUACUUCAGUUGAGAUUGCCUUAACUUCUUCCAGUCUUAUAUGGCCCUUUCGCGUGCUCUAUUCCGUGUUUGUCAGCUAUCUGUUCGAGUUUUGAGUAAAUGUAAUAUUCUAGUCACAGCUUACCCUCUCUGGAUUUAGCACAAUGGUAAUUACUUUUAGGAUAUGCUCUACAAUCCUACUUUCUUGGUUCUUUGUAGAUUGUGAUUUGAACCUUGGUGGUCCUUAUGGGGCCUUCUUUCAACCUUGGGCAAGUUUAUUGGAUCUGGAACCUCAUUACUCAACAGUUAUCUAUUGAAUGAAUCACUUGCCUAAGUUUUAGGUCCAUUAUCCCAAACUUUACAGAUGUGAAAAACUUGUAGCUUCGGAAUGACAUUCAGACCUGAAUCUGAAUUGUAUGGCUUUGUAGAUAGAAGAUACCAGCUCGAUAUAUUAACACUCAUAAGGUUACAAAAAUAUGCUACAUAAAAUUACAUAACUAGCUAGUAAUAGAAAUUAUGAGAAACACCAUAUGUUUACAUAGCCGGGUCAAGUGUGUAAUGGUCUCUGAUCUGACACCAAUCAUCCUCGAGCCUAGAGCCAAAUCUUAGGCAUGUGAAAGUACACAAGUGUUGGUGAUAAUAGCCUUUUUAGGUGGCAAAAUAGCUUUUUGCCUAGUAUCUGUAACUUUUUUACCCUUUAAGUAAGCCCUUACAUAUGGAAAAGAUCUUGAAUCUUAAUAUUUUCUUGCUCUCGUUGUUAUAUCGAUUUCAUAUUAAUGUUCUUAUGGCAUAAUCAAUAUUCGUUCUUUAUUAUUGUUUCAUCAACAGCCCAAAAAAGAAAAGGAAAAGAGUUUGAUCGAUAUAUUAAAAUUCACUUGUCAUUAAGCCCUAAUUUGGAACACUUUUAUUACGUUAUCAAUGAGAAAACGAUAUUGAGACUUCCUUUUCGUAGGCUUCUGCUCUGCUUCUCUUUAAUGCAUCAGAUAUAUUGAGUUAUCAGGAAAUCAUGGGCCAAUUAAACCUAUCAGAUGAUGAUGUUGUUCGGCUUCUUCAUUCCCUUUUAUGUCCGAAGUACAAGAUUCUCAACAAGGAACCAACCACCAAAACAAUUUCUCCGACUGAUGUCUUUGAGUUCAACUCAAAGUUCACUGGCAAAAUGAGGAGGAUCAAGGUACAAUUAAUGAUGAGUAAGGUUAGCCUUUCUACUAUGAAUGUUGCACUACAUAACUUACCCCAUGAGGAUAUUGCUGUAAAUGUAUGCAGAUGCAUCUCCCCCUUGUUGAUGAGAAGAAAAAGGUAAUUGAAGACGUUGACAAGGAUAGACAGUAUGCUAUAGAUGCUUCAAGUAGUGGGGGUGGGGGAUUGGGUGAGUAAGAGGAGACAAUAAACUUGGAAAAAGGAACCAUUGAUGACAAGAAGAGAAUCGAGUGAGAUGUGAAUCUCUCUUUCUCCUUUUAUGUGUUUUUCCUUUUUCCUCGAAAACCCCCUUAUACUUCUAACUAUUUCCAUUUUUGUCGCGGUUAAGCCCUGAAGCAAGACUCAAAACGUGUUGAGCGCUUCAGCUUGCUUUAUGUGCGCUUCUAUAUUGUCAUUAAGGUUCUAAGGCAAACUUUUCCUUGCCAAUGAGCCUCUUCGGAAGAAGUGAUCAUAAUUUUUUUUCAAUUUCUAUGGUCAUAUAUUUGUCAUGUAUGUUUAUAAUUAUUAAUCUUAGACUAAACAUAUAUAUUUGUAUAUUUUGUCCCUUUGCGCUUUUUUAAUUAAAGCCCACACUUUAUUUGCGCUUUGCGCUUAAAGCCCCAACGGACCUUAGAGUUUUUUUGCUCUUUUCGCCUUUGAUAACACUGAUUCAUUAGGAAAGUCAUUUUCCUAGAUUAUUUUUUUUUUAAAGCAUUUUGACCAAUCAAAUAUUAAAAAUAUGGAAUAAAUAGACAACACUCUCAAAAAAGAAAAAGAAAAAGUACUCAAGCACUUUGGGUAAAAAUGCAUAAAACCCAAAAAUAGUUGGAAUACAUUUGCAAUAACUCUGAAUGAAAAACAAAGAAAUUACCCCGGCAAAAAUGGAAAUAGUUAGAAGUAUAAGGGGAUUUUCGAGGAAAAAGGAAAAUCACAUAAAAGGGGAAAGAGAUUCACAUCUCACCCGAUUCUCUUCUUGUCAUCAAUGGUUCCUGCCUUCCUGGCAGCUCCAUCUUGUGCCCUCAUCGGGUCGAGACUCUCUGAUCACCCUUUCGGCAAAUUCCUUCACUCUCCAGUGACAUCACAGGUACAUUUUCCGGUUAAAUUGUGAGUUCCGAUUCGAUGUACAUUGUUCCCACAUAUGUAUAUACCUAUGAUGCAUAGUUGAUGUGGUGCUUUCGGUUUAAUUGCUUCUUCCUUUGCUUCGGAUUGAUCCUGUUAUUAAUUUUGUUUCCAGUAGCUAUUGAAAUUGUGCUAUUUUGUUGUGGUUGAUUUUGUGAUCUUCAGAGCUGUUAUUGAUGGACUAGUUUUAUGUUGUUUUUUAUUUCUCUAUAGUUGAUUCUGAGCAUGAGUGUUUUGUCCUUUUGAAGUUAGGUAUAGUGGAGGUUUAGUAUUCAUUACUGGUAGGUUUUGAGUUUAAUUUUUUGUUCAUUAUUUGUUGCAACUGACGGCGUUCAUGUAAAAUAGUGUAAUUUUGAAGGAUCCGAGCAACUUAGUUUUUCAGUGUUUGUGAUGUGUAUUUUUUUUUGCUAUUCUCAGUUUUAUUUACUUAUUAAUUUAUAUAUGUUUAUUGGAAAAUGUUGUAUACGGUUUUCUUUUUUGAUGGAAUCCUGAAAAGAUUUUAAAAGUUCAUAUCUUUUAGGGCCAAGUGUGCAAUUUUGGUAUUUCUAGUUUAUGCAGGUCCUAGGAAUAACUUGGUGAAACUUAGUUCUUGAGGAAUUCCUAUCAGGUCAGGGUCUUCGGGAACCUUAAUCGUUAGGAAUCAAUCAAUUGUAUGGAAUGUGCUUAGAGAUGUAUCAUAUGAUACCAGCCGACAUGUCUCAUGCCACCAAAAUGUUGUUAUCGUGUGGGUACUAGUCCAAUAACUGCAAUUUCCUGAAAACUGCCCCUUUUCAGGGCAAAGGACGUUAAGAGCUUGCAAAAAAAUUGCUGAAUCAAUCCCUAAAUAGAAUUUAGAGUAGAAUUCCUUUUCACCAAGCAAUAAGCAUGAAUAAAAUGUAAGCUCACAUGAAUCAUGAGCAUAGAUGAUUUGUUGGCAGGUAAAUAUCAAUAGCGGAUGAGGUAAUUACUUAGGGUUUUUAUUUCGGUUGAAUGUAGGUUGUCUCUGUUGCACAUUAUUGUACUCUUGUGAAGCUCUCUCGAAGGCGUCUUUUUUUUUUGUGUGACAUGUACUUUUACUUUACGCUUAUCUCAGCACUUCUAAAUUUUGAAGUUUGGACUUGUUUAGUUACAUAAAUGGCUCAUUUGUGCUUAUUAUACUUGAAGUCCUAUACAUCCAACUAAAUAUAUAAUUCAGAGUGGUAAAGAAUCUUUAGAAACAAAGAUCACACUGAACCAAUAAAAAAACUCACUACCUUUUCCAGUUAGGCAUCUAUAACUGUGGUAAUUCGGAAUAUUUCUAGUUAGUGAGCUUCGAUUCUUUCCUUUAUUAUUGGAUUUUAUUCUUGUGCUCCUUUAUCUUCUCUCCUCUUUGUAUUACUUGAAUUUAAGCCGCCAAUAUGUAAUCCUGUUUCUUGUUCUUGAUUUUUAGUCAUAUUCUUCUACCCUUUCUAUUGUGAGACCCAGAAAUGGCUCAAGGUACUUCUGCGAUUCUUAGUAUGCAUCACUCCUUAACAGCCCCACACUUCGAAGCCUUGAAAUCCAAGUAAUCUGGUCCAUAUUUCAAGGAUAAAGCCAAGUUUGUAGACUGUCCAACAUCAGAUUUCGGUAUUUAAUAAGAGCAUUCUUUCUGUCAUUUGUUUGUUUAUUCUCAAGAAUAGAGUCAAAUAUUAAUGUGAUUUGAUUUUCUGAUUGGCUUAUAACUUGCUUGAUUUUCUUAUUAGCUUUUGUUGAGUUUAGUUGGUGAUGUUAUUUAGUUUCGGAACAGGGCCACAGGUGUUUGGAAUUUGUGUAAGGUUGCAUUCUGUUAAAUUGUGAAGAUAUUAAAAUCACAAUGAUCCAACAUAGCACAAUCGAUCUGGAACAUGGAUUGCAUUCAUGCAAAGGGGCAGCGCAAAGCUGAAGAAUAUUCGAGAAGGGCCGCCUCAGCUCAGAGGACUAUAUGAAGCUGUAUACACAUCCUCUUAGACUCCCACACUGUUAGGCAUGUAGAUAACUUGGAUUUGAUUAACCUUUUGUCUCCUUAAGUGUACUAGCAGGA